Molecule: long non-coding RNA, 124433 nt
Filed under: Triticum aestivum (bread wheat)
Lineage: Eukaryota; Viridiplantae; Streptophyta; Magnoliopsida; Poales; Poaceae
Description: long non-coding RNA (TAES_LNC021802)
Rfam family: MIR1120/MIR1122 microRNA precursor family (bases 38870-38956)
Source: RNAcentral
UGUUUUUUUUUUGUGAUCUCUUGAUGUGAUCGAUCCUGUGGGCGAGUUCCAACAACGGUCACCACUGACUCCGAUCUACCACCGUCCAGUGCAGCACUAAAAUCUCAUCACUGGGUUCAUGAUCAGUGAGGGACGUGGGCAUUAUUUUGGUCUUCUGCCAUUCGAUGGCGCAUUUUAGUAUCUGCACUGCAGAGGUGAGAGUACAAAAUAACAGUUGUGAGGAACACAUGGAUCAGUGUGGCUCUAUUGGUUUAUUAAGAUUUGUAAUUUUGGUGUGUGUUUUGUAUACGAAGUUGUUGUGGAUCAAGUAAUUUAAUCAAGUCCAUUUGAGUCAAUGGAAUUACCGAACGUGUUGUCUUCUUUUUGGCUUGAUCUUGUUCUACUGUGUGUGCUCUGGAUUGACCUUCUUAGGCUUGUUUCUGUGGUGUAGAGAGCCAGGUUUGUCUAUUACUUGUGCUGGUGGCUUUGGCUAUAGGUUGGUGAGUUUAAAGACUGAUGUUUGCUCUUUAGGCCUGGUUUGGCUAUGGUCUGGUUGCCUGCGUGUAGUUCAUGUUUUUCCUAAUGUUUUAGGGUUGCUUUUACUUUCAGUGUUAUUUUCUCUAGUUCAUGUAAUAAGCAGCAGGCAUGUUGCAUGCCAGCGCCACGAGGCAAUGCCAGAAGCGCUAUUCGGCUACAGCAUCACAGCCAAAGGGCGUCCAUCGUGAAGGCAACAAUUAUAUGAAGCAUCACUUCCUGUAGGUCAGGUAGCAUAAUAUUUCAAACAAUGGAAGUAAAUGCAUACAAACUACUCCCUCCGUCCCAUACUGUGUAAAAAACGCUCUUAUAUUACGAGACGGAGGGAGUACAUUAUAUCCCUAACAAAUAAGAGGCAAAAUAGACAGGUGUGGUAAUGUGCGCCAUCAAUGAUGUAGUACACUCUAGAACAGUUGGACAAUUACUAAGUUUAACAAUCAUAUUUUCUGAACCUAUAUUAGGAUAUUUGUUUAACUAAUGAAGUAGAAUCCAUUAUGAAGAUAUUUAUAUAUGUCGUGCACACACACACACACACACACACACACACACACACACACACACCAUAAUUUAUUACCUUUUUUACAUUUGUUUAUGAUUUGUUAUAAGUUGAAUCAAUUCUACAAUAUGCCUCAAACUAAAAUUUGAACAAAAAGGAGACAAUUGCAUGAUUAAUUUUAUCCCAGAUUUUUAAAAGAUUGACAUGUGAUUUUAUAACAAUAAAUUUUGAUUAUUUUACAUACCUACUCGUUUGUGUGAAUAAUAUUGCUAGAUACAAUUGAAACAAAUAGUGUUGAUCAUUGUAUGGCAUAUGUUAUAUUGAUUCAAAAUAGGGUUGAGAUUCAGUGGCAAUUAGAUACCAAGAAGUACAAGUGUUUAAUAUAAAAUGCGGGAUUUGGUGGUCGCCACCUCUCGUUCGUGGUUGAUUUGCGGUACAAAGUGGUAUAUUUUAUCUCCGCUCUACAAAUAUGUUAUAUACUAACAGAACAAGUAUAAUAUGGAGGACGGCGAUUCAAUGCACGGGCAUGUGGCCGGUAUCGUGUGCGUUUGAUCCGGUGUGGGGAUUUGGAAAAAUGCUGACGUGGGACAGGUUUUAGCAGUUGAAAAAUCGCGUAUACAUGAGGAGUCGUAGGAACAGUGAUGUAUGGCGGGACCAAACCGUAGGUGGCAGGCGAGAUUAAUGGGGUGGGCGGAGAGAGGCGUCGAGUCCGAAGUUAUAGGCCGUGGCUCAGGAAUGUGAGGAAAAUCAUUGGCAUGGGGACGGAAUGUGCACCUGAUAGGGUCGGGGGUUGUCGAACUUAAUCAAAACGUGGUUUUCCCGUGUGUCCCGUGCACACCACUAAAGCUACAUAAGUUGUUCUUCGAAAAAAAACUAUAUAAGUUGUUCGUUUCGGUUCUUCUUAGAUGAGCUGGGUUUAUUUUUUGCAAAAAGAUCAGAUUUAUUAUAAAGAUUCCCCACAAAGCCGCCUGAUUGUGCGACGCUGCCGAUUUCAUUUGCUGCUAGCAAUGGGGGUGAUUAUGGGGGUGUUGCUGAAACACCUACCCACCCGAAGUGCGGAAGGUUCGAUCGUGUGUGUGCGUGUGGAAGGACCAUUCAAAGAUGAUCCGUUAAAUUUAGAUGAGAUGAUUCCAGUAAUACACUACCACGUUGUUCCAUCGGCGUCCUCCUCAGAUGCACCAAACGAUCAUCGACGUCCUCCUCCGAGGAGGAUCGCCUGGAGCAAUUAAACUAAUAAGUUGGAACUGUCGGGGUCUCUUGGGAACCCCGACGGUUCUUUUGCUUCUGGACAUCCAGAGGUGACAUAAUUCAGAUGCGUUUUUUCUGUCUGAAACGCAUUUGGAUGAGGAUAGGGCAGCUUGAGAAGGAAAAUGAGGAUGGAUUACAAAAUCGUUGCGCCAAGCCUUGAUGGAAGGAAAGGUGGUUUGCUUUUAGUCUGGAAGAAGGAGGUGAGGAUCUACUCCGGGACUACCACUUUUAGUGUCAUCAAUGUGAUGGUGGAGGAAUCAAAUGGAAGAGAAUGAAGGCUUUAGGGAUUGUAUGGGGAGCCGAGUUGGGAUCAUACGUACCAGCUAAUACUUGCAUGCUCAAUCUAAUCUCCUGUGGGUGGUCAUUGGUGAAUUUAAUGAGAUUCUAUUCUCGACAGAAAAGGAGGGAGGUGCGCCACGGAGCAAGCGCUAAGAUGUGCUUCGAAAGGCACAUAAUCUUCAUCUCCUACAGAUAUCUGCAACAUCUGCUGAUUUUAAUUCCCUGAUGUGCAGUUUGGUAAAUCCUACUCAUCUUUGCUAUCUAAAGCUCGGAGUCGUUAAGGUGCAUGAGGGUUUGCCUCAAGUUUGGAGCAAGUUUUGCCAUCUUCAAGUAUUAGAUUCUUUGUCUGGACGCUGCUGCAGAACAGACUUUGGACUGCAAAUCGACUGCUUGUGAGAGGCUGGAUCAUCAGGAUACUUGCUCCACUUGUGAUCAGGUGCUUGAGUCUGCCCACCACCUGAUAUUCGCCAAGCAGGUCUAGACUGCAUACCAAAAUACGAGACCACUGGCAAGCCAGGCAGAGCUGCACUCAACCUCUGUUGGGACUUGGGACCUGGUGGGAGACGAUCCUGCCUCUCAGGGAAAAAGGACAGGGCACUGAUGAUUGCACCUUCUCAGCUUACGUGGCAUGCAUGGAACCUCUGGAAUGAGCGAAAUCGAAGAGUUUUCAGAAAUCAGCAAAAGAACCCUGUGUGUGUUCGAAGAUUAACGAUGAGAUCAGCCUCUUUGAUGAGGCAUGGGAGAGCAAUAGUUUUUUUUUCUUUUGAACUGUACAGCCAGGCAGCUGAGGCAGGCCUUGCUUGUACUGGGUCUUUUAUUCUUUUUUCAGCUUUUCCUAGUAGCUUCACUACUACUGUAAAGUAUUUCCCCCUCCUUAAAUGAAAAGGCAGAGCACCUGCCGUUCCGGUCAAAAAAAAAUGUCAACUGUGUUGGUCAGUGGAUCUAGCUAGAGCCUUACUGCAGAACACAUGGCAGCAUAGGUAUAUUUGUCAUAACCGAGGUUAGCAUCUGUGGCUGCGUGCUGUUUUACUGCCUCGGAAAGUGGUGCUUCGCGGCCUUUUAGGCGCAAUUCCACCAUGGAUCAUGUCAUGCCCAGAGUUUACAUGCUGAAGUUCUGUUAUUAGUUUCUUGGAAAGUAUAAAAAGCUGAUCUUGUGACAGUUUCCUGGGCUGGCACGCUGUCACGUGAGCGCCUCGUCCUCAUGUAAUCCGUUUUGCUUGCCAUAUCCACUGAAAGCACCGAAAACAAAGUGAUACGUUAUUUACUGAAUCUUGUGAACUCAAACUGCAAACUUAAUCUUUUCAUCUCCUUGACUUGAGAAGGAACUCUGUGGGGACUUUGGUAAUCCCUAGUAAGAUAUGCAUUGUGCAGUCUGCAGUUCAUUACAAGAUUGCGUGAAGAAACAUUUGCAAAACUCCCUCGAUAUGAUAGGCCGUGCAGAAUUUCUCUGUAGCUACACUGAUGCACUUGGUAGGCCUGAACUCAUAUGUUGCGGUGUCUUGAACUGAUAUGUCAUACCUUGAUCCGUCAGAGUUCAGGACGCAUUCAGCAGCAGACGCCUAAUCGAUCUCUCCUUAAAUUUGAAUGUGCGACCCUACUGGUUGCUCACUACGUGGUUCUUGUUCAUUGUGCACUAUGCUAUCUUGUCAUCUUAUAUGGAGUUCAUUUCCUGGGGGUGCUUUGGGAUAAUUUUGCUCCAGGCAUGCUGUCCUUCUUCCGGUGAGGUUUGCAAAAACUUGUAGUAAUGACUUUGUGUUCCCCCGUUGUAAUCUUAAUCGUUUGUUUGUCAUGUUCAUGACUUGCUGGCCGCGUUUGGAAGCCCUGUAAGUACCAUAUUAUAGCUCUGAUCUCUUUGGUUUAUCUAUAAGAUUCAACCCAAAUAAACUCUAAACCGGCUAAGUUUCAACCCUCAACCAUGAGAACCGGCUAAUUUUUCUUGUCUCAGCUUGAACCUUCUUGUUCAAUUCUGCUUCUUCUUUCUUCUUGGCAGUUCUCUCCAAUGUAGCCAACCUUCUUCUCUCUGCAAGCUCAGCUUUCCUCUGUGCAACCUCAUGUUUCCUUUUUGCUAUCUCUGCAGCUCUCUUCAAUUCCUCUUCUCUUCUAGAUGCAAGUAUUGCCUUCUUCCUCUCCUCUACUUCCCUAUCUUUCUGAUUCUUCAUGGCCUCCAAUUUCUGUACCAACUCACCUGGCCUUAUGGUGCUUGAACUAGCUUGGCUCCCUUGGCUUCCAUUACUCUGGUUGAGCAGCACUUGGGCAGCAGUAAGGAAAGCAGAAGCAGGUACUGGCCUUUGUUCAACAACCCUUGUUGUUGGCAUCUACGAAGAAUGUACAUUUGAUGAGAAUAAUAGGAUAUUCAUGUACAAAGAAUGUACAUUUGAUGAGGAGAUCAGUAGUACCUGGGCAAUCAUGUUGUCAACCAUGAGAUCACCACAUGCAGGAGCCACAUUUGUAGGAGUCACAUUGGCACCAACAACACCUUCAUUUGGAGGAGUGGCAUUGACAGCAGCAGUACCUUCAUUUGGAGGAGGCACAUUGACACCAGCAUUACCUUCAUUUGGAGGAGGCACAUUUGAAGAUGGUUGAUCAUUUGGUGGAGGCACAUUAGGUGGUGGCAGUCCAGCCUUCAAGGUCUUGCACCCCUUCCUGUUGUGAUCUGCAUCACCACAAAGAACAAUGCAUAAUGACACCAUGCCUUGUGAUUUUCUUCCCUCCCCUCCUAUGAUCAACCUCUCCAGGUGCCUGUCUCCUUGUAGUACAUGGCCUUCCAACAUGCUUCUGGUACAAUGGUGGCAUUAUUGGAGGCCCAUGUAAGUCUUCCCAUUCACUCCUAUCUCUACAAGGAUAGAUAAUAUUGCCAUAUGCUUUCUUGAACACAUGUUUUGAGUAGCAAUGAUCAACCAUGUUCAAAGGAUCAACUCUAUCAUUCCUGCAGCAGGCUACCACAUGAGAGCAUGGAAUGCCUGCUUUCUGCAUUCUUCUACAUGUGCAGGUUUUCUUGUGCAUGUCCACUAUGUAAUCCAUUCCUCUAUCACCUGCUAGGAAUAAGCCAUCUCCUGAUCCCUCCACAUAGCAUGUGUUUGCAAAUUCUGUUACCUUUUCAACCUUCUUCCUGAUCUUUGGACAUACAUCUCCUUGCCAUUUAUCUGACUCCAGCUGUUUGUUGUAAUGCCUUGUCAUAAGUUGCAUGUAAAUCCUGUCAACCAUGAUCAGUAUUGGUAGUUCCCUUGCUUCCAGGAUAUACCUGCAUUUAACAGCAAACCAUGGUAAGUAUUGGUAAUUCACUACAUUGAAAAGCAUUUUGGCAAACUUCACAAAUGUACCUGUUGAAAACUUCACAAAUGUUGUUAAGCAGAAUAUCACAUUUUGGCAAGUCACUUUGAAAAGCCUUAACCCAAGUUUGUGGUUCUAGCUCAUGCAGCCAUUUGUAUGCCUUAACAUUAAGAACCUUCAUCUCCUCCAUGCCCUGUUCAUACAACUGCACUGUAUUGCUCCUAGCUAUCUUCCAGAGUUGAUUCUUCAAGAUGUCACCUUUGAAAUGUUGUUGAAAGUUUUGCCACAUGUGCCUAACACAAUAUCUGUGUUCUGACUCAGGGAACAGUCCUUCAACUGCAUUGAUGAGCCCCUACAAUUGCAAAGCAACAUAACCAUUCAGAAGCUAUUCACAACCAUUCACAUAGUAAUUACACAUAAACUUUGAAAAAAAAGAUGGUACUUACCUUUUGUUUGUCUGACAUGAUAGUCCAAGGUUCAGUGUUUAUGAUGCCUAGGUCCCUUUUGAGUGUGUCAAGAAACCAUGACCAGUUAGGGGUGUCCUUAACUUCAACCACAGCAAUGGCAAUUGGAAAUAUGCAGUUAUUUGGAUCUACCCCAACAGCUGCAAGCAGUUGUCCUCUGUAUCUAGUUUUAAUGUGGCAACCAUCUAGGAAGAUGACUGGUCUACAACCCUCCAGAAAUCCUCUCUUGCAAGCAUAUAGACACAUGUACAACUUGCUGAACCUAGCAUUUUCAUCUAAUGAAACAUAGAAGGAUGAGCCAGGGUUGCUUCUCCUUACCUCAUUAGCAUAAUUCCAUAGCAGCUUGUACUGCCCUUCCUCAUCACCAUAAAUAAUUUUUAUAGCCAUUCUCCUUGCUCUUUGAAGUUUCAUCCUAGUGGGUGUCAUAUGCCAUUCUUUCUGAACAACCCUUGAGAAAUUCAUCAAGUUCAUAUCUUGAUCAGCCCUAAAGCUCUCUAGGUAUUUCAUUGCUAGGAAUCUUGGUGUGAAAGCCCUAAUCUUCCACUUCUUGCUGCAUGUGUGCUCAUGCACAUAUCUCUUCACCAUGAAAGCCUUAGUUCUGCUAUCAUAUGAUGCCCACAAGUACCAUGUGCAGUCUUCAUCACAUUUUGCUUUCACUCUUUUCCUAUCAUUCACAGGAAGCUUGAUAUCAGCUCUGUUCUGGCAGGAGUACUCUUUAAUUGCUUUCUUAGAAGCUCCACACUCUCAAAAACCUGCCCUACAUGGAAUUUUGGCCUAUGAAGAUCCUCUGGUCUGAAAGUUUUGAACUUUAAAUGCAUUUCCUCAUCAUCAGAAUCAGGUGCCCACAAAUCUUCACCUUCAGACAAGUCUUCAUCUGAAUUGUACUGCUGCUUGCUUUUGUCUUCAUCUGUAGGUUUCACAUGCUUGACUUUCUCCUUUGAAUUGUUCUUAUGGUUCUGUUCUGGUUCAUCCUCAUCAACAUUAUCUGCAAACAAGUCAUCAUCAUCAUUUCCUAUCUCAUUGUCACUGUCCACAAGUACACCUGGGUCAUAGUCCUCAUCAUCUGUAUCACUUGCAUCAUCCUCUGCUUCCAUAUCAUGACUGCUUUUGAUCCUCCUACUUGAUGUGCUUCCUCCAACAUCCUCAUUUGCAACAGCUUCUGCAUCUUUCCCUGCUUCAACUUCAGGGUAUACAACCUGGAGAGGAGUAGGUGCUGCCUCUGGUUCUGCCUCUGCUUCCCCUGUUUUUGCAGUCAUGCUGCUGCCCACUCUUUUUGCAGGACUAAAUACUGGAGGCAAAGUGGCUCUAGGAUAGUUCACAACAUCAUCCUCACUUAGGUUUGCUUGUAAGCUCUCAUCAUGAUCAAGAUAUAUACUAAAGGAGUGGUGCCCAAUAUCAAUAAACAUCAACAUUCUAUCUGUUUGCUCAUCAUCACUAAGCUGCUUGAGACCAUUAUUACUGAGUGUAAGGAUGGUUGACACAAUAGUAUACCUUCAACCUCCCUGCCAUCUCAUAACCAAUCUCCUCAACAAGGUGUUCAAUCAUAAUUGGUGACCAAGUGACCUUCUCCAGAUUAUCGUACCAAAUGGCACGACCAUUAACAUAAGCACGAUUACUUCCAUGCCCAACAAAAAAUCCACCAUGGUUGAUUUGCACAGAGAAGUUGGUGCUUCGAGGGCCUGAUACACAAGACAGAAACAUCAUGCAUCAUAAUUGACUCUAGCAUCAUUUCAUUCGAGUUUCUAAAACCCUAACCCCCAAAGACCAUCAAAUCCAAUACCGAAACCAUCGAAACUACCAGCUGCAUACCAUCUAUAAUGACAAUGCGGGCCAAAAAGGAGUGUCUUUGAACAUCAAAAUGCAAAAAAAGUCGGAUUUAUGCAAGAUGAAACUUACUGUACACGGGGGGAGGCGCCCCUUCUGCGCGACGAACAGGGGCCAUCGCCACCACCUACCACCGGUGGAAUUGACGCGGCGGCGGCGCCUCUCCAGCCACGGAAGAAAUCAGCACGCGGCGGCGCCUGUAGGCCGAUGAUCGCCGGGGCGGCGACGCCUAUGCAGCGCCUUCCCUGUCUCCAAUCGAAGACGAAGAGGCGUCGUCAGAUAGAGGAGCGGGGCGGACAGCGGUGGUGUGGUGGGGCGAUUUUACACUUAAUCCCUCGCCGCAAGAUUGGCCUAAUCGGAGCUGAGAACGUGGCGGUCAACAGGUGGUCAAAGGAGCGGCUACUCACCGCAUACGACCAACAGUGACCGUACAUUCACGUCACAUCGUAUAUAGUGACCGUAACAGCCGUAUUUCUAAGUUCAGUGACUGUAUCGGGCUCUCGUCGCAACUACAAUGACCGUGAGUGUAAGACAAUAAGUUUUGGGGGAACCAGCACAACCCUCUAGGGGUGGCUUAUCUCAUUAUAUAUAAUGGAUGUGUUACAAUAUGUACAAUAUACGUACAUAAGUACAGAAGCUAUACAUAGUCUAACACCCUCCCUCAAUCUUAGCCACUUUCUAAAGAACUGAGAAGGGUAAGAUUGCGCCUACAAGCCUCAAACUGUGGCAGAGGUAAAGGCUUAGUGAAGAUGUCUGCAAGUUGAUCCUUAGAUGAGAUAAACUUGAUCUGGAGUUGCUUCUGUGAUACACGUUCCCGUACAAAGUGAUAAUCAACUUCAAUGUGUUUCGUUCGGGCAUGAAAUACUGGAUUUGCAGAAAGGUAUGUAGCACCGAUGUUAUCACACCAAAGAAUAGGAGGCUGUGGUUGAGACAAACCCAACUCCUGAAGCAAAGACUGCACCCAAAUAAUCUCUGUAGUAGCAUUAGCCACAACCUUGUACUCAGCUUCAGUACUGCUACGUGACACAGUAGCCUGUUUCCGAGCACUCCAGGCGAUCAAAUUAGGGCCAAAGAAUACUGCAUAACCCCCCGUGGAUCGCCUGUCAUCUGGGCUACCAGCCCAAUCUGCAUCAGAGAAGGCCGAAAGGACCCGAGAGGAAGUCGGCCGAAUAUGCAUACCAAAUGUCAGGGUGAACUGAACAUAACGAAGAAUGCGUUUAACAGCAGCCCAAUGAGUAUCUCUGGGAGCCUGAAGAUACUGACAAACCCUGUUAACAGCAUAAGAGAUAUCCGGUCUCGUGAUCGUCAAGUACUGAAGUCCACCAACAAUGCUCCUGUACUCUGUGGCAUCCGCAGGAGACAAAAGCUCACCAUCAACAGCUGUUAUCUUGUCGGUAGACGACAUGGGUGUGGUGGUCGGUUUGCACUUCAGCAUGCCCGCUCUUUGUAACAACUCCAAGGAGUACUUCUUCUGCGUAAGGACAAGACCAGUAGCACGAGAAGUGACCUCAACUCCAAGAAAGUAGUGAAGCUUCCCAAGAUCUUUGACCGCAAAAUCAGCACCAAGAGAGCAGACAAGAGCAUCAGCAGCAUACUGAGAAGAGCUGACAAGGAUAAUAUCAUCGACAUAUACCAAAAGAUACAUAGUGACUUCUGGCUUCUGUAGAAGAAAUAAUGAAGUGUCAGCAGUGGACGGCACAAACCCAUGAGCACGAAGGGCAGAGGCAAGGCGGGCAUGCCAGGCACGAGGAGCUUGCUUCAAACCAUAUAGUGCUUUGGAGAGACGACAGAUAUAGUCAGGACGAUCAGGAUCAGAGAAACCAGGCGGUUGUUUCAUAUAAACCUCUUCCUCCAAAAAUCCAUGUAGAAAAGCAUUCUGCACAUCAAGUUGACGAAGUGACCAACCACGAGAAACAGCAAUGGAGAGAAGAAGCCGAAUAGUGGUAGGCUUGACGACAGGACUGAAGGUGUCCUCAUAGUCAAGACCAUGGCGCUGCCGAAAACCGCGAGCAACAAGUCGCGCUUUGUAACGCUCAAUAGAUCCAUCCGAAUGCUUCUUCACUUUGAAUACCCAUUUUGAGUCAAUAACAUUUACCCGUGGUGGUGGAGGAACGAGAGUCCAUGUCUUGUUACGAAGGAGAGCAUCAAACUCCUGCUCCAUAGCCUCUCGCCAAUGUGGAAUGCGCAGGGCAGCCUGAUAUGAGCGAGGCUCAGAAGAUGGAUCCGCAACAGCAGCAGCCAAACAAGCAGCCAACCAAGCAACCGUACCAUCCUUACGUUCCUUAGGUUUGAAAAUGCCACUGCGACUGCGUGUAUGUGGUCGGGACACAGGAACCACCGAGGUCGACGGAGCAGCCUGCAACGGGCUGGAGGACGGCGACGUUGACGAGUCAGCCGGUGACGAGGAGCCAGACACGGUAGCCUCGGGCUCGGUCGGCGAAGAAGGCCGGCCCACCGGCGAAACCGGCAGAGCAGACGAAGCAGUUGGCGACGCCGGCGUCACAGACCGGGCCGAUGGCGAGCCCGGCAUAGUGGGCUGUGGCGCGGCCGGUGUCGCGGGCCGAUCCGCGGAUGAAGGCGACGUGAGGACGGCGUCGCGGACCCGAGCUGCAGGCGAAGACGGCGUGACGGGCCGAGCCGCGGGCGAAGACGGCGUGACAGGCCGAGCCGCUGAAGACUCGGCGGCCGCUGGCGAAGAGGGCCGAGCCGCUGGAUACUCGGCGGUCGCUGGCGUAGCGGACCGAGCAGUGGAGAUGCUCGGCGCGACGGGCUCUUCGGGUGACCAUGCAUGGGCACGCGAAUCGAUGCCAUGCAACAUAGGGCGAUCGACGUGCCCAUCAGAAGGCGGCGAUGAUGAUGGUGAAUCCUCCAACAGCUCCAAACGAGCCCCACGUCCGGUUCCUACACCAUGGUUAGGUAACAGCAAAGGAGAGUAUGCAACAUCAUCAAAUUGGUCAGAAGCAACAGAGGAUGAAUGCAGAGAUGGUGGUUCGAUAGUGGACACAGGAAGUUUGGCAAAGGGAAAAACAUGCUCAUCAAACACGACGUCCCGAGAUAUAUAGACACGAUUAGUGGGAACAUGAAGACAUUUGUAACCUUUAUGAAGAGAGCUAUAGCCAAGAAAAACACACUUCUUAGAACGAAACUCAAGCUUGCGCUUAUUAUAUGGACGAAGAUGCGGCCAGCAAGCACACCCAAAUACCUUGAAAAAGGUAUAAUCAGGUUGUUCAUUAAGGAGAACCUCAAUGGGAGUCUUCAUGUUUAAAACACGAGUGGGAGUACGGUUGAUGAGAAAGCAUGCAGUGGUGAAAGCAUCACUCCAAAACCGAAACGGAAUAGAUGCAUGGGCCAAAAGAGUAAGACCAGCUUCAACAAUAUGACGAUGCUUACGUUCGACUGAACCAUUCUGCUGAUGUGUAUGUGGACAUGCUAAACGAUGAGCUAUCCCAAGCGACUGAAAGAAGGAGUUGAGGUUNNNNNNNNNNNNNNNNNNNNNNNNNNNNNNNNNNNNNNNNNNNNNNNNNNNNNNNNNNNNNNNNACUGGACAUGAACAAUUUUGUGCUUGAGAAGACGUUCAACAUGUUUUUGAAACUGAACAAAAAUAUCAAACGCAUCAGAUUUGCGUUUAAUAAGGUAAAGCCAGGUAAAGCGACUAUAAGCAUCAACGAAACUGAUAUAGUAAUUAUGACCACUGACAGAAGUCUGAGCAGGACCCCAUACAUCUGAAAACACAAGUUCUAAAGGAUGUUUCACCUCACGACUGGACUACGAAAAAGGAAGUUGAUGACUCUUCCCCUGCUGACAAGCAUCACACACUGCUACAUCUUUAUUACUAGACAAACUAGGAAGCUCAUGACGAUGCAAAAUAUGACGGACAAUAGGUGUGGCGGGGUGACCAAGACGAGCAUGCCACUGUGACGGAGAGACCCGAACUCCACUGAAAACACGGGCGACGCCAGGAUGCUCCAGACGGUAGAGGCCCUGGCACAACCGCCCACUAAGAAAAAUGUCCCUCGUGCCCCGAUCCUUAAUAAAAAGAUCAAAAGGGUGAAAUUCACAAAGCACAUUAUUAUCACGUGUGAGUUUAGGAACUGAAAGAAGAUUACGGGUCACAGAUGGAACUCGAAGAACAUUGCGAAGCUGAAGACUCCUAUUGGCAUGUCUAGUGAGAAGAGAUGCUUGACCAAUAUGAGAGAUGUGCAUACCUGCUCCAUUGGCGGUGUGGAUCUUGUCGGAGCCAUGAUAGGGUUCACGAGUGUGAAGCUUCCCCAUCUCGCUGGUCAGAUGCUCUGUCGCCCCAGAGUCCAUGUACCAGUGUGGAUCGAUGGAGUAGGACUGAGUGUGUCCCUGUUGCUUCUGCGGCGCGGGACGAUCAGCCAUGGCGACCUGAUGGGCAUUGUUGCGUGUAUCUUUGCCGUCAUUGCCAAGACCAAGGAAGCUUCGCUGGAAGCGCUUAUGACACUUGGAGGCCCAGUGCCCAUCGCGGCCACAAAGCUGGCACACACGUGGACCGCCAGCCCCCGGUAAGGUCGCAGUAGGUGGGGGGGCCGAGGCGGGCGACGGUGGCAGCCCCAAGGGAGACCGGGGUGAUGAAGAAGAGCGGCCACCCUUGGUGGCGGCGUUGGCCGAGAGGGAGCCAGUGCCCCUGGAGCGGCGUGUCUCGACCCGUUGCUCAGUGAGAAGGAGCCGAGAGAAAACCUCGUGUGCCAGCAUGGGUGUCGAGUUGCCCCGCUCGUUGAUGAUCUCGACUAAGGCAUCAUACUCCUCAUCAAGACCAUUGACAAUAAACGAGUUGAACUCGGAGUCGGUGAGGGGCUGUCCAAUGGAGGCCAAUGUGUCGGCGAGGCCCUUGACCUUGUUGUAGAACUCAGUGGCAGUGGAGUCAAGCUUCUAACACUCUCCAAGCUGACGACGGAGUGCAUAGACACGAGCCUGGGACUGCGCUGCAAAGGUUCGCUCAAGAAUGGUCCAGGCCUCAUGAGACGUCUUCGCGAAGACAACAAGUCCGGCAACUGCCGGCGAGAGCGACCCCUGGAUGGAGGAGAGGUUCGCCUGGUCCUGCCCCGUCCAGACGCGAUGGGCCGGAUUAUAGACCGGACCGUGCACGCUGUCUACCAGUGCGGGUGGGCAGGGAAGCGAUCCGUCGACGUAGCCUAGCAGGUAGUGACUCCCCAAGAGCGGGAGAACCUGCGCACGCCAGAAGAUGUAGUUGUCGGCGGAGAGCUUGAUGGUGAUGAGAUGACCGAAGUGAAACGGCGGCGGCGAAGACGAUCCCAUCGAGGGGGCUGCCUGGGGUGCAAACACCAUGGAGGCAGCCGGAGGCACCGAAGCCGAUGCGGGAGGAGGCGGGACCGCAGCCAGGGCGGACAUCGCAAAGCUCGCGGCCGGGUCGGACACCGCAAGGCCCGCGGCCGGGGCGGACGCCGCCAACCCUGCCAGCGGGGCGGUGUGAUCCGCUUGCGGCAGGAGCGGCGGGACGACGCCCGCGGAGUCCGCAGCGGACGGCGGCGCCGUGGUGUGGACCACGAGGUCGCGCCCAAGCGAGGGCGCCGGCGGCGUGGAGUAGACGGAGCCGAUGCUCCUGGUCCCGAUCGGAGCCGGAACGGCGACGGCAUCGAGCGGGAGGUUGAGCAGAGCCGCAAGAGAGGCCGGGAGGAACCCCGCAGCAGUGGAACCGGUGGUGGCGGCGCUCGACAUGGCGGCGGUGAAGGCGGCGGCGGCUGCGGCUGCGGCGGCGGUGCGGGUAUUAGGGUUUGGAAGCGGAAGCGAUCGUAACCUAGCGUGAUAACAUGUAAGACAAUAAGUUUUGGGGGAACCAGCACAACCCUCUAGGGGUGGCUUAUCUCAUUAUAUAUAAUGGAUGUGUUACAAUAUGUACAAUAUACGUACAUAAGUACAGAAGCUAUACAUAGUCUAACAGUGAGGGUAUUUAUCUCCGAAUUAAAACUCGGGUUGAUUCCAGUGUCCACUGCAUGCAUCGAUCCCCGAUUUGAUCCCCGCACGUCGUUAGUCAUUACUCGAUCGGUUGGUGAUCGACUUUGCAUCGGCUGGUGGUCGAUCGCAUCGUCGUAGGUUCCACGCCGUACAUGCCCUUUGCUAGGGAGCCUACAUAAGUCAGAGCGUAACUGAUUCUCCGUCUUUCAUUUCCGCGAGUGCGGUGCGCCAGCCGGGCAUUAAUAUACCAGUGCAACAAGAGUUGGAGCUCGCAGCGUGGAUUGGCCUGGCUGGUUACCAACUCUUAUAGCAUCUCCAAUGCCGAAUCUCAAAUCGCUCGUCAUCGUCUAGACCGAGCUGUCUAAAGGGCAUUUUGUCAAUCCAACGUGGCACCUCAUCGGUCCAUAGAGUAGUUCAAACGUCUACUUUUCCACAAGCGGACGCAAACCAGGGGCUUUGCGGGCGUCUAGACCGCUGCCACGUACCCGGCCGCCAACCCGGUCCCACCCAAAUCCUCUCCCACGCCCGCACACUCUAACCUGCAAAGCGGUUGCCGCGCAUUCAUGCCGGUCCAGAGUGCCAACGCCUCAUGCAGGCCGGCCUAGAGCGGAUACAACCUCUUACUGCAGCAGCAGUUAUUGAAGCGGCAUGUCAGCAAAAGGCGUUGCCUAUUCUCCGUGCAUGUUCCAAUACCGGAGACGCGUGACCUGGCGGGGCUGGACGACUGUGCACCGCAUUCAAACUGGAUCUCGCUCAUCUUCUUGUCAGCAUUAAACUGGUGCGGCAGCAGAGAAACCUACUCCGGCACCCGUAUUGGAACACCACGCCACGUGUCCCGAAUGGUGUAGCUAUUUAAACGCUGCCUCCUCCCCUUGCACGACCAGCACGACCACACCACGUCAUCCAUGACCACGAGCUGUAGACAUAUGUGGGAGAGCCUCAUGAUGGAGUAGAAGGAAGAGUUGGCCUGCAUUGGGGCCGACCGGGUGGCCCGUCGUGCGCGACAGACUGAGGAUGGCUUGCCAGCUAGCUCGUCGGAGGUUAGCGAAGAGGAGGCGUCUGACGAUGAUCUGAUGCCCUAGCCUGCGUAGUUGCACUUCAAUGUCAUUGUGGCUGAAAAGCAGCCAGUGUCACCUGUCACGGCGUCCCAACAGGAACCGGGGACGGGGCAGCACUACACCCUCUGGCUCCUUGACGAGCACCGGAUCGCGGGGGCGGGGAGGGGAGGCAAAUCAUCGACGAGCAGGCGAAUGACGAUGUCAUCAAGGCAUGGUCACGGAGGAACCGAGCUUCUUGGAUGAGCAGUGGGCGUUGGACAAGUUCAUGCGGGAUUGCAACUGCGUAUCCAGCGGGCGAACAUAUAUGCCUUGUUCACGGAUAUCGACGCGGUGGCAGAGGAAGAGGUUGCGCAGGCAACCGCGGACAUCGCUAGCUCCGCAUCGGCCAUGCCACCACUGCGGUUCGCGCCCCGCCACAAUGACCAAGACCCGACCUUGCACGUCCAGUGCCAUCGAUAUGGCGGACAACGGCAUGGAAAAGUAGAACAUGGAAGGCCACCAUGGCUUGAGUCCCAGGAAGACCACUGCCCACGUCUUGUCGGGGAUCACAACUCGUUAGCUUGUCGGACAUGGUGAAGACUGCCAUGGGAACGGACGCCACUGUGGCUGGCGAUCAUUUAGACUAGGUUAAAAAAGUCUAGUCCGCUAUAGUUUAGUUGAAAUAUGGUGAAAUGUAAUGAUUUUGAUCCGAUUUAGAUGAAAAUCAUCCAGUUUGCAUGAAUGUUAUCUGGUUUAUUCAAAUUCACUUCAAAAAUGUAUGCGGGAACGGUUGGAUAUCCGGCUCCCAUAUCACUUUUUCCGGACGCAUCUGGGCGCGUCGGCAGACGAUUAUUGUGUCCUUUUUAGGGGUUCGCAGUGGAGCUGCCCUUAUGUGGCUUUUAUAUUCGUUCCAAAGGGCCUUUAGAAGGAAAACUAAUGUCUCCAGAGUAAAUGUGCACAGUCAGGUUUCAUAAGCUGUAGCAUCAUUUCCUCUCCUGUUUCUCUCAUUUACUUUGUUGUUUAUAUCGCUCCAUUUAACAUCCAAUUUCAAAGGAAGAUGACACAAACUUUUAGGUGUUGAGCGUCACACAAUUUCACAAAAUUUGCAAUACAUUAAUCUCAAAAUGUCAAACUCAAGUCCAAAUGUGACUACAUAUAACCAUGCAUAGAUAGUUUCCGAAUGUGACAUAGACAUGGAUAGGUUCUAAGACAUACUGCAAAUAUCUAAGGACGCAAUGGGACGACAUAGCAUGGAUUGUGCUCGUCAUAGGAGUAGGAGAAAGAUAUUUCCAUGAUCAUGGCGGCAGCCGCCUGGGCAGCCCUCAUCCGUCCAUCCCGCUUGGCCCAGGCGGCGGUCUCGAAGGUGUAAGGCUCUGUUGUAUCCUUGAGCAUAUGCUCAUGUUUGGCCAAGCGUGGGCCUUAGUGGUGGAAGUGGAGGCCUCUAUCGCCUUCUGGAGCCUCCUCUCCUCUUCGGCCAUGGUCAUGCCAUCCUCAUUGGCCGACUCGACGAGAUUAUCCCAAGUGAUCUCGUCAUGGGAGUCCUGGGGAGGCAGGAGGGCCUGGACAUCAAGGGGAACUGAAAAGUGCACCUAUUGCCUUUAGUAGGUUUUGAUGAUAUAUGAUAGCUUGAUUAACAGUACUAAUGUUUUCUCUCAGUGUUUAUCAUCUUAUGUCCCAAAAGAUGCGAUUUCAUAGUAUUUAGUGAUCGAAUAUCACUUUGGAUCCAAAGACAUGCCAAUAUUAUCAAAGGGGGAUUCAGGUAUGUGUGAUAAAGUUUUUUUUGAAAGUUCUUGAAGAUCGGACUUUGAAAAGGUCAGAAGUCUCAUAAAAUCGAGUAGGAGUGAAAUCGGAUCAGAUUCAGACGGAUAAUGUGCAUGCCAUACCCUAUUCUGUUUUUUGGAUUUGAAAGCAAGACAAAUGUGGUAUGGAUGCAGAUUCGAAUACCGGAUUAUGUUGGAUUCAGACAUGGUACGGUGACAAAUCGGACACAGAUCAGAAACAGACAUACUACAUGCAUAUAUGACGAAUAUAUACAUGCUCUAAACUAAAAUUAUACAUAAAACCAAAGUAAAUAUUAGUAAUUAUACACUUAACACAUAAAGCACUAGAAGGUACUAAAGUAAUCCAAAUAAAAUAUAAGAAGCACAUAUCUAAUGUCAUAAGCAUAUAAAUACAAGUAUUGCUAGUUAAUAUUUAAAACUGUACCAAUUAAUUAUAUAACCAUAUUUAAAAGUUUGGAUUAUCCAUAUAAAAAGGAUUAUCAUAACCAUGGCAUAUUAGUAAGGGCAUCUCCAAAGCGUACCCUCAAACCUCCCCUAUAUGUCCUGGCCACAGUUCUGGAACACUUUUGUCAUCCAAUGGGAACCUAUAUAUGUCCGCUGAGCAGUCCGUACGUACGAAUUCCGGCAUCCUAGUAACAAAUGUGGAGGGGGAGGGGGGUUUGCCGGAGUCCGGACAUGCACUUGACCAACACAAAGCCUCCGGUCUUCCUCUCUUUUCUCUCUAUCUUCACAUGCAUGGCCCCCCUCCCCUCAUUCUCUUCCGAACCAGAUACCACACCACAAUAUCCCAUCAAAAGUAUCUGCAUGCAUGGUAUCCCCUUUUUGUCUCUCCUCCCAACCGGACAAAUAUAGAUUAAUUUGUGAAUAGCGUUGGAUGGCUCACAUGAAAAUCAUAGAUUAACUUUAUCAUAAGCUUUCUCAUACUGAAUUAUAAAAACCAAGCAUCUCUGCUUCGAAGUCAAAAUGGAAUGCACGGUGUUCCUCGUAAUAUUGCGUCUUCAUGGAAAAUGACAACGGUUGGGAAAGGGUGUACUUCGCAAUUGAUUAUAGCUUGAUUCAUACAUAGUAACUUCUUACAAAAAUUGGCAGAAAUAUUACAAACCUUGGUAAAGAAACACCAACACCCACACACUUGUCUGACACACUGACCCCUGACCCUCAUAACACUUAUUCUGAAGUCAUUAUGCAAAUAUUGAAAAACAGGGUAGGGAAUGAUAAAAGGCUAAACCAACCGUGCAUGCGGCGAUCAUAAAUAGCAACGUCACCCAGAGCACGAAACCAUGGGGAUUUCAGUGCUGGCCCGGAAGGUGGUAGAGACUGGAUCACUGGAGUCAGUGGUGUCCAUGGUAUCCACCGCCACCGCCACCGCCGUAGGUGGGCAUGGGAGGGACGGGAUGGUAGUCUGGGUGGGGCUGCGGCUUCGGCUCCGGCUUGGCCGCUUGGGCACGGGGUGGUAGUCCGGGUGAGGCUGGGGCUUGGGCUCCGGCUUCGGUGGCACGGGCUUCUUGUGGUGGAAGUGCUCGAUGAUGUGCUUCUUGAUUGUCCCGCACAGGGUCAUGGACGCACACUCGAGCGACGCCACGGAUGGCGUGGCGGUAUUGGCGCCGGCGAUGACACCGAAGGUGGUGCCCUCGGACACCGGCACGAUCUUGGAUGGCUCCUGGCCAGGGCACGGCGCGUUGGAUGCGGCGCUAUGGAGCUGAGCCAUGCAGUCGGCGCCAUGGAGGUCAGAAGCGAGGGGCACGCUGAAGGCGCCGGUGCCGUCGAGGGCACCCACCGCCUUGCUUGCUCUCGUAGUCGCCGUAGACGUUCUUGCACCUGAUCGCCACCUGGAGACCUGAGGUACGUUGACGGCAGAGGACAACCAUGAGCCGAUCUCCAUCUAUAUAGGUGUGUAUUUCGGGUGUGUAUAUAGUAGUAGUACGAUUGAGCUGCAUAUGUAGCUUACCCUUGAAGGCUUCCUCGGCCUUGAUGUUCUUCCUGGUGCAGUCGGCGCACUUGGCCAGACCGACGACGACGGACGCCGCCUCGGCGUUGGAAACGGCGGUCGCCAGGAGGACGGUGAGGACCAGUGCUCUCGUUGGAGCCGCCAUGUUUUUUUUUAGAAUGAAGGCUCGCGAAGAGCCCGACUUUGAAUUAACAAAACCAUCAACUGGCCAGGAAUUACAGACAAACAACAGACCACAUCGGCCCAACAAUACAAGGGAGCAUUCUAGGGAGCUUACAACUCAACGCCGCGCACAAGCUUGAAAGAAAAAUUAAAACAAAGCCCAUAGCUUGCACUAGCAGAAGACCGCAACAAACAGUACCGAGGGAAGCGACCAUCAAGCAGGAUUGAGGACCUGCUAAAACAGAGUGUGGGCAUGAACUGAACUGACGCCCAGGAUGAAGAGAUCGAAGCAUCUUCCUCCUCUCGUGCCGCCAUGUCUGAACCCGUGAAUCGAACUCAGCUUGCCUGUGUGAAGUGGCUGAUGGAUGAAUGGAUGGAACAGGCGACGCAUGGCUUUUAUAGGCCGCCGCAUUGAUCGGCGCAGCUCGAUGGGUGGUGUGGUGGCCGGCGAAGUGAUGCGUGACAACGAGAGGCCGGCUAACUCACCGAAAUUUCAGAUGGCGAGUUGAAUACCGCGCCGGCUGGAUGAUCGGAUCGGUCGGUGCGUGUGCCUCCACGUCGCUAUUGGUGAUCAACUUGGUUUGGUGGUGGAGUACGUAGGUAGGCACGGGCCGCGUCUCUCGGCAUGCACAUGCAUUUGCGUGAGUGCGUGCAUGCAUGCAUGCAGCGUAAGUUCGUAGUAGUACCCUGUUUGCUGGUGGUAAGCUGGUGUUGGAUCGACAUCAAAAUUGCUGUAAAGUGUAUGUCCAUUUUGGGGAGUAGGGAGCUUGCGGUACAGUACCAGUGAGCACUGCUUUGUUGUUCACAAGUAGAAUGUUGUGAAAAUAUGAGCAGCUUUCAGUUAUGUUUAAUCCACGAAAAAACAGAUAGAAGAUGAUCAACAUAUAGUUGACAUGAUAUUCCAACAAGAGAAGUUGGUAAACAGAACAAAAGAUCGAAGGCUAAUAGUUCAAGUUCACAUGAUCCCAUACAAGGUUAGAUUUGAUCUUACCAACAACAAGUUGCAUCGGAAAAAGAGUUGCUGAAGAUCGUGUUCUUGAAGUCCCACAAACAUAACCCUCGAACUAGAACUGAACAUACAGCCCCUCUAUGGAUCGCACCCUUAGUAUGAAACCAUCGAAUUCGAGGAUGUAGCCAAGUGCUAAUUUCAAAACGGUGUAGUGUUCAUGGUUUGAGAGUUCCAGGUCUACUUGCUACUCGUUCUAUGCCACAAUAUUUUUUGGCGAAAAAUUUAUUUUCAUCUUUUUAUUCCACUUUUUGACAAGCUAGUGAAGCCAAAAAUAACCUAACAUGUUAGGAUUGACAACCUACACUUAACUAUCAAGACUAGUGGGUGUGGAAGACCCUAUAGUCAUUCAAAAGUAACAAGUACACUAGAACUCAACCUAAUUCAUAUCUCCAAUAGAAAUAUUGAACGUUGUAGUAUCAUCAUUCAUCAUUAAGACACGCUGAUCGUAGAUAGAUAGUUCCUCCCAUACUCAUGGGGAGCUUUUUUGCAAUUUACGUAUUAUGCAAACUGAAAAUAAACUAACUCAAUUUUGAGGAAAGUAAACAUAUGAAAACGGUAAAGAUGUAAGGGCUUAUAUAUGAAUCUCCCCAAGCUUAAGCACUAAACCGGCAGGAUCUAAUAAUCCCUCUCAGUCGAUGGUACCUCGGGGUUUCUUCUCCCUUGUAGUGGAAGUGUUGUAUGCAAGGGCCUGAUGGAACAACUCAUUAGUCUUCUCUAGGUCAGCGAUGUGAUGUUGGUUCAUCCGCACAAUUUCCUCUAGGUUGGCAGUGAGGCAGGCGUUGAGAGUGGACUACUGGACUUAGUGUCCUCAACAAUCUUUUUCUCCAACUGCCUGAGAUGUUCAUGCAAAGGAUCACGGUUGAUGGGUGACCCAUUAGCAUGUACCUCAAGCCAACGAAUGUGCUCGUUGAUGUUGAUAGGAUGCGGCUUCCGUGCAUAAUUGGGGUUGACGGGGUACUUCUUCUACCAUGCUCUAGGAAGCUUGACAGAUAUAUGAGCCCCAAUAUUGAUCUUCUUGCCGGUGGUGUGGUGUGACAAGUUUAUUGAUAGGUACCCUCCAACGAUAUAUGGAUGGUAUGGCCAUCCACGACGGUUGGGGUACCCUCCUUGGGGACUUCUUCCUCAGAUGAGCUAUCUCCACCUUGAUCCCACAUUCGCCAAUCAUGCUUGAGACCUCGUCCCAACGCAUCGGGAGAAGCGUCUUCCAGCUCGAAAUCCUCCUCGUGGAAUGGGCUUGAUCCAUGUGGUGGGCAUCCGCCGGCUGCAAAGGCGACCCUCCUCCUCCUGCGAGGUCAUCUGGCAUUCGUCCCAUGAGCGUGUCAUGGCCUAAGAGAUGCUUGCCUUUACAUAAAACUUAAUAUGCAACUGGAAUAGAUUGGUUUGUCAAUGGCUAAAGGAGAGCACUCCCCAAAGGUAUAUAAAGACGUAAACCCGUCAAAUAUUCAUGAGAUUAAUUUUUGGAAGAAGAUUAGGAAAUAACCAAAGAUUUUCGGGAAAGAAUAAGGUGUCGCCGCGCGAUCAGAAGAAAAGAAGUGGCGUGGUACAAGCGAUUGCGCUCAUACCAACAGACCACCGUGUCGGUGCCCUUCGGGCAAUCGCCGCUCUGGCCCACCCAGUACAAGGCACCUAUCUACUUUGCCACCAAUCAAUACGAUCAACCCGGAGUGCAGCAAUCAUCGCAGUACUCAAUUGCAUCCUUCAUCUCCGGCCACCCUCCACUCUACAUCAUCGACCACAACAAUGACUACAUGUUCACCGAGUCGCCGACACUCGUCCAGUUGCGGCUUCCGUCCAAGGAGCCCAUGUCCGACGGUGCCCAAUCACUGUUUGGCGGAAUGCCUCCCCUAAGCUCGAUGGCGGCGACUGAGCAACGAGGCAAUGAUGAACAUGAUCCUUAAUGGUGACGGCCAUGAAGAUGUACAGGUCUAUGAUGACUACUUACCGCAUCCGGAGCAAGAGACGUUGACGGACACCCGGUAGUCAUCGGUGCUCGAUGCGGACAGAAAUAAAAAGAGGGAUUUGGCGUACUCGAACAAGGAGGAUGAAUUAUUUUGUUUGAUGUGGUUAGGCACAAGUGUUGAACCGUUUCAAUGUACGGAGAAAAAGGGCUCGGCAUUUUGGCAAAGUGUGCACGAUUGGUUUCAUGGGAAAAGCAUUAUGAGCCCUACAACAAGGAAGUUGCUAAGCCAACAAUGGUACAUCAUUCAAGGGGCCAUCAACAAAGUAUCACGGUCCGUAUGCACAAAUAGAAAACUAGUGACUAAGUUGUGUGUCAACACUCCUUGAGUUCGUAACUUUUCUUCGUGAUGCUCUAUGUGUUGGUCAUUUGAUUGAUUUUCUCUAUGUUGCAACUUGUUGAUCAUGUCAUUGUAUUGCUUUGCUAGCCCGGACGGGUAGCCAUGUUGUACCACAAGAUUGAGGGCAAGCCAUUCAUGAUGAUGCAUUGUUGGUACAAGUUGAAUGCGCAAAGCAAGUGGAGCAGCAUUACCAAUUCUCUCAAGACCACCAACCCAAAGCAAGUGAUGAAGGUGGUGAUCCAAUCGGUGCAAUUUCUAGGAGGGCUUGCACUAGCCACCCAUGUGGCUAGGUCAACGGGAAAUAAAUGGGUGAAUGAGAAAGGAAGCGAGAAGGAGUGGCGGCCAAGACGACGGGGAAAUUAUAGGACAUCAUGGCGAAGUAAGAAGAGGCAUGUGCCAAGCACAAUGAGAUCAUGGAGGAAAUUGUUCGUGGAAAUCCAAAAGAAGAAGAUUGAGUUUAAGGAUAGGAAGCUUGCGGUCAAGUAAGUGUGUGAGGAGCAAAAGGUCUAGUACAUGGAGGCUGAUGACUUGGAUCACGACGCGGCCAAGCUUGUUCACGACUUGCAUGAUAGCAUGUACACACGCCUUGUGUAAAAGGAGAGGGGAAAGUAGGCCAAAAAUUGAGGCAUUUGAUAUGGACAGCCGGUUCAUUGCUUUUGGGGUCGAUAUAUAGAUGUACAAAACUUAUUGAGUAUCCGAUGAUUUUGCUAUUGGUUACAUUUUUUUGCAACCAUUUAAAUGUAUGAUCGAAUUGUUAUUGCUCUAGAAAAUUUGACAAAGAGAGAAGGCCCGACAAGUACCUAGGACAAAAUUUGAAGGACACAAUUGCAUGACACAUCCGUGAAGGACGCAAUUGCAUGACACAUCCGCCCGGACGGAUGUUGGCGGACAGGGAAAAAUGAAUGUACUUUUUUUUUGCGGUUGAAAAAAAAUGAAUGUACUUGAUUGAUCAAGAUAUAAUGAUCGAGUAACUUUUCAUUACCAAAAUUCACACCGGUAUUACAAACCUUGGGAAAAAAUGGCCCAUGACCCAUACAUUUGCCUGACACCCGUACUUAUCCCUCAGAACUGUUAUUCUGAAUGAUAGAAGACCAAGCUAACCCGUGCACAUAUAAAUAGCAACCUCAUUCACUCACUGACAGCAACAAGCCAUCUCAGUGCUGGGCGGGAGGGUGGCAGAUCGGAGUCAGUGGUGUCCGUGGUAUCCACCGCCACCGCCACCGCCGCCGCCGUAAGUGGGCGUGGGAGGGACGGGGUGAUAGUCCGGGUGGGGCUUCGGCUUGGGUUCGGGCUUGGGCACGGGGCCAUAGUCCGGGUGGGGCUGGGGCUUGGGCUCCGGCUUGGGCGGCACGGGCUUCUUGUGAUGGAAGUGCUCGAUGAUGUGCUUCUUGAUCGGCCCGCACAGGGUUGCGGACGCGCACUCUGGCGAUGCCACCGUGUCUGUCUUGGCGCCGGCGACGACACCGAAGGUGGUGCCCUCAGACACCGGUACGAUCUUGGAUGGCUCCUGGCCCGAGCAUGGCGCGUUGGAGGCGGCGCUGUGGAGCUGUGCAACGCAGUCGGCGCCGUGGAGGUCGGCGGCGAGGGGCACGCUGAAGGCACCGGUGCCGUCGAGGGCACCCACCGCCUUGCUCUCGUAGUCACCAGCGUUGUUCUUGCACUUGAUCGCCACCUGAAGACCUGUUGUACAUUCAUGGCAGAACAACAGUGAGCAGAAUAACAUCAUGCCUUUACAAAGUGGAGUAUUCUAUCAAAUCUAGCUAGCUAGCGCUUACCCUUGAAGGCUUCCUCGGCCUUGAUGUUCUUCAUGGUGCAGUCAGCGCACUUGGCCAGGCCGACGACGACGGACACCGCCUCGGCGUUGGCAACGGCGACCGCCAGCAGGACGGCGAGGACGAGUGCUCUCGGAGCUGCCAUGUCUGAACCUCUACCACUUGCUUGCCUGUGUGAAGUGGCUGAUGGAUGGAUGAAUGGAACAGGCGACGCAUGGCUUAUAUAGGCCUCGACAUUGAUCGAUCCAGCUCGGCCGAUGAUCUGGCUGCAUGCAUGCUCGAAGCACGAAGGGGUGUGGUGGGCGGCGAAGUGAUGCGUGACAAGGAGAGGCCGGCUAACUCGCCGAAAUUUCAGAUGGCAAAGUUAAUACGGCGUCCGCUGCAUGAUCGGAUCGGUCGGUGCAUGUGCGUCCACGUCGCUGUUGGUGAUCGACUUGGUUUGGUGGUGGAGUACGUAGGUAGGCACCGGCCGCGUCUCUCGGCAUGCACAUGCAUUUGCGUGCGUGUGUGCAUGCAGCGUAAGUUCGUAGUAGUAGUACCCUGUUUGCUGGUGUUGGAUCGACAUCACAGAUUGCUGUAAAGUGCAUGUCCAUUUGGGGAAUAGUGAGCUUGCGCUGAACUGCAAAAACGGCUUACAUUAAGUCACAUACUUCCUCCGUCUAGGUGUUAGGUUGUGCACCGUGAUGAAGGCAAAGAGAAAAACGAGAGAACUUAAUAUUUAUUUGAUAAUUAAUAGCAUUGCAUGCAAUAAACUGAACCAUUGCAUGUCGUGUUUGCAAGUCAUUGAAAGCAUACACAUCACACAUCUCUUAUUGCUUGAUUCCUUUAUUUAUGUCGAGAAACAGAAAUAAGGUGAGAGUUAAUGCACCACGCCUAAGUGUUUUGAGAUUAUUUAGUUUUCAUAAGGCUACUCAUAGUGGGGAGCAUCAUAUACUAGUAUCAUGCAUAUGAUACUACCUUCAUAGUGAACAGUAUCAUAGAGUAGUAUCAUAGAUGAUCUUGUUUAUUUCAUGCAUAACACAAAGUAGCAUAACAUUUAAUAUAAUACAAUAUAUAUCUAUGUUAAUCUAGCCCUCUCUCUCUCCUUUAAUUCUCGGCGACAUCAGCGUGUUUGCUAUUCCCAAGUGCAUGAUACUAGCUAAAAUACCACCAUUAUGACCAGCCUAAGAUGACUUGUAUACCUAGACACAGGGAGUAGGGAGUAGAAUGUGUUACAUAUGAGCAGUUUGUAAUUAUGUUUAAUCAAAGAAAAAACAUAUAGAAGAUGAUCAAUAUAGUUUACAUGAUAUUCGAACAAGAGAAGUUUCUUUUUACUCGGUACAGACGCAGACGCUUAUACAUACGCAUAUACACCCACUUCUAUAAACGCAAGGACGCACACCAUACCCCUAUGAGAACCUACGAGAGAUUGAGUUGGCACAUCAUCUUGAGUUUGACGCCAUCGUAGUGAACGGGAACGUCUCCUCGCACUGAACGCUCAUCGUCAAAAGGCCUAAAAUAAAAUCAGGAAAAUGCGAGCACCAAUGUUAAGUCUAGGACUUGAACUCUGGUGGGAUUUGUAUACCACUGUCCUCAUAACCAACCGACCACAGAUUGGUUCGCUCGAACAAGAGAAGUUAGUAAGCAAAACAGACAUGCUAUUCAACGGGUAUGGUAAACAUGGCAUGUACAGAUCAAAUGCUAAUGUAGUAAGGAACUGGAAGUAAUCCCUAAUGCGAAUGAAGAAGAGUUCGCAGUCAGCGCAUCACCGACGGUUGACAUGGCCUGGAGGGAUGGGGAGUCGUGUCCGGGAAGUAGUUUUCAUUGUAUGUCGCAAUGUCGGUCGCAUGAGAUCUCUCCCAGAGAUCAUGAUCUCCUCUCUCGCUCUCUCAUACAUGAUCACAAUAGAUGGGGUACCGGAGUCCUGUUGUUCUACAUUGUGGUGCAUGAAAGUGGAAUGGAAAGACGCGCGGCACAGAUCUGGAACUGAAGAAUGGUCUCAUGUACAUUUCUAUGUGGCCCCAUCUAUUUGCAGAGGAGCAACCUCUAAUAGGCUCUAACAAACGAAACAAGUCCACUAUGGAUGAUUCUGAGAUGAAGAGUCUACAAAUGUUCGGUUUCAUCUUCUACUAGUGCAAAAUAAUGUUUUCAAUCAUGUCACGCACGACAAGAGGAGUGACAGACAUGUGACAGGUCAGAGUCCAGCUCGUUCACGAAACACAAAGCGCGUCAGGCUAGGUGAUGUCAUGCAAAUGCAUAGAGUUUAGUUGUAGUUGUUUUCGGAGUAAGAGUAUUGAUCCCACAAAGAGCUGAGGAAAUGGUAUUUUACCCCUUGUAGAGGUUUAUCCGAAUUUGCCUGCAAGUUAUUUUUAGGUCCCAAGCAAAAGCAGUGUGAAAGGUGAAAUAUUGCAAGAGUGUGUGUGUGUGUGUGUGUGUGUGUGCGCGCGCGCGCGUGUGUGUGUGUGUGUGUGUGUGUGUGUGUGUGUGUGUGUGUGUGAGUGAGUGAGAAAGCAAGAAUUAAAGUGCACAAGAAUAAUGACUAAGAACAAGAGAGUAGUGAUAAUGAUAAAAACUCCAGUAGGGCUAAAAGGCGUUCUAUGGAGUCUAUGGAGUCUGUAUUCACCACUUGUAUUUAUUAUACCUAAUUGUGUAGAAACGCAACCUUUGGUUCAAAUACGUGAUCCAUGUUAUAUAUGUAUUGUGUGGGGAGAGCCAAUAAAAAGAUACGUGCAUAUUAGCGCAGUUCUGUAUCACGCACACCAUCACUGUCGCACCAAUGCAUAUCGGCAGAGUACAAUGGUGAUUGAGAGUCUCUUCAACGAUGUGGAAUAAAACACAUGAGUCUCCGUUGUUCCCUUACCAAUGAUUCGGUAAGGAGAGAGAGAGAGAGUUUUCAUCACUGUUGUACCUCUAACCCCACAUCACAAAGAUAAUAAUAUCCGUCAAGUCCCGAUGGGCUAAAUAUUGUGCAGUCAAUGUUCGCACAAUAUCAUGAAGAACAUUAACACGAUUAUAUAACAAAGAUUGUAUAUAUUAUCGUCAUUAGGAUCAUAUAAAUGCUAGUGCUCCCAUGUGUCCACAAGAACUGAUGAAUUACUCUGACAUAGAGGCACAAGACAUCGACGAGGUGUCCAUGGCAAUGGAAGAUGAAUUGUUAAUGUAACACACGUAUAAAUCUAGACCAGGGUUUGGGAUUACAAGAAGAUGAAUGAGGGAUAUUCAAUGUAAAGUAUGUGGAUGAUGUUGUUGAUGAUGAUGAUGGUUGAUGUUGUGGUCUCGGUGGUCGAAGCUUUGGCGAGGUGGUGCCCUUCUGCUGAUUGGCACUUCGGAUUCCUUUUGGAGAUGAGGUUUUCUGCUUCUAUUCUAUGGUAUGUGAUCUCUCUGUUUGUCACGUCCGAGAUCCGAUUGCACGGGGUGGAAGUACUCCAACAGGGAGAGGUGGCACCGUGCGGUACGACCACUGGUAUGAGCAGUCACGCUUGCACUGUGCGUCGUCUUCUCUACUAGAUAGCUGGGUGCAGCUAGUUUUCCUCCCACAUUCUCGUCUCAUCGUAUAGAAAGUCUUAAUUAUGUCUAAUCAGCAUAUUUUUCACACCAAAAAUAGAUGUUUUACAUUUAGUGUUCAAAAUAUCACGGGAUUUUGAUGAAAUCAAGCAAAAGGGCAAUCACCCGUGAUAAAGUACAGAAAAUUACAUGGUUAUUGAGGCCAAGUUCUGACCCCAGGUGCGGUUGAGCCUCACCUGAUCUAGUCUUGUUCCUUUGGUGUGUUGUCGUGCUCGUGGAUGACUGCUUUGACGAUGCUACCAGUGUUUCCUUUUUGUCUUCAGAAUGUUGGUUAUGUCGUGGCCUGUUAUCUGUGUCGUAAGCACUGUGUAUCCGCCAUCUUAUUUUCUUGCUUGUUGUAAGUGUGCUCGAUGUAAUUACUGAUUGGUUAAUGACUUUGUUAAUUCAAGGUCGGUCUCUCCUUAAACUUUCGCUCUGAAAAAAAAGGAAAUUUUGACAAAGAGAGAAUGUCGGACAAGUAUUUAGGGAGCAAAUUUGAAGGACAUGAUUGGAUAACAUCGGACCGGCCGGAUGUCCGCCGGCAAUUGGCGGCGUCCGUUUGGUGAUCGCUGGGGAAAAUGAGCGUACUUGGUUGAUUCAGAUAUAGGAACUUCUCAUUACAAAAAAUCACACCGAUAUUACAAAGCUUGUAAAAAAACUGACCCAUCACCCGUACAUUUGCCUGACACACAUACUUAUCCCUCACAACUGUUAUUCUGAAUGAUAGAAGAUCAAGCUAACCCGUGACAUAAAUAGCAACGUCGCUCACUCACUGACAGCAACAAGCCAUGAAAUUUCACUGUUGUGUCGGACGGUGGCAGAUCGGAGUCAGUGGUGUCCGUGGUAUCCACCGCCACCACCACCGCCGUAGGUGGGCGUGGGAGGGACCGGGUGGUAGUCCGGGUGGGGAUGCGGCUUGGGCUCGGGCUUGGGCACAGGGUGGUAGUCAGGGUGGCGCUGGGGCUUGGGCUCCGGCUUGGGCGGCACGGGCUUCUUGUGAUGGAAGUGCUCGAUGAUGUGCUUCUUGAUCGGCCCGCACAGGGUCGUGGACGCGCACUCUGGUGAUGCCAGCGCGUUCGUCUUGGCACCGGCGAUGACACCGAAGGUGGUGCCCUCGGACACCGGCACGAUCUUGGAUGGCUCCUGGCCGGAGCACGGCGCGUUGGAGGCGGCGUUGUGGAGCUGCGCGACGCAGUCGGCGCCGUGGAGGUCGGCGGCCAGGGGCACGCUGAAGGCGCCGCUGCCGUCAAGGGCACCUACCGCCUUGCUCUCGUACUCGCCGUCGACGUUCUUGCACUUGAUCGCCACAUGGAGACCUGAGAUACGUUAACAGGAGGAGGAUAACCAUGAGCCGAUCUCCAUCUAUAUAGCAGAAAAAGCUUGUCCUUCAAAUAAAUAUAUCUAGCACCAAGUUAGUGCUAGAUACAUCCAUUUGAGAAAGUUUGGGACCAAGUUUUUUCGGACAGAGGCAGUACACGAUUGAGCUGCAUAUGUAGCUUACCCUUGAAGGCUUUCUCGGUCUUGAUGUUCUUCCUGGUGCAAUCAGCGCAGGCCAGUCCGACGACGACGGACGCCGCCUCGGCGUUGGCAACAGCAACCGCCAGCAUGACGGCGAGGACGAGUGCUCUCGGAGCUGCCAUGUCUGAACCUCUACCACUUGCUUGCCUGUGUUGGAAGGAUGAAUGGAACAGGCGACGCAUGGCUUAUAUAGGCCUCCGCAUUGAUCGGCACAGCUCGAUGGCGAUCUGGCUGCAUGCUCGAAGCUCGAAGGGUGGUGGGCGGCGAAGUGAUGCGUGACAACGAGAGGCUGGCUAACUCACCGAAAUUCUAGAUGGCGAGUUAAUAUAUACGGCGCCCGCUGCAUGAUCGGAUCGGUCGGUGCGUGUGCCUCCACGUCGCGGUUGGUGAUCGACUUAUUUUGGUGGUGGAGUAGCGUAGGUUGGCACCGGCUAAAAAUGCUAAACAUACAAAUAAGUAUACAAGUUUACAAACUCUUUCUAUCUACUAACCAAUCACAAACUUGCUCACCCCUCCCUCCCAACCCUUGAUUUUCAGGGGAUGGGCCGCCUCCCCACUUAGUGACCAAUCAAGUUAACCCUCUUUGUAAAACCUUGUAACUCAUUUGUACGUGUAGCAUUACUGGGCACCGGCCGCCUGUACAUGCAUUUGCUUGCGUGCGUGCAUGCAGCGUAAGUUCUCGUAGUAGUAUUCCCUCUGUUUUUUUAUAGUCUGCAUAUAAGAUCUGGCCAAAGUCAAACUUUGUAAAGUUUGACCAAAUUUAUUUGAAAAAAUAUCAACAUCUACAAUAUUAAAGCUAUAUGAUAUGAAAAUUAAUUUCAUGAUGCAUCUAACAAUAUUGAUUUCAUAUUGUGAGCCAUGGUAUAUUUUUCUAUAAACUUAGUUAAAGUUGAUAAAGUUUGACUUUGAUCAAAUCUUAUAUACAGACUAAAAGAAAACGAAGGGAGUGGUACCAAAAAUGCUACACCUACGUAAUGUUUGCUGGUGGUAAGCUGGUGUUGGAUCGACAUCACAGAAUUGCUGCAAAGUGAGUAGUGAGCUUGUGUGUGAACUGCAAAAACGGCUUACAUCAAGUUACAUAGGGACUAGAAUGUUACAUAUGAGCAGUUUCUAAUUAUGUUUAAUCGAAGAAAACAUGGAUAUAAGAUGAUCAAUAUAGUUAACAUGAUAUUCGAACAAGAGAAGUUUUUUUUUAAACACAUUAUAGACGCAGGCGGUAGUACAUACGCACAUACACUCGCUCAUAUAAAUAUGCACACAUGCACACCCUACCCCUAUGAGCACCUGAGAGACUGAGCCGGCACAUCAUCUUGAGUUUGACGCUAUCGUAGUUGACGGGACGUCUCGUCUCACUGAACGCACAUAGUCAGAUGACCUAAAAUAAAUUCAGAAAAAUGCGAGCACGUGUUAAGUCUAGGACUUGAACUCUGAUGGGCUGGGGAUACCACUAUUCUCAUAACCAUCCGACCACAAGUUGGUUCGCUCGAACAAGAGAAGUUGUUAAGCAAAAAAGACAUGCUAUUUGAUGUGUAUGGUAUACAUGGCAUGUCCAGAUCGAAUACUAAUAUAGUAAGGAACCGGAAGUAAUCGUUAAUGGAGGGGGAAAAUAAUGUAUGAUGUGGCAGAUGAAGAAGCGUUAGCAGUCAGCGCACCGCGAAUGGUGGAAAUGGCGUGGAGGGAUGGGGAGUCGUCGUCGGGGAAGUAGUCUUCGUUGUAUGCCUCAAUGUCGGUAGAGCUCUCCCUAAAAAUCCUGAUCUCCUCUCUCUCAUACAUGAUCACAAUAGAAGGUUCCGAAGUCCUAUUGUUCCACGUCAUGGUGCAUGAGGAAAAGUGGAAUGGGAAAGACGUAAGGGGCGCAAAGAUCUUGAACUGAAGGAUGUUCUCAUGCACGUUUCUAUGUAACCCCAUCUAUGGAUAGAGGAGCAAUCUCUAAUAGACUAACAACCGAAACCGGUCCACUAUGGAAGAGUUGGAGAUGAAGAGUCUACAAAUGUUCAGUUUAAUCCUUCUACUAGUGCAUAAUGUUUCGAAUCCUGUCACGCACGACAAGAGGAGUGACACACAUGUGACAUAGGUCAUAGUUCAGCUCGUUCACGAAACACAAAGCGCGUCAGGCGAGGUGAUGUCAUGCAAAUGCAUAGAGUUUAGUUGUAGCUGUUUUUGAAGUAAGAGUAUUGAUCGAUCCCACAAGAGCUGAGAAAAUGGUCUUUUGCCCCUUAUAGAGGUUUAUCCGAAUUUGCCUGCAAAUUAUUUUACGUCCCAAGCAAAAGCGGUGUGAAAGGUGAAAUAUUGCAAGAGUGUGUGUAUGUGUGAAAGCGAGAAUUAAAGUGCACACAAACAAUGACUAAGAAUAAGAGAGUAAUGAUAAUGAUGAAAACUCCAAUAGGGCCAAAAGGCAUUCUCAUAUAGUCUGUAUGUACCACAUGUAUUUAUUAUACUUAAUUGUGUAGAAACACAACCUUUGGUUCAAAUACUUGAUCCAUGUUAUAUAUGUAUUGCGCGGGGAGAGCCAAUAAAAGCUAUUGGCAUAUUACCGAUGUUCUAUAUCACGCACGUCAUCACCAUCCCUCCAAUGCAUAUCGGCAGAGUACGAUGGUGAUUAAGGGUCUCUCCGGGGAUGCGGAUUAAAACACUUGAGUAUUUGUUGUUUCCUUGCCAAUGAUUUGGUAAGGAGAGAGAUAGCUUCUAUCACUGUUGUACCUCUAACCCCUCAUCACAAAGAUAUAAUAUCCAUCAAAUCCUGAUGGGCUAAAUAUUGUGCAGUCGAUGUUGGCACAAUAUCAUGAAGAACAUUAACACAAUUAUAUAACAAAGAUUGCAUAUAUUAUUGUCAUUAGGAUCAUAUAAAUACUAGGGUUCCCCAUAUCCACAAGAAUUGGUAAAUUACUCAGGCAUAGAGGCACGAGACAUCGUCGAGGUGUCCAUGGCAAUGGAAGAUGAAUUAUUAAUGUAACACACGUAUAAAUCUAGACUAGGGUUUGGGAAUACAACAAGAUGAAUGAGGGAUAGUCAAUUUUGAGUAUGUGGAUGAUAUUGCUAAUGAUGAUGGCUGAUGUCAUGGCCUCGGUGGUCGAAGCUUUGGCGAGGUGGUGCCCUUCUACUAAUUCGCACUUCGGAUCCCUUCUGGGGAUGAGGUUUUCUACUUCUAUUUCAUGGUCUGUGAUAUCUCUGUUAGGCACGUCUGAGAUCCCAUUGCACGGGGUGGAAGUUGUCCACCGGGUGGAGGUGGCGCCGUGCGGUAUGAACAGUCGCGCUCGUAUUGUGCGUCGUCUUCUCUCCUAGAUAGCUGGUCGUGGCUAGUUUUCCUCCCACAUUCUCGUCUCUUCGUAUAGAAGUCUUUAUGACGUCUAAUCAGCAUAUUAUUCACACCAAAAAUAGAUGUUUUACAUUUAGUGGUCAAUAUCCUGGGAUCUUGAUGACAUCAAGCGAAAGGGAAAGCAACUGUGAUAAAGUGCAAAAAAUUAUGUGGUUAUUGAGGCCAAGUUCUCGCCCCAAGUGCGGUUGAGCCUCGCCCUUGAUCUAGCGUGUAAUGGUGGAUGACUGCUUCAACGAUGCUAGUGGUGUUUCUUUUCUACUCCCUCCGUUCCUAAAUAUUUGUCUUUCUAGAGAUUUUGACAAGUGACUACAUACGGAGCAAAAUGAGUGAAUCUACACUAAAAUAUGUCUAUAUACAUCAGUAUGUGGUAGUCCAUUUGAAAUCUUCAGAAAGACAAAUAUUUAGAAACGAGGGGAGUAUGAGAGUGCUGGUUAUGUCGUGACCUGUUAGCUAUGUGUAAGCACUGUGUAUCUGCCAUUUUAUUUUCUUGCUUGUUGUAAGUGUGGUCGAUGUAAUUGCUGACUGAUUAAUGGCUCCAGACUUUUCUUAAACCUUCAUUAAAAGAAGAGUAAAUUUGACAAAGAGAGAAUGUCGGACAAGUACUUAGUAGCAAAUUUGAAGGACAUGAUUGGAUGACGUCCGCCCGGCCGGAUGUCCGCGGACAUUUGGUGGCGUCCAUUUGGUGAUAGCCGGGAAAAAAGAGUGUACUCCCUCCGUCUAGAUGAGCAAGUCAUCUUAGAUUGUGCACCGUGACCAAGGAGGAGGAGAAAACGAGAGAACUUAAUGUUCAUUUGUUAAUUAAUAGCAUUGCAUGCAAUGAACUAAUCACUGCAUGUCGUGUUUGGUAAUCUCAAGUCAUUAAAAGCAUGCACACCCCACAUCUCUUAUUGGUUGAUAUGUCAAGAAACAAGAAACAAGGUAGAAUUUAAUGCACCGCGCCUAACUGUUUUGGGAUUAUUUGGUUUCGUAAGAUGACUUACACACCUAGACGGAGGGAGUACUUGGUUCAUUCAGAUAUAUAGCGACUUCCCAUUACAAAAAAUCACACCGAUAUUACAAACCUUGUAAAAAAACUGACCAUCACCCGUACAUUUGCCUGACACACAUACUUAUCCCUCACAACUCUUAUUCUGAAUGAUAGAAGAUCAAGCUAACCCCUGACAUAAAUAGCAACGUCGCUCACUGACAGCAACAAGCCAUGAAAUUUCACUGCUAGGCCGGAUGGUGGUAGAUCGGAGUCACUAGUGGUGUCCAUGGUAUCCACCACCGCCGCCGCCGCCGCCGUAGGUGGGCGUGGGAGGGACGGGGUGGUAGUCCGGGUGGGGCUGCGGCUUGGGCACGGGGUGAUAGUCAGGAUGGGGCUGGGGCUUGGGCUCCGGCUUGGGCGGCACGGGCUGCUUGUGGUGGAAAUGCUCGAUGAUGUGCUUCUUGAUCGGCCCGCACAAGGUCAUGGACGCGCACUCUGGCGACGCUGCAGACCGCGUGGCAAUGCUGUCGCCGGCGACGAUGCCGAAGGUGGUUCCCUCGGAAGCAGGCACGAUCUUGGAUGGCUCCUGGCCGGAGCACGGCGCGUUGGAGGCGGCGCUGUGGAGCUGAGCGACGCAGUCAGCGUCGUGGAGGUCGGCCGCCAGGGGAACGCUGAAGGCACCGGUGCCGUCGAGGCCGCCCACCGCCUUGCUCUCGUACUCGCCGUGGACGUUCUUGCACUUGAUCGCCACCUGGAGACCUGAGGUGCGUUCAUGGCAGCAGGACAACCAUGAGCUGAUCUCCAUCUAUAGGUAGGUGUGUGGUUGUGUGCAUUGACAUAUAUGGUACGAUUUGAGCUGCAUAGCUAGCGCUUACCCUUGAAGGCCUCCUCGGCCUUGAGGUUCUUCCUGGUGCAGUCGGCGCACUUGGCCAGGCCGACGACGACCGACGCCGCCUCGGCGUUGGCGACGGCGAUCGCCAGCAGGACGGCGAGGACGAGUGCUCUCGGAGCCACCAUGCCUGAACCCCUGAAUCGAACUCCACUACUUGCCUGUGUGAAGUAAGUAGCUAGCAGCUCGAUGGAUGAAUGGAACAGGCGAGGCAUGGCUUAUAUAGGCCUCCGCAUUGAUCGAUCCAGCUCGGCCGAUGAUCUGGCUGCAUGCAUGCUCGAAGCUCGAAGGGUGGUGUGGUGGGCGGCGAAGUGAUGCGUGACAACGAGAGGCCGGCUAACUCGCCGAAAUUUCAGAUGGCGAAGUUAAUACGGUGAUGGACUUGGUAGGUACAGUACCACACACGGGCGCAGGCACCGUGUCUCGCGGCAUGCACAUGCACUCUUGCGCGCCUACAACGAUCCAUGCAUGCAGCGUGAGUUAGAAGUAGUGGUCUCCUAUUGGUGCUCAGUGGUACAUCUGGUGUUGGAUCGGCAUCAGAAUGGCUGUAAAGUGCAUGUCCGUUUCGGGGAGUAGUGCGAGUAGUACUUUGUUGUUCAUAACUGGAAGGACGGUGCUCCAAAUGGACUGCUGUUGGAUGGAUCCACCGAUCCACGGUUUCUUCUCCACCCACACAAGCAUAUACCACAUGCGUGCGCAUUCGCGCAACGUCUACUGUAAACUAACUGGAGCAGUGGAGCUUCGGUGUAGGUGAAAUCACCACAUAUAAGUUGGUAUCUACAUGAACAUCACCGUAAAAAUCACUCGCAAAAAAAAAAAAAAAACAUCACCGGAAGAAAAAACCGUAAUAGUAAAAAACGCACGCAUGUUGUCAUAUCUGAGAUUAUCUCCCAUGAGUUUGGGUACAACCGUCCAACCAACGGUUGAUUCUUCUGUAAACGUAAAUUUGGAUUUGGGCUUCGCGCAAACAUGCAUGUCUCUUCUAAAUUCCUUAAAAAUAGCUAUUUCCACAUAUCGAAAAUUUUAUUUGCGUGAGUAUUGGGUUUGGGUGUGGAUAGAUCUCAGUUGAGUGAGAUUUAACCCAUAACAUGUAUUCCCUCUGUAAACAAAUAUAAAAACGUUUAGAUCAUUAUUUUUGUAAUCUAAACGCUUUUAUAUUUCUUUACGGAAGGAGUAAGAAAAGAAAAAAAUAACUGAAAAGAAAAAAUUGCAGGAACCCCCCCUCUCUCUCUCGACCGCGUCGCCCCCGUGGGCGAUCGGUCGCGCCUCCUCGCCGAGCCCUCCCCCUCCCCUCUCUCCUUGCCGCCGUCGCUGGCGUCCGGCGCUGGGCCUGGCCCGGGCGAUGCUGGCGACGGCGGCCACUGGCCUUUCCCCUCGCGGGUCGCUCCGACGCGGGGGGUGCGGCGCUGCGGGGUACUCCCAGGCGGCGGCGGUCCGACGCGGCGGCGGUGGCGGGGGAUCUUCUAGGCGGCGGGGCGAUCUGGCGGUGCCCGCUCGGCCCAUCUGGGCCCUUCGGGCCCCAUCUGGGUCUGGGCGGGCCGGCGGCAGGGAGGGUCAUCGGUGUGGCUUCCGGGAGGCAGGGGAGCGGCGAUGGGUGGGUGGAUGCUAGCGGCGCUGGUGCCGCCCUGCUGCAGCGUGGCCGGCGGGGCUUUACGGGCCCAAAUCGGGCCUGGCCGGGCCAGGGGUCGGAGACUCGGGCCUCCCGCACGACGGCGGUGGAGGUAGUUCCCUCCCGCGUGGCUCCGGUGCUGCUGCUCCUGUCACCUCAUGCGUCUCUCUCCAUCCUCUUGGCCUCGUGGUGGUGAUCUCAGUGAGGUGGCGUGUGUGGCGUCAAGACCGCGGUGGCGCAUGCUGGUGGGCGGCGAGGUGGCUGGUUGGCUCCGGCCUGGUUGGGCGGUGGGGUUUGGAGUGCGGGAGAAAUCCCUUGCCGACUCUCUUCCGGCUCCGAUGCGGUGACACCUGCGGUUGCCACCAUCCCUUCUUGGAGGGUGUCGGAUGUAUCCAUCCCCCACUUCCUUUCGCGUGCCGGGGGAAACCCUAGGACACGUCCGGGCAGCAGUGUCGUCGACGUCGCAUCCCUUGCUGGAGGUGCUGCUUGGUAGGCGGCGGGUCGGAGCCUGGGUCUGUGGUGGGUCAAUUUCGGAGGGCGCAGCAGUGGCGGGUCAUCCGCGCUUUGUCGAGCUGCCGUUGUUGGCAUUUCUUUCUUCUUCUUUGUUCUUUCUCUUUCCUUUGGGCUUGUUGUGCUUCUCGCCCGAGCUUUCCUAUGUACUCGGUGUUUGUUGCUUUCUNNNNNNNNNNNNNNNNNNNNNNNNNNNNNNNNNNNNNNNNNNNNNNNNNNNNNNNNNNNNNNNNNNNNNNNNNNNNNNNNNNNNNNNNNNNNNNNNNNNNNNNNNNNNNNNNNNNNNNNNNNNNNNNNNNNNNNNNNNNNNNNNNNNNNNNNNNNNNNNNNNNNNNNNNNNNNNNNNNNNNNNNNNNNNNNNNNNNNNNNNNNNNNNNNNNNNNNNNNNNNNNNNNNNNNNNNNNNNNNNNNNNNNNNNNNNNNNNNNNNNNNNNNNNNNNNNNNNNNNNNNNUUUUUUUGGUAAAAGAAAAAAUUGCAUGUAUCUCAAUGUAAGAUAUCACGAGUAUAGCAUUGACUGAGACAUAACCAAGUCUUAAUUGACUGAGAUUUAACAAGACUGAUUGGGUUUAGUACACCCACCUUACUAAAAUGUGAAGGUCCUCUCAAAUAUUGAGCCUAAUUUUGGCUACAAAAUUUACUAGUAACAAAUUGCGACUUAAAAGCCAUAAAAAUAUAGCAUUGGAAACUUUUUCCAAAAAAAAAUUCAAUCAUUUACUUUUCUGCCAUAUAACUCAUAUUUUGUGAGUCAAAUUGUGAUCUAGGCUCAAAAUGAGGGAGUACCAUAUAUACUGAUUGCUACUUUACAUGCAGACCCCUCAAUGUAAUACACUACUAAAUCUAGAGAAGGAAAAUAAUCCACUACUUCACCUCCUGAACUAUAACUAUAGGGUCCACUUAAUCCACACAGGGGUUAAGGAUGAUGCGGGAUUGGGCGGCAGUUUAGCCCUGCACGCGGGAUAAGGGAAAUCAGAUCGACCCCAGGCCUGGAUGUUUCUCACUGGACGAACGUUUGGGGACAAAUAAUCCUCGCUUGAUCUCAUAGGUCCAUACUCUCAAUUAUACGUGGAAUUAAAAGCUGGCUGCAUGUGUCUGCAGUGUAGGCCUUGGCUAUCAAGACAUACAGCUCACCCCACUUCACCUCCUUCUUAUCUCUUCCACACGACGAGAUCUAUCAAGAUUUACAGCCAUCAAGGCCUCAUACAUCCACAUUGCUGUAUGUGGCAGUGGUAUGCAGGGGCCAGGGGCUAUCAAGCUCUACAGCUCAGCUCCUCUCCUCCUGUCUCUCCCACGGAAAAGAAUGUCAAAUGGACGAUCUACGCUUUUCGACGCUCGUGCUUUAAUGAGCCACCGCCAUUCUGCAGAACAGAAAACAAAACACAUGUCCAUGAUUCGAACCUAUUAGGUUCAUGAAGUGCCUUCAGCAGGUUUUGGAUUCGCCGCGGUCGACAAUCUGACUCUUCAAGAGUGAAAACAUUCUCCUCAGAGCACAGUUACUGUCACUACAACGGGACUACUUAAACAUAACAACUAACAAGGCAAUGCAUUGAAUAGACACUGCAGUAAACAGUAAGUACCUAAGGGGCUUCCUCUGUGAAGUUAGCAUCGGAGCAGGAGAGCCAACUAAUUUGGCAGCAAGCUCAAGCAGCUGUUUUCUCGAAAGAAAAAUCAGACUUAAUAUCUAAAAAUGGAGGUGCACGCAACAUGGAAAUUCCAGAGAACGUUUAUAGUAUAAGAUGGUAAAAAAAAGGAGGUAACAAUAAAAGAUUUAAAAAUAAAGUUAUGAAAAAUUAAUCUGGUAUAAAAACUGUUGUAGCAUACUGUUCUCCUAUGGAAAGCACGCAUAAGGCAUAACAGAGCAAAAACAAAUACAGGCAAGAUAAUAUCUUUAGGUUGCCCCUGUCUUUUUAUUUUCCUCUCCCGGCAUGCUUUUGUUUGUCGAACCCUAAAGCAGGACCACUGUCUUUAUGUUCUCCUUAGCAUGUACUCCCUCUGUAAAAGGUCUUAUAUUAAUUUACAGAGGGUUAACUUUUGAAAGCGCGUGUUUUGCUUGGACACACCCAGAACCAAAAGUUCAAAGUGAAUUUCAAAUUCAGCAUAAAUCAGGCAGAUUUUCUAAAUAAAAGGUCCUUACCAAAUCUCCAAGAACCAUCAUUACAUUUCCCAGUAAAAUAACUCCAUGUCCACUUUGAAGAGUUAAAUUUAAAUCUGUCAAACAACUCAUAAGCACAGCAGUAAGUGAUGAUGUUUUCAUCUCUUGAAAACUAUAAGCAUGGUUAACUGAUUGUAAUGAUCCAUUCUUGAUAAUUUCACAUAAUUCAUUUAACAAAGAUAGCUAAAGCAUACAAGUCUAGAACUAGAACAAGACCUUUAUGUUUAAGUAAAAUCGAAACGUAAAAAGGGAGGCUCCAGCGUAAAAAAAAAGUGUUCUGUUUUCAAGAAAAAAGAACGCAUGGGCACAAGUAACAGAAGUCAAUACAACCCAUUGGCAAAAAGAAAUAUAAACAUACUCCCUCCGUUCCAUAAUGUAAGACGUUUUUUGACACUAGUGUAGUGUCAAAAAACGUCUUACAUUAUGGGACGGAGGGAGUAGUAAAGAAGUAAAUGGCAUUCAUAUCAGAAAAGAAGGACCUCAAGCUCUUCCUCAGCUUUACGCUUAUAAGCUGUCGUUUCUGUUUAUCCCAGAUUACUCCCAGGGAUAUGCUCCAGAGAUAAUAUUUGACCUGAAACAGAUAAAUCUUUCUGAUUUGACUUCACUUGACGAGAUCCCAUCUCAUGAACUCCAUUAGAUACUGUUAGAAGAGCUGAAGAGGAAAAUAGUGUGAUUAUGUAAAGCAACCUCAGCAGGUUUUUGAAGUGAACUACCUUAGUGAUCUAAAAAGCCUUAUAUUAGCUUACAGAGGGAGUAUAUAAAUAAGAAUCCAGUCGAUUUGCAGGUGGAAGGACAACAGUGAAUUGGGAACCAUGCACCCUGUCAACUUAAAAACAUCAUACACGGCAUGCUUCUCAGCAACAGUUGUACUUUCUAGAUAGUUCCCCAGAAGUUCCCAUUCAACCAGUUCUGCAUGGCGAUUCGUGCACACUUCGGAAAUAUGGCUAGUUUCUUCACCGGGCAAAGUAAAAGCUACUGUAGAAUAUCUUUCAGCAGACGAGGAUCUGAAAGAAGUUGCCUGGCAUCACUGGGCACACCUCCUGCUUGAGCGUCAGUGGAAACUAUAUUUUUUGUUUAAAACUGCACGGACUUCUUUGCCGAAUGUUCUAGAAGGACAAGGACGCACACCAGCAGGAAAAACGAACAAUGGUACUGUAUUUCUUUUAUUUUUAUGUCGGACACCUGAAUUUCCGUUGGUACAACUUCUAAAUUCAUCCACAAUUACUCUGAUGUCAAGAAGCUGAGCUUAUUGAGCAUGGGUGAUUCCAGUUCUCCAAAACCCCAUAAAGUAAAAAACAAUGGAAUGGCCUUGAGUAGUCUAAGAAAUCACUAGGAUUAGGGCGUACAAGAACCUUGUCAUAUGAAGAUUGCUCCAGCUGAAUCAACAAGAAAAAUAUAGCACAUCUCUGUAAUAGAAGUAUCAAACACAUCUGUCAGACACCUUUAAGAUUUUCGUUUGUCUUCAGAGAUGAACUUUCCUCAGUCAGUAAAAAUGUCCGGCGGUUGAUCCACAUCACCCAUUCGGCUGCAAGGAGUUCCCAAAUAUGUUUCAUUCUGCUGCAUUCCAGAGCCAGGUGAGACACAGUUUCAUGGUUGCUGCAGCCAAAUGGGGAGGGGGGGAGUAGUAGGAAAUGGAAUUUGAAGGGUAAGUAACCAAGCAUGGUGGUGAGGAUUUGUCGGUGUAGAUGAAUUUUUAGACUCAAGUAUCCUAAUAUAAGUACAGUCAACUACUACCUCCGUCCUAGUUUAUUGGUCCUCUUCAUAUUUUGUGUCAAAAUUUGAUCAUAGAUUUAAAUGAUAAAAUUUUAAUGCAUGUCAUAAAAAAUGAUAUCGUUGGAUUCGUAUUUGAACAUAGUUUCCAAUGAUACUAUUUUUUGUGACAUGCAUUAAAAUUUUGUUAAUUAAAUUCAUGGUCAAAUUUUGGCACGAAAUACUAAGGAGACCAAUAAACUAGGACGGAGGUAGUAUCAUAAAUAAUAGUAAUAUUCACCAUAUGUAAGACAAUAUACAUUGGGGUAGUUGUCUCCAAAAAUUAACCAUCCUCAUCAAACAGAAAGAGAUUUCAUAUAGGAGUGACCAUAUAUGUAGGAUGAGGAUAUUUCAAAAGAAAAAGAUGCGCAUGGGCAUUUUUUCAGAAAAAUAUGGCACCACGCCCCCCAUUCCAUUGCAUCAACAAAGUUCACAAGGUUUACAGUGCCCGGCGAACACAGAAGUCGCACAAACCCAGGUCACAUUCCAGCAAAGGGCACAAAGAACAUAAUAUAAUGCGACAAGCCGACAAGCUAAGAACAGCAACAGACCAACAGGCUACGGAUGAUACAUCAGACCGUGGACCAGUUGGUGCACGUCCUGAUCUGCCUCAUGUCCGUCCGCAUCAAACACAGCCCUGAGGAGCUUGAGCAUAUCUAUUCAACCUGCCGCUAUGUUCAAACGCUUGCAGCUAGUAGUAAUAUUUAAGGACACGUGACCUUAUGGAUGGAGUGUGGAACAGGGCAAGAGAAACAAUUGUGACCAGCAUGCAUGCAUGAGGUGCGGUUAACCAAGCUGACUCGCGCCUUUCCACCGCGGCAGCUCAAGCGAUUAAAAUUUAGCCUACAAAUCUGUGCUUAGAAUAAAAACCUUCUGUUCCAACACCCACUCGCAGAGUCACUCACGGUAGUUUAUAGAAAAGUGCAGAAAAACUACACUGGUAAGGCCAUCACUAUCUCUGGGCAAUCAAUCAGCCCGUAGGACUCUCGCGCGUGCACGCACACAUCGACGCUUAUCCUAAUAAAAUACAUAUUGCAUGUUAAUGGCAAAAAGCCUAGAGCCCUAGACUAGUCAGGAAAACUGCAUAGAAACUCAGGAAAACUGCAUAAAAACUCAAGUGAAAAGGAGAAUUUUAGUUUCAGAUAUCAAAAGAAUAUAAAUAUUCAUCGACAAGCCAAAGGUGCUCAAGAAGAGUUGCAUAGUUUUGAUUACUGGUGUAUAUUGGAGUACUAUGAUUUUAUUUAUUUUGUUUAUCUGGGGAGAUUAAUAAUGAAAAAAAGGGGGGAAAAAAAGAAAACUAAAUCUAGAAAGCAGGUGUUGUACGGUUUAAGAACGUUUUGACUGCCAUACAUGAAUAUUCUAAGUGUGAACUGAAAGUGACUGGCAUCCUUUCAUGCUACUCAGCUUGUCUUUGUUGAGAUACUAAUCCAGCAUUAAAUUAAUCGUGACGGCUGCCUGUAUGUGACUGGUAUCCCUUGUCAGCGUUAAACUAAUCAUGGCAGUUUUCAAGCAGAGAAUGAACUAAAACGAAUUAUUAAAGGAAGAACAAAAUCCUUCAGUUCAGACCUGUAGCCUGUGGGCCUCAUCCAGUCGCUCAGACCUGUAGCUCGAGCCUCAUACAUACAUAUAUAAAUACACAUGGUGUGUACGAAGUAGAUUGCAUCGCAGUAUCUGUAGUGCACAUCUCCCGGAGAUUGUCUUCACCUCAGCAGCUUCAUCCCAAGAAGCCAUUCACUAGCUUAUUGCAUAAAGGACAGCUAGCUUUUGCAAGUUUGUGCAAGUUGAAGAACUCGUACCUUUGUGAGAUAUGGAGAGCAGAGAUGAUGUCAAAUCAGAUGAGAUCCUCAUGCCUGGGUUCCGGUUCCAUCCUACCGAUGAAGAGCUGGUUAGUUUCUACCUCAAGAAGAAGAUCCAGCAGAAGCCCAUCUCUAUUGAGCUCAUCAGGCAGCUGGACAUCUACAAGUUUGAUCCAUGGGACCUCCCAAGUAAUUAAGCUUGCAUCCUUGUUUAUACUACAUUUUUUUUAUUUCUCAUGAAUAGCUAGAUUGGGAUUCAAUAGGCUACUUUUGGGUUUUCAAAGCUUUUGUAUGGAGGCUGAUUCAACACAAGUUGGUUUCCUUGAUCAUUAGUCAAGUUGGUUUCAUCCGUUGAGUGGAGUUUCAGUUGAAAGAAAUCAGCAGUAGUAUUAAUCAUCUUCCCAUGACAAGCUAAUCUAGAAUAGAUGGGUUACUCACCUUACUGCAAAGUCUAACAACUUGACUGUUCCUUCUCAACAACAGAGCUUGCGAGCACCGGCGGUGAGACGGAGUGGUACUUCUACUGCCCAAGGGACCGCAAAUAUCGCAACAGUGCGAGGCCAAACCGGGUCACAGCAGCUGGGUUCUGGAAAGCCACGGGAACAGAUAGGCCAAUUUACUCCUCCGAGGACACCAGGUGCGUAGGCCUGAAGAAGUCCCUUGUCUUCUACAAAGGCAGAGCAGCAAGAGGGAUCAAAACCGACUGGAUGAUGCACGAGUUCAGGUUCCCUUCACUCGCCGAUACGUCACUUCCCAAGAGUAGGCCGAUCGACAAGAACAUCCCGCUCAAUGUACGCAACGCAUUUCAAUUCAUAUUAGUAUAUAUAGUUGCAGAGCUAAAUUCCAACGUCAUGUCAAAUUCUGACAGGCCACCUUUUCUAUUGCCGAAAACAGGACUCUUGGACCAUAUGUAGGAUCUUCAAGAAGACAAGUUCGAUGGCGGCGCAACGGGCGCUAUCUCACACUUGGGGGGCUCCAUUGCCUGGGGCAACUGAGCAAGAUCUCUUCUCCGCCCUGCAACCGGUGCAAGCUUUACAUUUUGCUUCAGAGAGCUCCUCCAGCUCAUUGCAAGUUGCUGCUGCGCUACCAUCAAAUCAGUUCAACGGCAAUUAUGGCUUUCAGGGACAGCACCAGCAGUUUCUGAAACCCAGCAACACACGGGAGGAUGGCUCAUCAUGCAAGGUCAUAAGCUUCAACUGUGGUCCAUCUCUGCAAGUCCUGAAAGGCCCCAUCGUCUUGCCAUUCCAAACACAACCGCCAUCACAGAAGCCUGUGCACGUUGCGCCACCGCUCUUCUUCGACACGCAGUCUGGGCAGCCUGAGCAGAUUACUGGCUUUGCGACUGGUUCUUCUGCAGAUGUAAAUGCCGACAUGAGCUGCAGGGACCAAGAGUCAGCCACAACGAAGCAUGGCAAUACUUUCAGCAUGAACAGUGAGCGGGAGGAUGUAGGUCUGGGGAGACUCAACUUCCCAUUCGAUUUAGGAGCAGGCUCUUCAGAUGACUGGGAGUGCAACAUACCUUGGGAAUCCUUUCUUAGCCCAACAGUCCCUGCUGAGAUCACACAGUACUAGAUACCUAGCUUGCCCUGCACAGAGUUAGCAUUUCUGUUAGCAAAAGCGCCAGCUGUUGUUUGUUCAGUUUUGGAUUAGAUGUAUUGUGCAUACUAGUAAGCUAUACCCUUGUUAACAGUAGAGCUAACAAAAAGAAGGAUAUAUUGUGUAUACAUUUUAAGCUGAGUGCUGUUGUGACGCUGUACUUUUAGUGGAGAGUAAUGAACAUAUGUACGAGUCACAAACUUGCAAUGGAUUGAAAAAACCCUGAAACUUGCAAGAUACUGAAAAGAUGGAAAAUGUAUCACCAAAUGGUGGUUCCUUAUGAUAAUAGAGUAGGAAAAGGUCUUCCAUUUUCUAACAUGUCUAAAGUUCCUAAAAAAUACUGAUUUGGCUUCAGUAGGUGAUGAUGACUGACUGAGAUCUUCCAGGGCUCUAGGAAACAAUAGACAUCAUAGACAGGAAUAAAAGGCUGAGUUAGUUCAACAAAACAAGUGCUUUUGAAAAUGAAUCCUCAUGGCCUUGCUUUGCCUUGACAAUUAUGGAAAGCAUAUUUUACCACCUGCAUCAAGAUUUUUUUUAGGAUUCAGGUAGGCACUAUGGGGCUACCCUACCAACAACCAUGUAUCUAGUUUAAAGACAACAAAGAAUUUUAAGCUUGUGGAAGCAAAGAUGCGUACAUACUUUUAAGAAACAAAAGAAGACAAAAUUGGCGACAAAUGGUUAGCAAAAAGAACAUGAUGCAGUCAUAACGUGAAACCAUGGACUAAGCCUGCGAGACACUGGAACUUAACUUCUUGGAUACCUAAAAGCGGAGACGAUACUUGGAAACAGCGAAGUAGUGAUAUGCACUCAUCAUAAGUUGACCUCUCAAAUUCCAAUAAUUCAUCAACAAAGUAGGACCAUACAUCUGUGAAUCUUCUUGUCAUUACAGUCAAUUCGCAAGAACUUAUAUAUCUGCAGCAGCGAAAAAUGCUUUGGUAAUAAUGCUUCAAGGGCUGUACUUGUUUAACAAUUUCACUGAGUAAGUUACAAAACACACAAAUGAAGGGUUAGAAAUUUUUCGAAGAUACUGUACAUGACCUGAACAGGCAUUUAGUGCAAAGGCUGUAGUUUAAAUUGAGAAGAUAUCUGGGGAUGGUGGUAAGGAAGUUAAUUCUAAAUCAAGACUCUAAACAUGAACUUGGUGAAUGUUGGUUGCACAUCUGCACUUGCAUAUGUUUAUUACAACCAUAGCAAAUAAAAAAGCUGAAGUGGAUUUGCAGAACACGGUGCACCGCAAAUCCACAAUCAUCCUGACAGCAGGCAUCCGACAGAAGUAGCAGGAGCAGCAACGAUAAGCUGUCUUACAAGUUACAAAGCACAGCGGGUAAUGAGUACUUCAGUAGCUGUACAAGUGCUGAGAUAUGUAUGACUAGUCAACUCAUGAACAAAUAUUAUUAAAUAGUACUGUAUGAUGACUGUACGGGCUUGAAUUUGAGAAUAUUUUGUACUAGUACAUUCGAGCAGCACUGCAGCAGAGCUGGACAUGAGCCACUGCUACAUCAAUCGUGACCAGCAUGUGCACGGUUAACCAAGCUGAUGUACUCACCGUUGGGCAAAGCUAGGCCGUGCGCCUUUCCUCCACGGCAACUCAAGUGAUUAAAAUUUAGCCUACAAAACUGUGCUUAGAAUUAGGAUCUUCUGUUUCAACACUCACUAGCAGAGUCACACACGUUACUUUAUACAAAAGUGCAAAAGGUCACACUGGUAACGGCAUCACUAAAAAAAUGUAAAAAAGGAAAUUACACUGGCAAGGCCAUCACUAUCUCUGGGUAAUCAACCCCGUACGCCUCACUCUCUAACACACGCACGGCGCACACACAUUGAAGCUUAUCCUAAUCAAAUACUCCCUCCGUUCCUAAAUAUAAGUCUUUUUAGAGAUUCUAAUCUAGACCACAUACGAAGCAAAAUGAGUGAAUCUACACUCUAAAAUACGUCCGUAUACAUCCGUAUGUGGUCCAUAUAGAAUCUCUAAAGAGAUUUAUAUUUAGGAACGGAGGGAGUACAAAUAACAUAUGAAUGCCCCCAAAGCCUAGAUCAAUCAAGUAAAAUCACAUAGUCACGUGAAACAGAAAACAGAGAAAUUCGGUUUCAUAUAAUUAAAUGAAUAUAAAUAUUUAUUGACGUUUUUUUAAGCCAAAGGUGCUCCAGAAGAGUUCCAUAGUUCUGGUUACUGAGCAUACUGGGGUACUAUCAAAUACUGGAUACCAAAAAAAAAAGAUCAAAAUCAAAUCUAGAAGGCAAGUGUAGUACAGUUUAAGAAUGUUUUGACUGCCAUACAUGAAUAUUAUAAGUGUGAACUGAAAGUGACUUGCAUCCCUUCAUGCUACUCAGCUUGUCUUUGUUGAGAUACUAAUCCAGCAUUAAAUUAAUCGUGACGGCUGCCUGGAUGUGACUGGCAUCCCUUGAUGCUACUCGGCUUCUUAAACUAAUUGAAAGUGUAAUCGACCCUACACUACUCAUGGCAGGUUUCAAAGAGAGAAGGAACUAAAACGAAUUAUUAAAGGAAGACCAAAAUCCUUCGGACCUGUGGCCUGUGGACCUCAUCCAGCCGCUCCAGGUAGCGCAAGCCUCGUAUAUAAAUACACGUGGUCUGUCCGUAGUAGACUGCAUCGCAACAUCUGUAGUGCACAUCUCUUGGUGAUUGUCUUCACCUUAGCAAGCUUCAUCCCAAGAAACCAUUCACCAGCUCACUGCACAAGCAGUACAACAAGGACAGCUAGCCUUUGCAAGUUUGUGGCCAGUUGCAGAAGUACUCAUACUUUUGUGAGAGAUAUGGAGGGCACAGAUGAUGUCAAAUCAGAUGAGAUCCUCAUGCCCGGGUUCCGGUUCCAUCCUACAGAUGAAGAGCUGGUGAGUUUCUACCUCAAGAAGAAGAUCCAGCAGAAGCCCAUCUCCAUCGAACUCAUCAGGCAGCUGGACAUCUACAAGUUUGAUCCAUGGGACCUCCCAAGUAAGCAAAGCUUGCAUCUACAUCUUUUUUCUCAUGAAUAGCUAGAUUAGGAUGCAAUUGACUACUUUUGGGUUUUCAAAGCUUUGUAUCUUCCAAGGAGAGGUUAGGAAUUAGGAUGCCGAUUCAACACAAGUUGGUUUCAUUGAUCUCUAGUCAAGUAGGAAAACCAGAACAUUCUUCUGCUCAUCCCUCUAGUGGAGUUUCGGUUGAAAGAAAUCAUCAGUAGUAUUAAUUAUCUUCGCAUGGCAAGCUAAUCUAUAGACGGGUUACUCACCUUACUGCAAAGUCUAACAACUUGACUGUUCCUUCUCAACGACAGAGCUUGCGAACACCGGCGGUGAGACAGAGUGGUACUUCUACUGCCCAAGGGACCGGAAAUAUCGAAACAGCGCGAGGCCAAACCGAGUUACAGCAGCUGGGUUCUGGAAGGCCACAGGAACAGAUAGGCCGAUUUACUCCUCCAAGGGCACAAGGUGUGUAGGCCUGAAGAAGUCACUUGUCUUCUACAAAGGCAGAGCAGCAAGAGGAAUCAAAACCGAGUGGAUGAUGCAUGAGUUCAGGCUUCCUUCGCUUGCUGAUCCAUCACUUCCCAAGAGACCAAUCGACAAGACCAUCCCACUCAACGUACGCAUUUCAAUUCAUAUCCUGUAGUUACAGAGCUAAAUUCCAAUGUUAUGUGGAAUUCUGAAGGCCACUUUUUCUGUUGCCGAAAACAGGACUCUUGGACCAUAUGUAGGAUCUUCAAGAAGACCAGCUCGAUGGCGGCGCAACGGGCGCUGACUCACACUUGGGAGCCUCCAUUGCCUGGGGCAACUAAGCAAGAUCUCUUCUCCGCCAUGCAAGCUUCUCAUUUUCCUUCAGAGAGCUGCUCCAACUCAUUGCAAGUUGCAGCUGCGGCACCAUCAAGUCAGUUCGACAGCAAAUAUGGCUUCCAAGGACAGCAGCAGUUUCAGAAACCCAACAGCACACAGGAGGGUGGCUCUUCAUGCAAGGUCAUAAGCUUCAACUGCAGUCCAUCUCCACAAGUCCUGAAAGGCCCCAUCAUCUUGCCAUUCCAAACACAGCCGCCAUCACAGAAGCCCAUGCUGCACACUGCACCACCGCUCUUCUUCGAGGCGCAGUUUGGGCAGCCUGAGCAGAUCACUGGAUUUGUGACUGCUUCUUCUGAAGAUAUAGAUGACGAGAUGAGCUGCAGGGACCAAGAGUCAUCCACAAUGAAGCAUGGUGAUACUUUCCGCAUGAAGAAUGAGUGGGACACUCCGGGGAGACUCAACUUCCCAUUCGAUUUAGGAGCAGACUCUUCAGAUGACUGGGAGUGCAACAUACCUUGGGAAUCCUUUCUUAGCCCAACAGUCCCUGCUGAGAUCACACAGUAUUAGAUACUUAGCUUGCCCUACAUAGAGUCACCUUCAUAUGUUAGCAUUUCUGUUAGUGAAGGCACCAGCUACUGCUUGUACAGUUUUGGGUUAGAUGCAUAAUAUAUAUACUAGUAAGCUAUACCAUUGUUAACAGCAGAGCUAAUAGAGAGAAGGAUAUGGAUAUAUGCAUGCAUUGGGCGUAUUGUGUGUACAUUUUAAGCUGAGUGCUGUUGGUAUGCUCUACUUUGAGUGGAGAGUAAUGAACAUAUGUACAAGUCACAAGCUUGCAAUGGACUGCCAAACCCUAAAACGUGCAGGAUACUGAAAAGAUGGGAAAUGUAUCACCAAAUGACUCUUUCUGAUAAUAAAGUAGGAAAUGGUGUUUCAUUUUCUAACAUGUCUGAAGUUUGAAGGAAAUACUGAUUUUGCUCCCCAUGGCUUGGGUAGAUGACGAUGAAUCACUCAUCGAGAUCUUCCAAGGCUCUAGGAAAGAAUAGACGUCAUAGACAGGAAUAAAAAGGAAGGUUAGUUCAACAAAAGAGCUUUGCCUUGACUAUUAUAAAAAGCAUAUUUUAUCAACUGCAUCAAUAUUCUUUUUAGGAUUCAGUUCGGCACUAUGAGGCUACCAAUGACUGUGCACCUAGUUUAAAGACAAUAAAGAAUUUCAAGCUUGUGAUGCAGUCAUAACGUGAAACCAUGGACUAAGCCUGUGAGCCACUGGAACAUAACUUCUUGGAUAUCUAAAAGCGGAGAUGACACUGGGCAACGUCGAAGUAGUGAUAUGCACUCAUCGUAAACUGACCUCUCAAAUCCCAAGCAUUCAUCAAUAAAGUAGGACCAUACAACUGUGAAUCUUCCUGUCAUUACAGUCAAUUCGCAGAGAACUUAUAUCUGCAGCAGCAAACAAUGCUUAGGUAAUAGUACUUCAAGGGCUGUACUUGCUUAACAAUUUCACUGAGAAAGUUACAAAAUACAAAUGAAGGGUGAGAAAAUUCGGAAAGAUAUUGUACAUGACCUGAACAAGCAUUUAGAGUAAGGCUGCAGUUUAAAUUGAAAAGAUAUUUGGGGAUGAUGGUAAGAAAAAAAAUCUAAGAUCAAGACUAUAAACAUGCACUUGGUGAGUGUUGGUUGCACAUCUACAGUACAGUAGCAGGAAGUGCAGCAACAAAAAAUAAACAAGCCGUCUUACAGAGCAAACAUCAAAUACUGGAUAUAUUUAACAGCGGGUAAUGAGUACUUGAGUAGUUGUACAAGUGCUGACAUAUGCAAGGAUGGCUAAUUAACUCAUGAACAAUAUAUUAUUAAAUAGUGUGAUGAGUUGAUGACUUCACGGGCUUGAAUGUGUGUGCAUAUUUUGUACAUUCGAAUAGCAGAGCUGGACAUGAGCCACUAUUAAUCGUGACCAGCAUGUGCACCAUUAACCAAACUGAUGUACUCGCUGUUGGAGCAAAGCUGGAGUGCGCACCAUUCCACCGUGGCAACUCAAGCGAUUACUCCCUCCGUUUGGAAUUACUUGUCUCGGAAAUGGAUGUAUCUAGAUGUUCUAGAUACAUCCAUUUCCGAGACAAGUAAUUCCAAACGGAGGGAGUAAAAUUUAGCCUACAAACUGUGCUUGGAAUAAGGACCUUCUGUUCCAACACUCGCUAGCAGAGUCAUUCACGCUAGUUUAUACAAAAGUGCAAAAAGAUCACACUGGUAAGGCCAUCACUACUAAAAAAAUGCAAACAAAGAAAGUACACUGGUAAGGCCAUCACUAUCCCUAGGUAAUCAGUCUGUACGUCUCUCUCACACACGCACACGCCCACAUAUUGAAGCUUAUCCUAAUCAAAUGCAAAUUACAUACAGAUGCACCCAAAGCCUAGACUGGUCAGGAAAACUGCAUAAAAAACACAUGAAACGGAGAAUUUUGGUUUCAGACAUCAAAUCAGAAGAGUAUAAAUAUUCAUUGACGUUUCAUGAAGCCUCAAGAAGAGUUGAAGAGUUUCAGUUACUGCCGUAAUUGGGGUACUCCUACUAUGUAUUAUUAUGUUUGUUUUUUAUCUGGGGAGGCCAAAGAUGAAACACAAAAAAUCAAAAGUAAAUCUAGAAGGCAAGUGUUGCACAUUUUAAGAAUGUUUUGACUGCCGCACGUGAAUAUUCUAAGUGUGAACUGAAAAUGAUUGGCAUCCCUUCAUGCUAAUCAGCUUGUCUUUGUUGAGAUACUAAUCCAGCAUUAAACUAAUCAUGACAGCUGCCUGAAAGGGACUGGCACCCCUUCAUGCUACUCAGCUUGUCAUUGUUGAGAUACUAAUCCAGCAUUAAAAUCAAUCAUGACAGCUUUCAAACAGAGAAGGAACUAAAACAAAUUAUUAAAGGAGGACCAAACUCCUUCAGACCUCAUCCAGCCGCUGCAGAUAGCUCAAGCCUUGUAUAUAAAUACACAUGGUGUGUGCGUAGUAGACUGCAUCGCAACAUCUGCAGUGCACAUCUCUUGGUGAUUGUCUUCACCUUAGCAGCUUCAUCCCAAGAAGCCAUUCACUAGCUCACUGCACAAGCAGUACAAGGACAACUAGCCUUUGCAAGUUUUCUUUGUGAGAGAUAUGGAGGGCAGAGAUGAUGUCAAAUCAGAUGAGAUCCUCCUGCCUGGGUUCCGGUUCCAUCCUACCGACGAAGAGCUGGUUAGUUUCUACCUCAAGAAGAAGAUCCAGCAGAAGCCCAUCUCCAUCGAGCUCAUCAAGCAGCAGGACAUCUACAAGUUCGAUCCAUGGGACCUCCCAAGUAAGCAAGCUUGCAUCUACAUCUCCUUGUUUAUACUACAUCUUAUUUUCCUCAUGAAUAGAUGGGUUACUCACCUUACUGCAAAGUCUAACAACUUGACUGUGUUCCUUGUCAACAACAGAGCUUGCGAGCACCAGCAGUGAGACAGAGUGGUACUUCUACUGCCCAAGGGACCGCAAAUAUCACAACAGCGCGAGGCCAAACCGGGUCACAGCAGCUGGGUUCUGGAAAGCCACAGGAACAGAUAGGCCAAUUUACUCCUCCGAGGGCACCAGGUGCGUAGGCCUGAAGAAGUCCCUUGUCUUCUACAAAGGCAGAGCGGCAAGAGGGAUCAAAACCGACUGGAUGAUGCAUGAGUUCAGGCUUCCUUCGCUCGCCGAUCCAUCACUUCCCAAGAGACCGAUCGACAAGAACAUCCCGCUUAAUGUACGCAUUUCAAUUCAUACUAUGUAGUUGCAGAGCUAAAUUCCAUGUUAUGUGGAGUUCUGAAGGCACUUUUUCUGUUGCCGAAAACAGGACUCUUGGACCAUAUGCAGAAUUUUCAAGAAGCCAGGUUCGAUGGCGGCGCAACGGGCGCUGUCUCAUGCUUGGGGGGCUCCAUUGCCUGGGGCAACUGAGCAACCGAUGCAAGCUUCACAUUUUGCUUCGGAGAGCUCCACCCGCUCAUUGCAAGUUGCAGCAGUGGCACCAUCAAGUCAGUUCAUAAGUUUCAACUGUGGUCCAUCUCCGCAAGUCCUCAAAGGUCCCACCAUCUUGCCAUUCCAAACACAGGCGCCAUCACACAAGCCCGUGCUGCACACUGCGCCACCACCGCUCUUCUUCGAUGCGCACUUUGGGCAGCCUGAGCAGAGCGCUGGAUUUGUGACUGGUUCUUCUGCAGAUGUAAAUGCCAGCAUGAGCUGCAGGGACCAAGAGUCAUCCACAACGAAGCAUGGCGGUAAAUUCAGGAGCAUGAACAAUGAGUGGGAAGCUCCGGGGAGACUCGACUUCCCAUUCGGUUUAGUAGCAGACUCUUCGGAUGACUGGGAGUGCAACAUACCUUGGGAAUCCUUUCUUAGCCCAACAGUCCCUGCUGAGAUCUCACAGCACUAGAUGCCUAGCCUGCCCUACACGGAGUGGGAGGUGUGCACCACCUUCACCUGUUAGCAUUUCUGUUAGCAAGGGCACCAGCCAUUUGUUCAGUUUUGGAUUAGAUGUACUGUAUAUACUAGUAAGCUAUACCCUUGUUAACAUGCUAACAGAGAAGGAUAUAUACAUAAAUACAUUGGGUGUAUCAUGUAUACAUUUUCUUUUAAGGUGAGUUAUGGUGUACAUUGAGUGGAGAGUAGUGAACAUAUGGCAAAUCAAUGGAUCAAAUAUCCUGACAAUAGAAAGGUACAACGAUUUGGAACGCUCUAAACACAAGAGGUUUGUCUCUCACCUGCUAAACAUUUAACUCGAGGCAACUAAGCCUCACACCACCACCAUCAGAAACACUUUUCAUUGUGUACAAAACAGCAGUGCAAUAUCAAUUUCAGAGGAGCUCUGCUUUGUGGCUGUCUUGUCUUUGGUUUUCUGGAUUUUCGGAACCUUCUUCGCAAUCUUCUGCUCUUUGGCCGAGAAAGCAUGAAUGAUCCUGCACAGCCAUAGUUGCAACUUAUGAGUACAAGAUGACAGAUUAUAGGACUUCACACAGCGGCAUAUAUCUACCUUUUAUUUGCUCACCUCUCUCUAAAAGCAGUUCCAGAAAGCCAUCCACCAUAAGCACUCCUGCGGUUCCUAACAAACCUGGACCUCUUGUACUCAGUACACCUGAGGUGAGGAAUCUGAAAAUGAGAACUUGCAGUAUGAGAUGAUACUGGGCAACAAGUGAAGUAAUGAUCUGCACUCAUCAUAAGCUGGCCUCUUAAAUUUCAAGCAUUAAUCUACAGAGGACCAUACAGCAUGUGAACCUUCUUGUCAUGACAGUCAAUUAGCAAAAAAUUAUAUCUCAAGCAGCAAAUAAUCUUUGGCAAUAAUAUUUCAAGGGCUGUAGCUUAACAAUUUCACUGAGGAAGUUACAGGACGCGCAAAUGAAGAGUGAAAUCACACAAAUUUCAAAUAUACUGUACGUGACUGGAACAAGCAUUUAAAGUAAUGCUGCAGAUUAAAUUGAGAAGAUGUUUGCGGAUGGUGGUAAGAGCCAAUGAAGGGAAAACUAAUUCUAGUCAAGACUCUAAAGAUGCACUUGGUGAAUGUUGGUUGCACAUCUGCACUUGCACUUGUUUAUUACAAACCAUAGCCAAUAAAAAGCUAGUAUAUCACAAAGUAGACCUUUCAAUUACCAAGUUCCAUGAGCUAUUCUUGACUCAACAACACUUGCAGAACACUGCACACCACACUCAUCCUGGCAUCGGGCAUCCAACAUAAGUAGCAGGAGCAGCACCACCAGAAAUCAACAAACUGGCUUAUAUAGCAUACAUCAAACACUGGAUAUAAUUAACAGUGGGUAAUGAGUAGUUGUAGAAGUGCUGAAAUAUGCAAGGAACAUGACUAGUAUUUCUUAAUUAAGCUACAUUAGCCAUUAAAUAAAAGGCUGUUCCUCGGAAAAGUUGAACCUUGUGCAGAUGAAGACUUACAGUAAGAUCAUCAGCCAUGUAUCCAAUAGACAGCAUCCAAAAGUAAGAUUGUAGUGGCGUCGACCAUCAUCUGUUUCAAACAGAAGAUUUGGCAACGGCAUACCAUUGUCAAUGGUGAACAUGCAGUGCCAAUAACAGAUAUAUGGGCUUAAUUUCUAGUUCUGGCGUCAUUUUAAACAUAAAACCAAAAACAUGUUAUGGAACCAAAACUGGAAGAAACACCAGUCUAUGCAGUGGACAUCUCUGUGGUAAAACAAUAUCAUAUCAAAUUCAUACUACGUACAAGGUACUCCAAAUAAAAUUGCUCAUACUGCUAAAACCCUCACUAAUUGUUCAGGUGGAUACGAUGAUCCAACUCACUGGAAUGUGAAUUCUCAAGCCCAAUUAUUACAAUCCUAUUAUUGACCAAUGAUGGUCAAAUGUGCAAAUGAUGACAGCCAACAAGUCUGAAAGUUACUAGAACCCGGCCCAUUUUAAUCACCCGCUUCCAGCAGUUUUCAAUCCACUAACAGACCAUUCCAUCCGUGCAGCAGCUUGUUAACAAAGAUAAGAAUUGUUUUUGGCACUUUCCUGCAAGUAGCAGAACAUAAACAUCAGUGGGGUCUAGAAAUAAGCAAACAGUUGCACACAUGGAAUAAAAUGUGAAAUCAAAUGGAAUGAACACUGUUUAAUUAGGGACACAUGCAGUACCUGCUCAUUAACUUGGGGUAUAAUUGGUUUGGAGCCCAAGCAAAAAAAAAACUAGUAAUGCUGACUGUAUUUGACCGCCAUGUCGUCUGGGGCCUCAGCAGUCUGUGGUGCCUGAGUGCUAAAUGUUGGUCCACCUUGACGAGAAGAUCCAAGCUGAUCAUGCUCAUUUCCUAUGCGGCCAUAGUGUGGGAGACUCUGAGCAGAGCCCAAACUAGACCGUGGUGCUUCAGGGGCACCAAAUGACGGCCGUGAUGCCUGAGGAGCACCAUACCCAGGCUGCUGCGCUUGAUGAGUACCAUACCCAGGCUGCUGCGCUUGAUGAGCCCCAUACCUGGGCUGCUGCGCUUGAUGAGCCUCAUACCCAGGCUGUUGUGCUUGGUGAGCCCCAUACCCAGGCUGUUGUACUUGAUUGGCGCCAUAUCUGGGCUGUUGCGCCUGUUGGGCGCCAUACCCGGGCUGUUGCGCCUGAUGGGUGCCAUAUCCGGCCUGUUGCGCCUGAUGGGUGCCAUAUCCGGCCUGUUGCGCCUGAUGGGCGCCAUAUCCAGGCUGCUGCGCUUGAUGAGCGCCAUAUCCAGGCUGCUGCGCUUGAUGAGCACCAUACCCAGGCUGUUGCGCUUGAUGAGCACCAUACCCAGGCUGUUGCGCUUGAUGAGCACCAUAUCCAGGCUGUUGCGCUUGAUGAGCGCCAUGGCCUGGCUGUUGUGCUUGAUGAGCGCCAUACCCAGGCUGUCGCGCUUGAUGAGCGACAUGGCCUGGCUGUUGUGCUUGGUGAGCGCCAUACCCUGUCUGCCAUGGACGAGAUGUGCCAAACCCAGAAUGUUGAGUCUCAUGAGAACCAUGUGGUGGUUGCUGCGGUCGACUACCAAACCCAGGCUGCACCGGUGUAGCUGAGCCAAAAUUAGGUUGCUGCACUUGAGGAGCACCAACUGUUUGCUGCCAAGGGCGAGAGGUACCAAACUCUGGCUGUUGUCCAUCUUGAGGCAGGGCAAUCCCAGGUUGUUUUUCUUGAGGAGAAGAAAUACCAUGCUGCCAUUUAUUAGAAGCACCAACAUCUGUUUUUUCAACUUGUUGGUUUCCAGACACAGGCUGCUGAAGUUUAGGAGACAUCCACUCGGGUUGCCGCACUUGAGAUGCACCAUUGCCAGGCUGAAAUGGUUGUGGAGAACCAUAACCUGGUUGGCCUUGGUUAGGUGUGUAGCUGCCCCGUGUCUGAUUAGAUGCAAAUCCUGGCAACCCCUGAGGUGAACUGCGAGGGCGAACCUCUGGUCUUGGCUGAGGAGGCAGUGGCACUGGUUUUUCUUCAAAAGCUUUCUCGAUCUCUUCGUGUCGAUCAGCAUUCUUGAAAAUCUCACCGACAGACACCCGGAACUCAGGAGUUGCGACAACACCACCCCUUGCCAUGUCCCUCACCAGAUCCAGUGCUCUAUCCAAUUCCCCUUCCUUGCACAGUGCAUUAACCAGGAUCUCAAAUGUAGUUGUGUUGGGCUUGAUCUCCUUGUCAGCCAUCCUUCCGUACACCUUCAAGGCAUCAUCAAUUCGGCCAGCUUGUGAAAGUCCUUCAAACAUUCUAUUGAAAAAGCCGAUGUUGAACUUUGGGCCGUGCUCCCUCCCAUCUGCCAUUUUGUAGAAGUACUGAAUCGUGUCAUCCACACGACCUUCCUUGAAGCACAAGUCGACCAGGAAAGUGUAGGUGUACACAUCUGGAAGCACCGACUUGCUCUCCAUCUCCUCAAAGAGCUUCUCUGCCUCUGCGAGCAUCCCCUUCUCACAGAGCUUCCCGAUGAUGUUGUUGAAGCAGCCGACGUCCAUCUGGACGUUCCUCCUCGGCUGGCGGUGGAACACCUCAAUGGCAUCCUGGAACCUGCCCUCCUUGAAGCACUGGUUGACCAUGACAUUGUAGGACUCGCUGUUCAUACCGAUGAAGCUUGGAGGGCUGUGGUUGUCAAUCAUGGUCUCCCACAGGUCAUUGGCCUCCUUGUGCUUGUCAUGCUUGAAGAGUGUCUCGAGCAGAACAUUGCAGGUGGCGGGCGUCAUCUUGAAGUUCCUGUCGAGCAGAGACUUGUAAUUCUCCAUGGCCUCCUUGUCCAUGCCUUUCUUCCAGUAGCCCUCCAUGAAGCUGGUGUGCACGACGCCGUCGUACACGGUGGCCUUCUCGGUGAGCUCGGCAAAGAGCUCGAAGGCCUUGUCCCAGUCGUCGAGGCCGAUGUAGCCGUCGAUGAGGUUCCUGUACACGAUGGAGUCGGCGCCCUGGCCGCGGUGGUACAUGCUGUGGAGGAGCUCGAGGGCCUCCUGGAUGCGGCCGGCAGCGACGAGGCCCUUGGUGAGGUGGCGGUAGCUGACGGCGGAGGGGGAGAAGGAGGUGGCGCCGUCGAGCAUCUCCUGGUAGGCCUGGAGCGCCUCGUCGACGCGGCCGGCCUCGCAGUGGGCGAGGAUGAGGGUGUUGUAGGAGACGACGUUGGGGACGAUGCCGGAGCGGCGGAAGAAGAAGUCGAAGAGCGCCACGGCGUCGUCGUGGCGGCCCGCGCGGCCCAUGGAGGCGGCGACGGCGUUGCAGGUGAAGACGGUGGGGCGGACGCGGGAGCUGACGGCGGCGCGGGCCGCGGCAGAGGCCCCGUCCAGGUCGCCCGAGCGGAUCAGGGACUGCACGCGGUUGUGGAGGCUGAGGCGCGGGCCGACGAGGGAGGAGGUGGUGUCCGGGAGGCGGGGCGCGUUGGGGUCCCGCGGCGGGGGCGGGGCGGACGGGUCCCGCCGGAGCGCGUGGAGCGGGGGCUCGAUGCGGAGGCGGCGCUUGCGGCGGCGGCGCUCCGCCGCGGCCUCCUCCGNNNNNNNNNNNNNNNNNNNNNNNNNNNNNNNNNNNNNNNNNNNNNNNNNNNNNNNNNNNNNNNNNNNNNNNNNNNNNNNNNNNNNNNNNNNNNNNNNNNNNNNNNNNNNNNNNNNNNNNNNNNNNNNNNNNNNNNNNNNNNNNNNNNNNNNNNNNNNNNNNNNNNNNNNNNNNNNNNNNNNNNNNNNNNNNNNNNNNNNNNNNNNNNNNNNNNNNNNNNNNNNNNNNNNNNNNNNNNNNNNNNNNNNNNNNNNNNNNNNNNNNNNNNNNNNNNNNNNNNNNNNNNNNNNNNNNNNNNNNNNNNNNNNNNNNNNNNNNNNNNNNNNNNNNNNNNNNNNNNNNNNNNNNNNNNNNNNNNNNNNNNNNNNNNNNNNNNNNNNNNNNNNNNNUCCGCGGAGGAGAAGGAGAAGCCGCGGGAGGGGGCGAGGGCCGGGUGGGGGGUUAGGGCGGUGGUGUGGGGGAGGAGGCGGGGCUGGGGCUGGGAGUGGGGCAGGGCGAGGCGGCGGAGGAGGAGGAGACGGCGGAGGAGCGCCGCCAUGGUCGUCCGCCGACGAGGAGCAGGGCAGGGGAGGGGAGGGAAGGGUUCUGGUGGAGCGGCGGCCACGGGGGGAAGCAGAGCCACCCAAAACCCUUCCGCUGGUGGGCUUGGGCCAUUUCUCCAGGCCAUUCGCUUUCAUUUCGCGCUGAAAGGGCUUCGUUUUGCUCCAACCCAAUGACUGACUUCUGGCCAUUCAUUCUCAAGAAAAAAAUCAUUCUAUAGAAAAAAAAUAACCUCUUUCUCAUUCGGAAAAGUUAUUACUAAAAAAACGAAGCCUUCGGUUUUCACAUGAGUAACCAAGUGAUAAAAGAACUCGACCAAUGUGAGCAUAGAAAAAUGAGUCUAAACAAACUCCAUUGUAGUGAUCAUUAAACCAAGUCAUGGGGAUACGAUUGAGGUCUGGAGUGUUAAGGAGCCACACAUGGCGUCCAAAAGAAAGUCUUAGAGCAUGUUUAGCGAGGCUACGUGCCUCGAUAUUGGAUUCUCGCCCCUCGAAGAUGAAGAAACGGCGAUCUAUCUGGUUUGAAGUCUGGUAGGUCUCCUUGAUGAUACCAGCAUGCAUCCCUACCGUGUCUUUUGUGAAUAUUGUUUACCAUGCCUUGGCAGUCCGAGGCGAUAACCACAUAAAUAAGUGAGAGGUCGAGGGCAAGAGUCAAUGCUUCCCGACAUGUCAUUGCCUCCCAGAGAGGCAGCAUCCGUGCCCCCAGAACAUUUGAUGGCAGAUGAACCCGAGUACUUGCCUAUGGAGUCGCCACACAUGGCACUAUAAGAUCCUUCCGUUGAAUUCCCGACAUGUCAUUUCUCUCACCCCCGUCAACAAUCAAAUGCAUGGUGAGAGAAAUAAAAGCAGUUGGUUGAUAAUUAAAGGGGGUGCAUGUUGAGAGAACUAGAUGAUAGCCCGAGCGUUGUUGCGGACCUGCGUUUCCAUGAGCGGAUUCGAAGAGAAGCAUAUACUAUAUGAAUGAAUAUUAAAUACAACUUAUCAAACGUAUAAGCAGCGCAUUAUAGCCCCACAUAUGUGUGUUGGAGCUUGUCUAUACGCCCGAAGCGGAUGGUAAGGAAGCUUUGCAGAUGGGAAGAGUAAUGUGCUAGCACUCAAGGGCCCAUUAAUACAUAUUGUUUUUAUUUACCAUAGAAGUGGUGAAUUUAAAAGUAGAGUAAAAAUACAGCCUAAAUACUAAAGAGGUUUCAUGUAAGAAAAAAGUUAAUAAAAAUGUUCAUAUCUAGCAUAAGAUUAUUNNNNNNNNNNNNNNNNNNNNNNNNNNNNNNNNNNNNNNNNNNNNNNNNNNNNNNNNNNNNNNNNNNNNNNNNNNNNNNNNNNNNNNNNNNNNNNNNNNNNNNNNNNNNNNNNNNNNNNNNNNNNNNNNNNNNNNNNNNNNNNNNNNNNNNNNNNNNNNNNNNNNNNNNNNNNNNNNNNNNNNNNNNNNNNNNNNNNNNNNNNNNNNNNNNNNNNNNNNNNNNNNNNNNNNNNNNNNNNNNNNNNNNNNNNNNNNNNNNNNNNNNNNNNNNNNNNNNNNNNNNNNNNNNNNNNNNNNNNNNNNNNNGUGCCUCAAAUAGUUCAAUAUGCAUGUAAAAAAAUGUAAAUUUAUAAGAAAGUAGUUCAUCUGUAUUAGAAUAAAUGUUCAUGCCAUCUUAAAAGGGUUCAAUAUACCCCUCCCCCGCCCAUCCAAAAAAGAACAAAAAAUAAAUAAAUAAAGAUGCAUCCAAAAGAAAAUUGAAAAAUUAUAAGAAAAUAAAAGAAUGAAAACCCCAAAGAAGCAGAAACAUAAAAGAAAAAGAGGAAAAGAGGAAAAUGGAGGCAAAACAGAAUAUGUGAUGAAUAUAUUAAAUUUGUUGUGCGUGAUUUUAUUUUCAAAAUUUUGUGAACAUAAUAAUAUCAGUCGAUGAACAUUACUUUAAAUUUUAUGGACAUUACUUUUUUAAAUAAGCAUUCUCGUAAAUAUGAACUUUUGUAAACAUACGGACAUUUUUUUAAAAGUUCAUGAAUAUGUUUUUCGGGCAGUAGACUUUUUUUCCAAUACAUAUGGCUGCAUUUUUCUUUGUAAUUAUUUGUAUAUUUUUCUAGAAUCAAAAUUUGCAAAUAAAAAGAGUUAUAUAAAUUAGAAUUAAAAAUUGCAAACCGUUAUUGGGCUGGCCCAGGUAGCAACCCUGCGCGUUUUGGGGGCGUCUGGCGAUCCGGCCGGCCGAUCCUAACAAACAUCCGAUGUUUGCCUGCGUCGAGCAUGUUGAGCAGCUUCCCGACCUGCAUGGUUACAUGAACCAGAUCCAUCGAUCUGUCCAUAUAUAGACAGCUUAUAUGCGCGUCUUAGUUUGUUCGACCGAGAAAUCACCAUGCAUAUAGUCUGCAAUACGGACAGAAAGUAAUACUCCCUCCGUUCCUAAAUGUAAGUCUUUGUAGAGAUUCCAUUAUGAACCACAUACGGAUGUGUAUAGAUGCAUUUUAAGUUCAGAUUCAUUCAUUUUGCUCCAUAUGUAGUCCACCUAAUGGAAUCCCUACAAAGACUUAUAUUUAGGAACGGAGGGAGUAUGUAAUAAAGAAUCAAAAGACCCGUGCGUUUCUACUUUCUUGGAUUUUUUAGCCGAGUGGGUGAUUUCUGUAGAGUUUAGGGUUUAGUUUAGCACUUCAUUUUAAGGGAAAGCCUUCAUGGCACUUUAUUGAAACUCAAAUAAGUUUACAUCAUUUGCAAUGGCAUCUAAGAUGAAAAUAAACGGAUACACAUGCCACGUAGUGGACAGAGGUCCCUCCGCAUUACUAGCUAACAAAUGAGCCACCUUAUUUCUUUCCUUAGAACAGUGAAAUACAACUUUUUUAGCGUGUAAUUUUUUGAGUAUUUCUUAGUUUAGCACUUCAGCACGUUCUCUUCCCAGUGAAUCUUCAGUCUUCACGUGCUUGUUUCAUUUUUAGUUGUUGAGCAAUGCCUGGCAGUUCGACUUGUUUCUUCUACUCGCUAUGCGGAGUCUCCAAUACAUAUGGACUUGUUUCUUCUAUUCGCUAUGCGGAGUUUCCAAUACAUAUGGUUGCUCCAAAGCUAAGCUUAUAUUUGUUUGGCAAUAAACUUUGUAUUAAAAAAAUCUAUUUUAAGUAAUUUUGGACCUUAAAAUGCCGAAAUUUUCAAUAUCUACCGGCGCUCACCUGUAGAAAAACUCAUUGAGGAAAAAACCUUAGUCGAAACAAAAGAUUGACUGCUCAAGUGAUAUUAUAUUGCACUAAAGGAAAAAACUAUUAAGGCCGAGUAUGUAAACCACUUGGCGAAGCCCGAAUCAACCUGGGCAAUGCCUAUGCCUAGUGUGACACUCGGCGUAUAUCCUGUUGGCAUACGGACCUUAGCUGAGUGUAUUUCGUCGAGGGUUCGGGAAACGUGUAAUCCGAGAGAAAAACAACAGCCCACAUCAAAAAAGGGUUAACCAGGUGGCGGGCCACGUUAGCAGUGUUGAGUAAGCCGAAUGUCGGCGCUCGGCAUUCAUCCGCUGCUCGUCUUUUAGUUGGACCCAAGAGCUACGCGGAGGCGCAGGCGCCACGUGUAAUGCCAAUAUGCUGAGUGUCAUGUCAUUGUUCACAGCAAAUGUGUUCGCCGAGCGAGUCUGUACGUCGAGCAUUUUAUGUGUUAGUCACGGUUUUGUACGCCGAGCGUCUCGAUGUAAACCGAGGGUCUUCUCUGCUGAACUAUUCAUGAAACAAUGGUGUAGGUGCACUAGCAUCUUGCAUAAUUCCACAGAUGAAUCUAAAGAUUUAACAAAUGCUGAGUUGUUUUACAACUAAUGUGCAUGACAAGAUACUGUAAGUAUUUAUAUAUUAUCAUACAUUAAGAUAUUCUUUUUAGGGUGGACAUUAAGAUAUGUUGGUAGCUGAAUCUUCCAGACUCAUUGGUUCAUUCUCUUGAAGGCCAGGGUGUGGAACAUGGGAUGGGAUCCCUUGGUUUAAUACAAAGAUGGCAGUAGAUUGAUCCAUUUCCCGAAGGUCAGCGUGAAGCAUGGGAUCUUCUGCUCAUUCCAAUAUGAUGGCUCAGCGUAUCGAUGGGGAGCCCAGUUAGUAUGAAGUGAGGAAGAGGACCACACAAGAUAUCCUCUCCAGGUCAAGGUUCAGUUGUGCAUUUGAUGCCAUUUUAGCCAGACUUGAUGUAUGAUGACUGAUUUUUUGGAUGAUUUGUGCUGUACAACAGUCCACCAUCCUUCGUCUUCCUGCACUGGUUCUAGAUCUUAAGCUGCUUAGCUAUUAUUUUGAAAUAAUUUGAACUUGCAGAAGCGGUUCUCAUGUGCUGAAUAUCCUUGUGCCAUUUUGGAACCAGAAUGUAGAAACAUAUCUGAGUCACCUUUAAGAACCUUUUGCUUGACAUGCAUGUGCAACAACAAGACCCUUUCCAAACAUCACCAGUUGUUGAACGAUCUGUACAGUAAAAUAGGGGACUAACUCUCACAUAUUCAACGAACAUGAGGUAGCCACACAUCAUGUUUCCAGGCACUGCUAGAUUGUACUAGUAGCGGACCUAGGGCAAAUAAUUUGAUGUCGGCGAGACAGGGUAAACAUCAACAUGAGACAAAUGCACCAAACAUAAACCUUAAAAUUGACCACAGUUCGAACUGACGCUGAUAAAUAUUUCUUCUUUAUCUCAGACCAACGUCUAGCCCCAAAUUCUUCCAAGACCAUCAAUUAGUUCGAGCACCUCUUCGGUUGUCCAAUGUGGUUUAUUUGUUCUGUGUCCACCGUUUCAGCCUCACUUGCAGAAGAUGCAUCCUGGAUGCCCUGUUUAAACAACCAAUGACAUAAAAUUAUUUGGCCACUGUCCGCUGAUGGAUUAAGUACAGAUGAAAUUUCUGAACUUAAAAGGGCACACAAUAUGAAGAAAACAACAGAUAUAUUUGUAGAUAUAAUGAACAUGUCUGAUUUACACGCACAUAUGAUUUCUUAAGUGUGAUUCAUUCUCAAUUGUGGUUCAGAUGAAGCAACCAUAGCUGAGAGACCACCAACCUUCUAGUCAUCAAAUCCUGAGUUUAUUGUUCGCAAAAAGAACAAGAAAAAUUCUGAGUUCAUUGAUCAGAUGCAAAGCAACACAUUUCCUGUCGUCGUUCAAAAGAGAAAUGUGAAAAACAUUUACGACCCUAGCUAGCCACAUAGUCUCAUCUUUUGAUUAUUACAUUCCUUCACAAACACUCGACAACGGCCACUAAACUCAGAACCAAUCCAUGGUCUGAUCUCCCUCUCUCCUUGAGGUGAUAAAAAGGGCGUGUGCCAUUGCGUAAAGCCAAGGCUCGGCUAGUAGCAGCAGGGCGACGACAUAUGCAUCAGUGCAUCGAAGCAAAAAAUAGCGCCUGCUAUCUGUUUGGGUUUACAUUGAUCAAGUGAUGGGAUAUACUCCUACAAGUUCCUCCAGUGCAGGCAAAUGUUUUGCAGGUGAGAAACUACACCGCUCACGCGCUGCAGCAACAGCAGCUCAACUCUUGCCACGGCCCUUGGAUUUCUUCUUGCUGCUCCUGCUUCCGUGCGCCCAAAGCCGAGGCAGCUUCUCCCAUGCGGUCAGGUUCGUCAUCUGAACAUCCGUUGGCGUUGGCGUGCGGCUGGACAGCUGCUGCAGCAUUUUUGCUCUCGUUCAUUAAACAUUUCUCUUGCUAAAUUUUUCAUCCAUGCAUAACCUUGCAGCAGCCAGAAAGCGCAUGACCAGCUGCAGUUUCUUCUCACCACCUUGCCACUUUGAGUAUAGAUCCUUCACAGCAAGACGAGCUUUUUUCUCAACCCUGUGAUGACAAGACAAGCAAUUUUCACGUACGAGUAAUAAAUUCAUGUCUUACACUACACUAAGGUACAUAUCAUGCAGAAAAAGAGGAUGGCGAACACACCUACUCCCUCCGUUCCAAAAUAGACCAAAGUUAGUACAAAGUUGAGUCAACUAUUUUGGAACGGAGGGAGUAUCAAUUGCAAUACGGUAUCUGCAGUUCUGUACUGCCUGCCAUUGAGAAACAUAGUUAGCCCUAAAUUAACAUUUACUUACCUGGCUGAAAGUUUUUCGAACUCACUGCAGAUGUGGCUGAUCUCUUCCACUGUUUGUGUAUUAGUAGCUGCAUCAAUCACAGCUAGAAGGCCUGUUUCCUCCAACCAUGCAAGGGCGUCUCUAAGAAAUUGAAUAACAACCCAUGCAUCUUUCUGCAGAAAUUAGCUUUUAGAAUAACUUGGAAGCUGCCAACAAUGGGACAAACUGAAAGAUAACAAAACAAGCAUAUGAAACUCACCUAGCCCUGCUUGUUGAGUACAAAAGUCUCAAACUUCUUCCAAGUAGCACUAUCAUUAGUUAAAUCUAUCUCUAUCGUACUCGCUGUCUUGCUAUCUUGUACAGCAUAAGGAAUUUUCCCACAAAUAACAUUAGGGGAACUAUCUGAUUUUUCUGGCAAUGAAGUCUCUUCCUUUAGAGAACUUGGUUCUUCAGGGCGCAGAAGAGCCAUUAUCUUCAGAACACUGUACAACGAAUCCUCCUUGCUAAUCAUAUAAGCAUUUAAGUUCGGACAAAGUACUGGGCCUUUGGUUGAGCCAAUAACAACCAUAGGAUCUCCGAUUGCGGCGAGUGCAUCAGCAAGCACUCUUGUGAAGUUGCUUGAUGUGCAAGACGCCAAAACCUCAUUUUCAAAGCAUGUUCAAUCUUCUGAGAGAACUCCAAAGGUAGUUCCUUAAAGACUUCAUUCCUCCAAAGGUUAUGUGUGACCUCAUAGCAAUUCCCCAGGGAAAUAUUAAGGAUCAGAGGAUAAAGUGCAACAACUGGUCUCAGGAGGACUGGUCUGUAUCAAGUGCUAGGACCUGAAAUCUUGUGUGCCCAUUCCUGGAGCAUAUGGUUGGUCGUCAAGAUAGUCAUAAUCAUCUGAUAUAUGAAACGGCCUGAUGGGUGUGCCAAACGAUUAAGAUCAGAAUCUGGUCUCGAUUUACAUACCAGGUAGGUGUAAAUGUAAACCUUGCUGGUACGGCACUCCAGUAUAUUGACCAACAGAGAUUUCGUGCAGCAUAUAAAAUCAUUCUGUAUCAAGUACGAGAAGCCAUGAAACCAAGGCACUCCAGAAGACCCACAUAGCAUGUUGGGGAUAUGUAGUCUAGCUCAUCCUUCCACUUUACAUUGAGGGUAAAAUCACGAGCAAGCUUAAAGUUCAAGAAAAAUGAGGAUCUAUCACAACCACUGUCAAGAAAUCACUGCAAAUAUUAGAAAAAAUCUGCCUACUCAGAACUAUUGUCCAGGUACUGUAGUGGUCAUGAAAGUCGCGCUUCGCCCAAGUGUGCUGCAUGAAGCACAAGCAUGGUUGUUCUCCCAAGAUGCCCCCGAGUUAAAUUUUUAUUUACCAGGCAAAGAUUUGCACUAAGAGAAUCAGCAAUCAAUUCAUAUGCAGCUGGUGAGUCAAGUAGACACAAGAGGCUCCCCAUUGUCCCAUCUCUCCACACAAGGAAAACUAACUCGAAGAAGCGACACUCACAGAGAAUAAAAAGGCUUCUGAACUUCUUAGAACUUUUUGGAAUACUGAACUGUGGUUCUUCGAAGAACUUUGCUAUCUCAUUUAUGAUAAGGAUAGUUCUCACCAGUGUAUAUGAAGAUGCAGGCUUCAGAGAAAUUUCGACAGCGGACUCCAACUUCUUAAGUACACUGAAACCAACAGAAGACAGCUCAUUCAUCCAGAAACACUGAGCACAUGAAUGACACUGAGGGACACCCAAUAAACAUCUGUUGCCGUCUUGCUGCAAAUAAUUUCUGCCAGCAAUAGAAAGCCAACUUGCAUUGAUGUUAAGCACCACAUAUCUGUCAACUUCACCAUCUUUUCUCAAUCCAAAGUACUUGGCGCAAAGAUCUUCAUACAUAACUGCAUAAUCAUUUAAUUCUGGACCAUCGGUGUGGCGAAGAUGAGACAGUACUUUGAUUAUGAUCGACUUCCAGUGAUUCAAACAUAAAACAGAGUUUGGGGUGACAUCUGGUUAGAGGCCAGCAUAUCUUUACUACUGUUUUCAUGUUCAGAUCCUGGCCCUAAUUCUAUAUUGUAUCCAGAGGCUCGAGACUGAAGAUGAACAUCAAGAAUCAAACUGGAAGCAACAAGUUAAACCAAUAGUUUGGACAUUUCUGCCCUCAACCAAUGUGCGAUUUAAACUGGGUAGAGACUUAUUCACAUCUGACAGUGCAUCAGCUUCCACGCAAAACAAAACAGUAGAAACUCUGAGACCUUUUUCGCCAUCUCUUUGGCUUUUGCAAGCAACUGUCACUUUUCUGAAUAUCUUUUGGGAGGCCAACCUCUACCAUUUGAAGACCACAGAGAAUCCACAAUGAUAUGGACGCCCUGUUGCAUCCUUAAACAAAUCUGCCUUCUCGAGCAUGUCUACCUCCAGUAAGACAUCUCCUUUAUGCUUUGCUAUUCCUGCAGCUUCUAGGAAAUUACACAUUUCCAUCUCUAAACUCGACAGUCAUCAACAAGAUUCGUAGAAUUUAGGAAUGUCCGUACAUGAUCCAUAGAGCUGAAAGCUUUAAUAAAAGCCAUCCUAUGCUUUAUGACGACACGCUCAAAAUAAUCUUGAGCACAGUUAUCCAGAUACUUUGUUCUAAUUGCAGAAACCUCAAGGAUUUUGAAUUCUGAAGCGAAUGUUCCUCCUCCAGAUUGCAUAAUUGUUUUCCUUUCGAGCACAUGGAGAAACACUUGGUGUAACAUUUAGCUUUGAAGAACACUUCCACUGCCUCCGACCAGCAUUCAGCGAUAGCAAAAUAAUCAUCAGCAUCCUCAAGUCCAGAACUGGAAGUACCACAUUUUUGCAUAUAGACCAUACCUAUGGCAAUGCAAGGAACACAAUGUUUAGUCAGACAGAGCUUCGUGGGGUGUAAGGUAAACUAUCCAUAUGAAAGCUAAAAAUUGGCAUUUCUGUAAUUUAUAUAGGGAUGUCAUUUCCAAAAAAAUGUUUUGAGAUUUGAUGACAUUUACUUGUAUGGCUAAUCUCUAAGAACAACAUGUCAUUUGUAAAACAUUAUGAAAUGAUGAAAUCUCAAGUAUGGAUACAGCUUGUAAAUUAUGGAGAGUUGGCAGACCUGUUCUUUUGUAGUCACCUAAUUUGAUAUAGCAAUUAGCAGCUUUCAUGGACUCUGUCAAUCUCUGAUGUUGUUUGCAAUGAAGCCUUGCCCAGCUCCAAAUUUGUUGAGAUGACACAGUCAGCAGUGGCUAGAAGUCCGGCAGCUCUUGUGCACUUCUCUGUUUGCAUCACCAGCCUUCUCGAAGCACAUGGUAGCCAUCUCGAAUUGUCCCUCACUGAAUAACUACAAAAAAAGAGAACUUGUGACAUGGUAGCCUUCUCUAUAGGAUUAUUGUGGCCUUUUCUUUUGCCUUGUCGCUCUACGCUCAAUCUCUUGCCGCCGAGCAACUUUCGCCGCCAUUUUUCUUGGGCUAUGAUUUUGUGCGCAAUCUUCUUUUGACAAUUCAACUUCUUUGCUACUUCUCUUUUAUUUUCUAUUGAUGCGGUGUCUUCCUCUGAUGCGCCAUCUUCGUGUUACCCCCUCCGGCUUGACUCGACAGGUUCGGAAGAUUCUUCAUGCUACGACGACCCUCUCAAGACGCGAAUUUCGGAUUAUCUUUUUUUAAGUGUCUUCAAAUGGUGUUGGGGAGGGGGGGGGGGAUAUUACUAUUUGUCUUGGAGUCCUUAUUAUGCUAUGUCUCUUUCCUUUACCCCAUGUCUUGUGUAAUAAGUCGAUCGAUUGAGAGAAUUCGCUUUCCCUACUUUUCGAAGAGAGAAAGCGAGGUGACUAGUUGCGCUCCAGGCGCCCAAUUUACCUGCGCUGUCUCCGGCGGCUCCUUUCCUCUAGCAACCUCACGGUUGUUGGUUGGAGGGAGUCGCCGGACCCCACAUGCAGUCUGUAUAGUUGUAGGCUUAGAUGGGCUUGCGUAGCUAGAAUUCUGCCGACCGUGGUCUUGGGUCCGACGAUUUUGUUGAUGGCAGCUAAUAAAUUCCUUCAAGUCCCGCUUCAUCGUGUUGUUCCGUGUCAUCGACGGCCCUUGGGUCUGGUAGGUGGUCUGCCUGAGUGGUGUCGGCGGCGACCCCUUGGUGGCUUUUGUUCUCCGGCACCUCCAUGGAACUGGAAGAUUGUACAUGAGUGUAUUAGCCGGUGUUGGUCGUCAUAGUGGCGGCUACAACGACGGGAGGGAGGUGUGGUGGACCGAUGCAGGGUUCAUAGUUCAACGCGGCUGGUUCGGUGACUCUCCUUCGACUUUGCCGGGCAGAGGACUGGAGCUAGGACCAAGGUGCACGGGGAUUGCCCCGGGUAGACACACCACGGCGACAACGCCUUGCCUUUUGCAGCGGGCUCACAAAGCUGAUUUCGGCGAUGGUGCGUCCUUGGUUCAGGCGUUGGCGGCUUCCUACGUCUUCCUCCGGCAUUCGUUUCAGUGGCGGCGGCCGAUGUCUUCUAUUGCAGCGAGGACCCUCGAGGACCUAUUUGUUAUUUUUCUUUCGUUUGGGGCUUCUUGGUACACCUGUACCCCCUGCUGCUCUCUAGUAGGUUCUGCAUGUGUAGGGUUUGUAACUCAUUUGGAAGUAAGGAACACGCAACAAACUUCUCAAAAAAGUCUUGUGUAGGGUUUAUAUAUAUAUAUAUAUAUAUAUAUGAUUAUUAUGUCUUUGCCACCCGGGGGGCUACACCACCUCUCUAGCUUCCAUCAGAUCUGGCUUUGAGAUCCGUGUAACAUCUUUUAGGUUUGCCAUUGGUUAGUCUUUCAUUUGUCUAAUUGCACUGCAACGAGUUCAUUGGCAAUUAGUAACAAAAUUAAAUGUUGAUACCGUGUAUACACAUGGAUCCAUUUUUGGGAAUCUUUUUUGAAUUCAUGGGGAACUUUUUUUAGGUAAUCCAAGUCUUAAUCACCAACCAAUUUUUUGAACUAUUAUAGAAAGUUAGGAACUUAUAUUGUUUCUAUACUAUUAGGGAAUCUUUUAGGUUAAGUAUUCAUGAUAUGGCAUUUUGAUACCGCAAUAGUGUAAUACAGGCUCUGCCGGGACCGUAUUAGUGUGGUCAUUAGCAUGCUUUUUUUUCAAGAGUACGCCAUAGGCAUACCAUAGAUUAGCAUGCUUUAUUAAUUGAAUUCCUAUAGAGGAAAGACGAAAGCACAGCGUUCACACGGAUCACGAGGCAUGGAUGGAGAUAACAUGGGGUUGAAGGAGGUAACAUGGGGUGGCAUGGUGUUCACACGGACCUUACUAGAUAGGUGGGUCUGGUACCCCAUGUACGAAUUCGCCGACGCCGAGGACAAGGCCCGACCUGAUACGAAGUGCUAUGAACUGAAUAUGCCGGAGGAGUUGGCAGCUAAUCUACAGAAGUUGCCGCCAAAGGACGUCCCAGGAAAGUCCAGCGUGGAGUCGUAUUCACUCGCAAACCGGCCAAAGAACGUGAGUGUUCAAAACCGAUACCUCUUUUUUGAUUGUCAUUAUUUGUGUGACCGAGUCUGACUCCAAUUCCUUCCCCUCCUGCAUUCAAGGGAUUCAUCUCCAUGCCUCCACUCCCCAAGCACAUGGUGGGGCCAGAUCAGCCGGCGUUGCUUGAUAUGUUGUGUCGGCAGAGACAAGGAGGAAGAGGAGUUCGCCGUAGGUUCCAUAGCCGACCCGAAAGGGAGCCAGGCAGAGGAUGACAGUGAUGAGAUGACGAAGCCACGUUGCGCUUUCAACGGGUCAUGAACAGGGACCAAGACGAGGAGGCGUCCGACUCAUAUGCACUUGCCCCAACAACUAUGCACGGAGCCGAAUCGAAAAAAGUUGGAGAGCAGGGCCACCGCUAGCAUGACCUUAUCCCGGUCCCUACCACAGGGCCAUGCACCCCAACUCGAUGCACGCCUCCUCGACCAUCUGCUUACAGCAAGGUGCGGGAAGCAUGCAGUCGGGAAGGUUUUUCCUGGCAAGGCCAUCUUGACUCUGCUUCUUUUUGCUAUUGGAUCUAGUGGUUGAGGUUUGGACCUGGCAUGUUCUCACUACUCUUGCAAUGCCCUCGGGACUUAAAGGCGUCUGACCAAAGGAAGAGGCGUCCAGCCCAACACCCAAGCUCGGCCGAAUCCUCCCACAACACUGCCAAGGUGUUAGGCAGAGACAGGUGGAGGCUCAGCGGGGCAAGGUGUUGCCCCGCCACCAUUGACAAGUGUGCCAACGCUGGAUGCGUAUGUAUCUUCUACAUCGUCGGUCACCACGUCAGAGCCGAUGACGACAGUACUAGAGGUGAAGCCACAACGCUCCCUACCGCCCUGCAGGUCCAACCAAACGAAGUCAAACGUCAUAGAGACGACGUUGGACUCCCGCUUAGGGCCUGAUGCAUCCCUGGAUAUGGCAUCAAUGUCGACCACCAAUCUGGGCGCAGCCACCAAGGACAAGGAGUCGACCACGAGUCCAGCGGCAACCCUUCGUUUAAGGUCGCGAUGCUGGCCUCUAGCUCAAGGAUACCAGCGCUGGUCACCAAGGAAGUGGAGCCAGCAGGCCAAAAGCCUCCAUCUAUGAAGGAUUCAGGGGUGGCUCAUGUGCUGGAGCCAACGUCGGCCCUUCUCCUACUGCGGUUGUUGUCCGAUCCGCCUCACCCACCGCUCCAAUCCAAGCCCCAGGUUCCAUUGAGCUAAACGAGGGGACUAGCAAAACGAGAGUGGUGUCAUCUUCACGACGGAGGGAACAAUGGGGAGCUGAGAGACGGUGGUGGUGCGACCGUCGAAGGCAAGCAGCAUGGAUGACCCGCCGUGGAGCGGGAAGUGGAGCCACACCUAGCUGACCUCCAGGCCAAGGUGAGAUCCUUGGAAGAGUCAACCAUUCGGCUAAGCGACAUGGUGAAGCCUGUCGUAGAGGUUAAUAUAUUGUUAUUUGAAUUGUUUUGGGUGUUCAAACUUAAUGUGGGUACUUUGUGUUAGACCUUUCAACCUGAGCAUUGAUAGUUAUGGAUGACAUUAGAAGAGUUGGGACAAUUUUCGUUGGUUUAUUUCUCACACAAUGCCAUGCCAACCUGAGGGAUUGGGGAUACAUAUUUAUAGGCUGCUAGCCAGCCAAGCAUAUGCUAAGAUGCUGCUAAGAUGCCAGUCUAAGAUGCUAGUCUAAGAUGCUAACUGACAGUCCUUGAUGGUCAAGAACAGAACUCUAUCCUAAUAGCCAGUCCUUGAUGGUCAGGAACUCUAUCCUAACUGCCACAAGGACCAUGUGCUGCAGCCCCACAAAGACCCUAGUACACAGACUUAUCCAUCAUUCUCCCCCUAAGUCUUGUACGUCGUCUUGUGGGAGAGUUGAAUCAUCCCGAUCCUGGAGCAAAGCUCGUGGAACUUGAUCCUCCCAAGAAGCUUGGUGAGCAGGUCUGCGAGCUGGUCCGUGGUGUUGAUGUAGCUCGCCUCGAUGCUCCCUUCUUCCAAGCAGCUGCGGAUGAAGUGAUACCUCAGUCGGAUGUGCUUGCUCCGUUCGUGAAAAACGGGGUUCUUUGCCAGAGCCAGGGCGGACUUGUUGUCCACCAGGAACUGCACCGUUCUGGUGUCUUGAACGAGAAGAUCACCAAGCAGCCGAGCGAGCCAGAGCGCCUGAGUGCAGGCGGUGGAGGCCGCUAUGUACUCAGCCUCACAGCUGGACAGGGCCACCACCUGCUGCUUGACUGAUUGCCAGCUCACGAGGCACUUGCCGAGGAAGAAGAGGAUCCCGCUCGUGCUCUUGCUGGUGUCGAUGUCGCCGGCGUGGUCGCUGUCGCUGUACCCGACGAAGUGUGCCGCCCCUGGACACCUAGGGUAGUGGAGGCCGUGGUCGAGGGUCCCUGCUACGUAGCGGACGAUCCUCUUCACUGCCUGCUGGUGUUCCGUCGUCGGUCGCUCCAUGAACCGACUGACAUAGCCGACGGAGAAGGCCAAGUCCGGCCGUGUGUGGGCGAGGUAGCGAAGGCUCCCCACAAGGCGUCGGUACUGCGUAGCGUCCACUUCCUCGGUCGUGCUGUCGCGGCUCAGUUUCAGCCUCUCUUCCAUCGGAGUGAGAGCUGGGUGGCAAUCGGUGAGCCCAGCUAGCUCAACGAUGCACUUGGCAUAGGCGGACUGUCGAAGCGCGAUCCCGGAAUGAUCCUGGUGCACCUCAAUCCCUAGAUAAAAGGAGAGGAGCCCCAGAUCACUCAUCUAGAAGGUGGCCUUCAUGUCUUCCUUGAACGCCGCCACCUCUGCAUCUUUGGUGCCGGUGAUCACCAAGUCGUCAACAUAGACGCCCACCAACAGGGCAUUUCCUCCACUGCCCCGUCGGUAGACGGCCGCCUCAUGCGGGCUUUGCUCGAAGCCCAUCUUCUUUAGCGUGGAGUCCAGCUUGGGGUUCCACGCCCUAGGCGCCUGCCGUAGGCCAUAGAGAGCCUUGCGCAGGCGGAGUACCUUGCCCUCCUGGCCGGGGAUCGCAAAUCCCGGUGGCUGAUGCACGUAGACUUCCUCCUUCAAGUCGCCAUUGAGGAAUGCCGACUUGACGUCCAUGUGGUGGACACGCCAGCCCUCCUGGGCAGCCAGCGCAAGGAGAAGUCGCACGGACUCCAUCCGUGCCAUGGGAGCGAAAGCGUCGUCGAAGUCGACUCCUUCCUGCUGCAAGAAGCCUCGGGCCACCAAGCGAGCCUUGUGCUUGAUGAUGGCGCCGGCUCCAUCCCUCUUCAGCUUGAACACCCACUUAAGGGUGAUUGCACGGUGACCUCGAGGGAGAUCAGCGAGCUCCCAGGUGCGGUUUUGCUCGACCGCAUCCAUCUCCAACUGCAUCGCGGCGCGCCAUGCCGCGUCUCUCUCGGCCUCUGCAAAGGACCGUGGUUCGCCGUCUUCACACGCGAGUUGUAGCUGCGCCUCCAGGUCACGUGGCACCAGUCCCGGCACCCGCUGGUCGCCGAGCAGAUUAUCCAUCGUACGAUACCGUAGCGGUUCGCCGUCAUGCCACGCGUCGAUACGCUCCUCGUCGUGAGUGAGCGGGGAAGCGAACUUCAUCGGGUUGUGCUCUGCGUGAGCUGGUGCUGAUGAAGACGAGCCCGGAGUGGUGACUGUCGGGGCUGGAGUAUGCGGCGUCGCCGGUUGUGGUGUCGUCGGUGUAGCAGGCGCCGGAGUCGAUGUAGUUUUGGGGGCCGGGGUAGACAUGCCCGGCGAAGAGGAGCUGCUUGCUCCCCCAGCUUCCUUGAAGUGGGCGUACUCGACAAUGAAGUCGUCAUAUGUCGGCGUCGAGCCGUCGUCCACCGCCUUGUCCCAUUGCCACCCUCGCCCUUCGUUGAACACGACGUCUUGCACUGUGCGCACACGUUGUGUCUUUGGGUCGAGGAUGCGGUAGGCCUUUGAGCCCUCCGCGUAGCCGAUGAAGACUCCCGGAGUGCUCCUGUCGUCGAGCUUCCCGAUGUGGCCGAGCUCCUUGGCGAACGCAAGGCAGCCAAAGACCCGCAAAUGAGAGACCGCCGGCUUCCGCCCAUGCCAGGCCUCGUACGGAGUCCUGCCGUCCAGUGCCUUAGUAGGUGAGCGGUUGAGGAUGUAGACGGCCGUUAGCACCGCCUCACCCCAGAAGACAGUCGGCAUCCCUCUCUGCUUGAGGAGAGCCCGAGCCAUCCCCACAACCGUUUGGUUGCGCCGCUCGACGAAGCCGUUUUGCUGCGGGCUGUACGGCGCGGAGUAGUGGCGCUGGAUGCCCUCAUCGGCGCAGUACGACGCAAAUUCAGCCGCCGUGAACUCGCCACCAUUGUCAGUGCGCAACAUGCGCAAUUUGCGGCCGCUCUCCGCCUCCACACCAACCUACGCGCGCCUGAUGGCGUCCGCCGCUUCUCCCUUACUGCCGGGGAUCAUCACCCACAUGUAGCGGGAGAGAUCGUCGACGAGCAGCAGGAAGUAGCAUCGACCUCCUGGUGUGGCUAGCGUCACCGGGCCGCACAGGUCUCCGUGCACGAGCUCCAGCUUCUCCUUGGCCCGAAAACUCGCCUGUUGGGGAAAGGGGAGUCGUCUCUGCUUCGUCAGCACGCAGAUGUCGCAGAACUGCUCCACAUGGUCGAGGCAUGGCAGGCCUCGCACCAUCUCCUUGGCACUUAGACGCUUCAGGGCCUCAAAGUGAAGGUGCCCAAAGCGCUCAUGCCACUGCCACGCCUCGUCGUCCCGUCGGACAGCGAGACAGACCGGUUGUGCCACCUGCACAUCAAGGACGUAGAGUCGAUUUUCACCUCUGGGCACCUUGGCGAGAAGGCGACGCCGGUGAUCCCAGAUGCGUAGGACCCCAUGCUCAAUCAGAACGCGUGAGCCGUUCUCAUCCAGCUGUCCCAAGCUGAUGAUGGAGUUCCUUAGCGCGGGGAUGUAGUAGACACCGGUGAGCAGCCGGUGCUCUCCCGUCUUGGUGGUGAAGAUGACGGAGCCGACGCCCUUUAUCUCCACAGCGGAGGCAUCCCCGAACUUGACGGAGCCUCGCGCAUCGGAGUCGAGCUCGGCGAAGAAUUCCCUUCGACCGGUCAUGUGGUGGGUGGCGCCGGUGUCGAGGCACCACCCCGUAGUCUUGUCCUUCGCGGAGCCAUCGCCGAGAAGAGCGUGUGCUUUUGGCUCAUCGAGGUGGAUGAAAGCCUUUGCAACUGGAGUCGCCGAGGGUAGCUCAAUGCUUUCAUGCGCCAUGAACAGAGCCGUCUCCUCCUCCUUCGCCUGUGCGACGUGAGCCUGGCCUUGUCGUGGUUGCCGACACUCAUUGGACCAAUGGCCAAACCGGCCACAGUUGUGGCAACUGUUGUCUUGUGCCGGCUUGGGCUUGCCAGCGGCGCCGUCCUUGGCGCCUCCGCGGGCGUCACCUUCGGCACGUCCUUGUGCCCUGCCCGUGGGGCCUCUUCGCGCCUUACGCUGCUUGCCACGCUUGCGGCCACCCGUCGAGGAGGAAGGCUCCCCCUUCUUCCUGUCACCAAGGCUGGGAUCCCACUGCUCCCGAGUUAGGAGCAGCUGUCGUGGAUCUAAAUCUGACAGUAGAGUGGGGGGUAGGUAUGGAGAGGCAAGGUCCUAGCUAUGGAGAGGUUGUAAACACAAGAGAUGUACGAGUUCAGGCCCUUCUUGGAGGAAGUAAAAGCCCUACGUCUCGGAGCCCGGAGGCGGUCGAGUGGAUUAUGUGUAUAUGGAUUACAGGGUGCCGAACCCCUCUGCCUGUGGAGGGGGGUGGCUUAUAUAGAGUGCGCCAGGACCCCAGCCAACCCACGUAAUGAAGGGUUUAAGGUACAUUAAGUCCGGGGCGUUACUGGUAACGCCCCACAUAAAGUGUCUUUACUAUCAUAAAGUCUACUUAAUUACAGACCGUUGCAGUGCAGAGUGCCUCUUGACCUUCUGGUGGUCGAAUGAGUCUUCGUGGUCGAGUCCUUCAAGUCAGUCGAGUGAGUCCCUCGUAGGUCGACUGGAAGGUGAUCUCUUCUAAGGGUGUCCUUGGGCAGGGUACUUAGAUCAGGUCUGUGACCCUACCCUAGGUACAUGACUCCAUCAUUAGCCCCCGAAUGGAUUGAGGCUUGAGUGAUGAAGGAGUUGAUGUUGUUUCCGAUUAGCCUUCGCAUACUGGUCGUGCGUUGUUUUGAACUAAAAAAUCUCUUUGUUGAUAGUGAGCAACUUUUCUUCAGUCGACUCGAUCCAUUCUUUUCCUUCGUCGAGUGAUCUUUUGGACUUCGCCGAUUUCCGAGCGACGGAUCGCAGGAAAUCCCGCGUCUGGCAGACCGAUCUGCCGUUCGCGGAUUCCGCGGGAUACGAAAUUUGGGGAAGCGCGCGAAGCGGGGCGGACCGCGGCGCUCAGAUGGGACAGGGCAUAGACGCCUCGAUCCCCGCGCCGUUUUUUUCGCCACGUAUCACGUCCGCGCAACUGUUUCAGGAUAUGAUUAGAUCGACCGGGCCCACCUGUCAUCCACUCGGAAGGGAUCUUAUAAACGCGCCCGGCGAGGGUUUUUUGAGCAGUGCCUCAGCAUUCUCUCUCUGCUCCCUUCGUCUCCGCCCAACGUGCUCGCUCUCGCCUCCGCACAACUUCUCCUCGCGCGUCUCGCCGGCAGCCAUGGUCAAGGAGAAGACGGCGGCGCUGGAACGUGCGAAGAAGGCGUCGGCGACGGAGAAGGCGAAGGGGAGAUCCACCAGUCGCGGCGGGUCUUCGUCUAGAUCUCGCCUGCCGAAAGGCUGGGUCCAGGGAGAUUGGAUCCAAUCGACCAUCACGGAGACGGAUCUCCUCGACAUGGCCAACGAGGGCCUGAUCCCUCAUGGAGCUGCAAGGCUUCCGGGGAAAGAGUGGCAGCCCUAGCCGGAAGAGGGUGAGUGCGUGCUUCUGGCUACCCAUGUCGACCGCGGAUUUUCUUUGCCGCCGAGUGUUUUCUUCCGUGGUUUCUUGAACUUCUUUGGAGCGCAACUCCACCACUUCACCCCGAAUUCUAUCGCCUAUCUUGCCGCGUUUGUGUCCAUGUGUGAGAGUUUUCUGGGUUGUCGACCGCAUUGGGGCUUGUUCAAGCACAUAUUCACGUGUCGCUCUCAGACCGUGAAGAAGGCGAGCCCAGGCGACGAAAAAACCCAAGUUGUCCAAAUGUGUGGGGGUCUGGGGAUCCAGGUGAGGAACAAGAGCACCUUCCCAGCCAUGACAUUUCCCGAGUCAGUCAGAGGCUGGCAGUCGACCUGGUUCUACUGCCAGGAUCAGCCGACGCCGGGGGAGUCGAGUGGACUCCCUCAGUUCACCAUGGGCCAAGUGAACAAGCCCUCCUCUCUGAAGGUGAUUCCGGAGGAGAAAGCUAACGUGAAGAUGCUGAUGGAGCGUGUAGUUCAGUUGGUUCGGGAGGGAGUGACGGGUAUGGAUCUCCUGGAGGUUUUUCUUAGGCGUCGUAUCCAGCCUCUUCAGUUCCGGAGCCAUUGCAUGUGGUUGUACCGCGGGACUGAGGAUGAGACUCGGGUCAAUCCAGAAGCAGUCGACGAUGCCACUCUGGAAAGGUGGAUGGCCGCUGUUACUGGGAACAAGGAUAACCCUCGUGGAGCCAGAAGGAUUCCUCCACUCGACCACCACAGUGAUCCAAACAAGGUAUGUCUGCUCCACCUCCCAUUGUAUUCUUGUCACAUUUAUUUCUGUUUUCUCUGCCGAUCGGUCGACUGAUCUUUGUCUUGAUGUCUAUCAGGUCCUCACUGAACUGUACUCGAUGCCCAAUGGAGCACGGGCUCUAACUGAGGAGGGAGAAGCGAGCGGGGGCGAGAGCCAGGAGGAGGAGUGGGACUUGGACGCCGCUGAGGAUGAUGAUGAUGAUGAUGACGAUGAUGAUGAUGAUGACGAGGACGAAGAAGAGGAGGAGGAGGUCGCACCACCGCGCUCGGAAAGGCGGUCGAAGCUUGUCCAUGACCCUGCGACUGAACGUGGCAAGGGGAUUGCGACUGUUACACAGUCGACCAAGCGCCCUCGGACCACCUCUCCGGCGCCGACUGAAAAGGCGUCGAAGCAGCCCAGGGCGGCCCCGUCAAAGCCGACCAAGCUCCUGCCGAAGAUGAAGGUGUCCAUCCCCACCAUAUCAGGGUAAUCAUGCUGCUUAAGUCUUCUUGUUUUGUGCGAACUUUAUCUCUGGUUGGCGCUGGAGUUAGUCGACUGAUUCUUUGGAGUUGUAGUGCUGCUACUGCUGAGACCUCAGCCCGGGCUGACGACCAUGAGAUGGAGGACGCAGCAACCUCAAAACCUGGUACUAUACUCUUAACACCGUUUCUAGUCGACUGACUCAUGAUCUCUAAUUCUGAUUCUUUUCUGUAGCUCCAUCCAAUGUUGUUAUCACUCUCCCUGAUGAUGAUGAAGAUGAGGAACCGCUGAAGCACAGAAGGAGUAGGAAAGCGUCUGCCGGCAGGGUGCCCCAGGAUGUGACGAUGCCUGAGACUCUGGUCGCGGAGGAGGAGAACACCACUCGACACACUGUGUCCUUCGCAGAUCCACUGACGAGUGCUCUGUAGCCCUCCCUCUUCACGACGCACCACGUCCCAGAGGACCAAGCUGGCACCGCGAAGGAGGCGAUACGCCAGGCAGGGAUCAUGAUGGAGCAGUUGAAGACCAUCCGGGAUGCGAGCCAGGCAGCUUACGACGCCAGUUCCGCCCUUCAAAGCAAUGUACAGGUCAGUCGACCACCGCUUGUUCUGUUAGGAUAUGCUAUCAAAAACUUUUCUUUCCAGAAUUUAUAGUAAUCACCCAGUGGGUGUGUCGAUUUAAACUCCGUGUUAGCGGGGGCACGCUGAGUGCACCCGCUGGGUGUAGUCCCCAAGGCUAAGGUCGACUGCUGGCAGUCGGCCUUAGGCUUUAUAAGUUCAGUCUUUCCGUCAUUCGACUAUGGCGAAUGGAUUUCGCAAACCGGUGGGGGCACGCUGAGUGCACCCACUGGGUGUAGUCCCCAAGGCUAAGGUCGACUGCUGGCAGUCGGCCUUAGGCUUUAUAAGUUCAGUCUUUCCGUCAUUCGACUAUGGCGACUGGAUUUCGCAAACCGGUGGGGGCACGCUGAGUGCACCCACUGGGUGUAGUCCCCGAGACUGUGGUCGACUGCUUGCAGUCGAUUACAGUCUUAAAGAAUACAUCUUGUUUUUUUUUUGAGGUCGACUGGUCGACUCUGUCUUCAAUAGGAUUAGUGGGGGCACGCUGAGUGCACCCACUGGGUGUAGUCCCCGAGACUACGGUCGAAUGCUUGUAUUCGGCUGUAGUCUUAGAAACGCAUGAUUUUUCCUUUUCCACUCGGAAGUGAAUUAUCUUUGACAUUUAGUCGAUUGAUUCUUCGCAGAGAUCCUGUGACCUUGCGGCUCGCUACACUGAGCUGGAAAACAAGCACAUUCAGCUCGAGCUGGAUUUGAAGCUGGUUCAGGAGAAUCUGACGAAGGCAAAGGAGGAGACCAAAGGUAUGUUUGGUGAGACCUCGACGACUGCUUUUUCCCUUUAUUUGUUUCAAAAUCUGAUCUUGCUGUAACUUGCAGGUAAGGUGAAGGAGGCCCAACAGAAAAAAGACCUUGAACUAGCUGAGAAGAUCAAGCUUGCUGACGAGAAGUUAGCUUCAGUCACCAAGCUUGAACAAGAAAAUACCAAUCUGAAAGCUGCUCUUGAGAAGAAAAAUGAUCUGGAGGCCUUCCUGAGUGGUCUUGCCAAGAAGAUGUUCCUUAUGCUUGAAGGUAAACCUUUACGCUCAACAAUCAUUUUCAACUUGAUUUUUCCAUUCGACCAUUGCCUUGACUCGGUGAUCGCCCUUGCAGAAUUUUGUCAAGACUUUGAAGAAGAGACUAGCCGGCUGGAACCAAACCUUGACCCCGUUAAUUCUCCGGUGAACGACGAAGUUGCCAUGAAUGUUUUCCGACUGGAGUCCCGUGUUGCAGCUGUCGUGGACUAUCUUGCAAGGCUGAAGGUCGCCACAUCUCGCAUCGACUCAACGCUCUGGCCCAGGGAGACACUCCAGAAUGACCUCGAGUCGCUGAUGGCUCGCUUGAACACGGUCCCUGGUCGAGUGUAGGAGUGGAAAAAGUCCUCGGCUCGGUGCGGUGCAGAUGUUGCUCUGUGUCUGGCCCGAGUCCACUGCAAAGAUGCGCGAGAAGACAAGCUGGCGGCCCUCCGGGUGGCCAACACCAAGAAACACGACUUCAGGUCCUUUAUGGAAACUUUCAUUGCUGCUGCCACUCGGAUCGCAGAUGGAAUUGAUCUUGAUGAGUUUGUUGCACCUUCCAGCCCUCCACAGGAGGGGUAAAAAACUUCUUUUAAACCCGACGCUUUAAAUUUGCCUCGGUAUGCCGAGUGGAGUUGUAACCAAUAAACCUUAACAGGCUUAGCGCCUGAGCACUUUCGGUUCCUUUAGGUAUCGUUCCGAACUUGAAUUUGAUGUUUGAAUAUGAUUGCUUUUGGGUUGAAAUGUCUUUUGCAGGUUCAAAGCAAGACGCUCACUGCAGUCGACUUAUUCCUUAAUCCACUUAGGUGAGCGCUGGGCUGCAGCUAAGCCCCCGAGUGAGAGGUUUGCUCUUCACUCGGUAGGAUUUUUAUAUCUUAGGCGAGCACUGAGCUGCAGCUAAGCCCCCGAGUGAGAGGUUUGCUCUUCACUCGGUAGGAUUUUUAUAUCUUAGGCGAGCACUGGGCUGCACUAAGCCCCCGAGUGAGAGGUUUGCUCUUCACUCGGUAGGAUUUUUAUAUCUUAGGCGAGCACUGGGCUGCAGCUAAGCCCCCGAGUGAGAGGUUUGCUCUUCACUCGGUAGGAUUUUUAUAUCUUAGGCGAGCACUGAGCUGCAGCUAAGCCCCCGAGUGAGAGGUUUGCUCUUCACUCGGUAGGAUUUUUAUAUCUUAGGCGAGCACUGGGCUGCAGCUAAGCCCCCGAGUGGGAGGUUUGCUCUUCACUCGGUAGGAUUUUUAUAUCUUAGGCGAGCACUGGGCUGCAGCUAAGCCUCCGAGUGGCAGCACUGAGAAACCUUCUAAAAAUGAUCANNNNNNNNNNNNNNNNNNNNNNNNNNNNNNNNNNNNNNNNNNNNNNNNNNNNNNNNNNNNNNNNNNNNNNNNNNNNNNNNNNNNNNNNNNNNNNNNNNNNNNNNNNNNNNNNNNNNNNNNNNNNNNNNNNNNNNNNNNNNNNNNNNNNNNNNNNNNNNNNNNNNNNNNNNNNNNNNNNNNNNNNNNNNNNNNNNNNNNNNNNNNNNNNNNNNNNNNNNNNNNNNNNNNNNNNNNNNNNNNNNNNNNNNNNNNNNNNNNNNNNNNNNNNNNNNNNNNNNNNNNNNNNNNNNNNNNNNNNNNNNNNNNNNNNNNNNNNNNNNNNNNNNNNNNNNNNNNNNNNNNNNNNNNNNNNNNNNNNNNNNNNNNNNNNNNNNNNNNNNNNNNNNNNNNNNNNNNNNNNNNNNNNNNNNNNNNNNNNNNNNNNNNNNNNNNNNNNNNNNNNNNNNNNNNNNNNNNNNNNNNNNNNNNNNNNNNNNNNNNNNNNNNNNNNNNNNNNNNNNNNNNNNNNNNNNNNNNNNNNNNNNNNNNNNNNNNNNNNNNNNNNNNNNUAGGCGAGCACUGGGCUGCAGCUAAGCCCCCGAGUGAGAGGUUUGCUCUUCACUCGGUAGGAUUUUUAUAUCUUAGGCGAGCACUGAGCUGCAGCUAAGCCCCCGAGUGAGAGGUUUGAUCUUCACUCGGUAGGAUUUUAUUUAAUCUUAGGCGAAACGGAUUCGCAGCUAAGCCUCCUAGUGGAAGUCUGGCUUACCAGUCGGUAGGAUUUUUAUAACUUAGGCGAGUACUUGGACUGCAGCUAAGCCCCCGAGUGGAAGUCUGGCUUACCACUCGGUAGGAUUUUAUUUAAUCUUAGGCGAAACGGAUUCGCAGCUAAGCCUCCGAGUGGGAGUCUGGCUCACCACUCGGUAAGGAUUUUUACAAACUUAGGCGAAACGGAUUCGCGGCUAAGUCACCCACUUAGGGGAAAAUUUUAUUGGACAAAAUAAAAAGUGACAAAAAUUAUGGAGGAACUAUGACACUAUUAUUUUGAAAUCCAUGAACUAUAGGAGUACUUUAUUGAAACUCAUCCGAGUGAUAAACUUAAGUGUAAAAUGGGCGGAGUAGUUCCGCAUUCCAAGCUCGGGGCUCGUCGAUAUUAUGUUCGACGUUGUAAAGACGGUACGCCCCGUUGUGGAGAACUUUGGUGACGAUGAAGGGUCCUUCCCAAGAAGGAGCAAGCUUGUGAUGUUUCUUCUGAUCCACUCGGAGAACUAAAUCUCCUUCCUGGAAGGCUCGACCCCUCACAUUUCUGGCGUGGAAACGACGCAAAUCUUGUUGGUAGAUGGUCGAUCGGACCAGAGCCAUCUCCCUUUCUUCCUCUAAAAGGUCGACUGCGUCCUGCCGCGCUUGUUCAACUUCUGCUUCGUUGUAGAUCUCAACUCGAGGAGCAUUGUGGAGAAGAUCACUCGGCAAGACUGCUUCAGCUCCGUAGACCAAGAAGAAUGGAGUUCUUCCGGUCGAUCGAUUAGGUGUGGUCCGCAGUCCCCAAAGCACCGAUGGAAGUUCGUCGACCCACGCUCCAGCUGCAUGCUUGAGAUCACGCAUUAGUCGGGGUUUCAAUCCCUUGAGAAUCAGGCCAUUGGCUCGCUCUGCUUGUCCAUUCGUCUGCGGAUGGGCGACUGAAGCGUAGUCGACUCGUGUGCCUUGAGAGUUGCAGAAAUCCUUGAAUUCCUCCGAGUCAAAGUUUGACCCAUUAUCCGUAAUGAUGCUGUGCGGGACUCCAUAUCUGAAUAUCAGUUCCUUGAUGAAGCUAACAACAGUACCGGCGUCAAGGUUCUUGAUUGGUUUAGCCUCAAUCCACUUGGUGAACUUGUCGACUGCCAUGAGUACAUGCGUGAAGCCACUUCGACCUGUUCUCAAAGGACCGACCAUGUCCAACCCCCAUACUGCGAAAGGCCAGACGAGUGGAAUGGUCUUCAGAGCUGAUGCAGGCUUGUGCGACAUAUUUGAGUAGAACUGACAUCCCUCGCACUUAUCCACUAUUUCCUUUGCCAUCUCAUUCGCCUUUGGCCAGUAAAAUCCGGCUCGGUAUGCUUUGGCCACGAUGGUCCGAGAGGACGCAUGAUGACCACAGGUCCCCGAGUGGAUAUCAUUAAGGAUGAUUCGACCUUCUUCUAGUGUUAUGCACUUCUGACCAACUCCAGUCGCGCUUUCUCUAUAUAACUGUCCUUUGAUUACGGUAAAGGCUUUAGAUCGACGGACGAUCUGUCGAGCCUCUUCCUCAUCCUCCGGAAGCUCUUUUCUCGGGAUAUACGCGAUAUACGGAACUGUCCAGUCGGGAAUGACCACCACGACCUCCAUGACCAAGUCGACCACUGCUGGGACUUCAACCUCAGUCGGAUCUGUGGCACUCUUGGGCUGUGGAGCUUCUUCGGUGAAAGGAUCUUCUUUGACUGACGGAGUGUGUAUAUGCUCCAGGAACACACCACUCGGAAUGGCUCCUCUCUUGGAACCUAUCUUUGCUAGAUCAUCAACUGCUUGAUUUUUCAGUCGGGGUAUAUGAUGGAGCUCCAACCCCUCGAACUUCUUUUCCAGCUUCCUCACUGCACUGCAAUAUCCAGUCAUGGCUGGGCUUCUCACGUCCCACUCCUUCAUCACUUGGUUGACCACUAAAUCUGAAUCGCCAUAGACCAUCAGGCGACGGACGCCGAGUGAAAUGGCCAUGCGCAAUCCGUAUAAGAGGGCCUCAUACUCUGCCUCAUUGUUGGAGGAAUCAAAGUGAAUCUGGAGCACAUAUCUGAGCUUAUCUCCUCUGGGGGAAACCAGGACAACCCCAGCACCGGAACCAUUCAACAUCUUAGAGCCAUCAAAAAACUUGGUCCAAUGCUCCGAGUGAACUUCAGUCGGCUGCUGCUGUUCAAUCCACUCGGCGAGGAAAUCUGCUAUUGCCUGGGACUUAAUGGCUUUCUUUGCCUCAAACUUGACAUCAAGGGGAAGAAGUUCAAUCGCCCAUUUCGCCACUCGACCAGUUGCAUCUCUGUUGUGCAAAAUCUCUGAUAGUGGAGCGUCGCUGACGACUGUGAUGGAAUGAUCAGAGAAAUAAUGAGCAACCUUCUUUGUGGUCAUGUAUAUUCCAUACACAAGCUUCUGAUAAUGAGGAUAUCUCUGCUUGGAUGGAGUCAAGACUUCAGACAAAUAAUACACUGGGCGCUGAACUUUGAAAGCUUUUCCUUCUUCUCCCCGCUCGACCGUAAGCACUGUACUGACGACUUGUCCUGUGGCUGCGAUAUAAAGCAACAGAGGCUCUUUGCUGAUUGGAGCAGCAAGCACCAGCUGGGUGGAGAGCAGAGCUUUUAGCUCGGCAAACGCUGCAUCAGCUUCUGGAGUCCACUCGAACUUGUCUGCCUUCUUCAUUAGUCGGUAAAGAGGCAAUGCCUUUUCACCGAGUCGUGAGAUGAAUCGACUUAAUGCGGCCAAGCAUCCAGUAAGCUUCUGGACAUCGUGCACUCGCACAGGGCAUUUCAUUCGGAGAAUAGUGCCGAUCUUUUCUGGAUUAGCGUCGAUCCCUCGCUCGGAAACGAGAAAACCGAGUAACUUGCCACCAGGAACUCCAAAUAUGCACUUUGAUGGAUUGAGCUUGAUAUCAUACCUUCUGAGGUUGGCAAAUGUUUCGGCGAGGUCAGCGAGCAGGUCGGAACCUUUUCAUGACUUGACGACGAUAUCAUCCAUAUACGCUUCCACAUUCCGACUGAUUUGAGUGAGUAGACACUUCUGAAUCAUUCGCAUAAAUGUGGCUCCGGCAUUCUUGAGGCCGAAUGGCAUGGUGAUAUAGCAGAAGCACCCGAAUGGAGUGAUGAAAGCUGUUUUUACCUCGUCGGGUCCGUACAGACGGAUCUGGUGGUACCCGGAGUAGGCGUCUAGAAAAGACAAUCUCUCGCAUCCCGCGGUCGAGUCAACAAUUUGAUCUAUGCGAGGGAGAGGAAAAUGAUCUUUCGGGCAGGCCCGGUUGAUGUGCUUGAAAUCAAUGCACAUUCGAAGCGAUUUGUCCUUCUUAGGAACCAUGACGACAUUAGCGAGCCAUUCGGAGUGGUAUAUCUCUCGGAUAAAUCCUGCCGCCAACAGUCGAGCCACUUCCUCACCAAUGGCUUUUCUCUUCUGGACGGCGGACCGCCGAAGAUGCUCUUUGACUGGUUUUGCUGAUGAGUCGACUCUUAGGCGAUGCUUAGCCAGUCCCCUGGGAACACCUGGCAUGUCAGCGGGCUUCCAUGCAAAAAUGUCCCAGUUCUCACGGAGGAACUGGAUGAGCGCUUCUUCCUAUUUCGGGUGGAGUGUUGUGGAGAUGUGGGUCGGGGCUGCAUCGGGGUCGGUCGGGUGAAUGUGAACAGGCUUCGUCUCACCGGACGACUGAAAUGCAGAUUCUGUGGCGGGUUUCUUGGAUCGCAGCAAAUCACUCGGAUCUAUGUUUUGCUUGUAUUCUUCAAACUCGACCGCUGUCACCUGGGAAUCAGCAAUCUUUGAGCCCUUCUGAAAGCACUCUUCUGCCUUUUUCCGAUCACCGGUGAUAGUGAUCACUCCUUUGGGGCCGGGCAUCUUCAAUUUGAGGUACACGUAACAUGGUCGAGCCAUGAACCGUGCAUAAGCUGGUCUCCCCAAAAUGGCAUGAUAUGCACUCUGAAAAUCCACGACCUCAAACGUCAACUUCUCUUUGCGAAAAUGUUUCGAAUCACCAAACACCACGUCCAGAGCUAUUUGGCCGAGUGACUCGGCUUUCUUCCCUGGUAUAACUCCAUGAAAGCUCAUGUUACUGGUGCUCAGUCGGGACAUCGGAAUGCCCAUUCCUUUCAGUGUGUCUGCAUACAACAAAUUCAGCCCGCUACCACCGUCCAUCAGCACUUUUGUCAGUCGAGUGCCUUCGACAACUGGAUCGACCACCAAAGCUUGCCUCCCAGGGGUGGCAAUAUGAGUCGGGUGAUCAAAUUGGUCGAAUGUGAUGGGUGUUUGGGACCAUCUUAGGUAAUUUGCUUUUGCUGGGGUAACCAUGUUCACCUCGCGGUUAAUGACUUUCAAUCGACUCUUGCUUUCCACAUCUGCAAAGAUCAUCAAAGUGGAGUUGACAUGCGGAUAUCCUUCCUCACUGUCCUCCUUGUCUUCGGCCUUGUCCGACUCCUUUUCCCUGUCUUUAGACUGUUUUCCUUGAAACUGCUGGAUCAGGAGUCGACAUUGGCGAGUGGUAUGCUUUGGGUAAAUGAUAUUCCCCUCUUCGUCUUUCUUCGUGUGGAUGUGACACGGCAUAUCCAUCACGUCGUUCCCUUCUUAGGGUUCCAGGAUUCUUUUGGUUUCCCUUUAAACUUUCCAUGAGUCACGGCCAGAGCCUCUCCAGGAGCUGCCGGUUCAGCCUUCCGCUUCUGUUUCCGACUGGUGUUUCCCUUCUCCGACUGGCUCGGCUUGUGCUUGCCGCUUCGGAGUCGGUCUUCUUCUUCGCCGUUGGCGUACUUGGUAGCAAUUUCCAUCAUCCGACUCAAGGUCAUGUCUCCGGUUCGACCAAAUUUCAAACUCAAUUCUCUGUUCUUGACACCAUCCUUGAAGGCGCAGACUGCCUGAUGAUCAGACACAUUCUCCAUAGUAUGGUGCAAAGUGAUCCAUCUCUGAAUAUACUCCCUGAGAGUCUCAUUGGUCUUCUGUACGCAGACUUGCAGCUCCGUCAAUCCAGCCGGUCGCUUGUAAGUUCCUUCAAACGUUCUGACGAACACUCGGGACAGAUCUUCCCAAGUGUAAAUGUUGCUAGGAGGUAACUGAUUCAACCACGCUCUGGCAGAACCUUCCAACAUGAGGGGCAAAUGCUUCAUGGCCACCUCGUCAUUCCCACCACCAAUCUGAACCGCCACUCGGUAGUCCUCAAGCCAAGUUUCAGGCUUAGACUCACCGGUGAACUUGUUGACUCCUGUUGCCAACCUGAAAUUGGGAGGAAUCACUGCGGCUCUGAUAGCUCUGCUGAAACAUUCCGGACCAGAAACGUGCACUCGACUGCUCGUGGGCGCAUCUCUGUCGAGUCCACCUCGAUGAGCUCUGUUCCGGUCGACCAAGCCUUGCACGAUAAUGGAUCGCGCGUCGAAGCCUGGUUCUCUGGGGUCGACUGGAACUCUUCGCCCCGCACUGAGCUGACGUCUGUCAUCUUGCUGCCGAGAAGCGUAAGACCCACCCCUCGGAGGGGAAGUGGGCACUCGACGCCUAUCAUCUCGGUCGUGUCGGUCUCCAUAUUGGUCUCGCCGAUUCUCGCGCCCUUCACGCCGUGGAGGCGAUCUGGGACUGUGAGCCGACUGAACCGUAUUCGCAGCGACGGAUCGACUGUGAAUUCUGUUGCGCGACUGCGACACGGCUGAAUUCUGAUCUCCUGCUGCCCGGAGCAGAUCCCUGAUCUGCAUCAAGCCUCUGCCAGCUUCCGACUGAGAGGGCUGGAUGGACUCUGCUAUACGGGUCACAGCUGCUAAAUUCUGGAUUGGGGUUCGAUAUACCUGAGUCGGCGGGAAGAGUUGACGUCGAUUGGCGUCGGGAACUCGUUGCCGCGCGCGCUCGUCGAGUGCUCGCUGAAGAUUCUCUAGGCGAGCGCGUUCGGCCAAAUUCGCCAAACGUGCCUCCUCCAAGGCGCGAGCCUCGGGGGUUUCUCCUGCGAUGGGAGUAUGCAGGGCAUCCAUGUUCCUGCGGCGGAGUUCCUCUCUUUGUAGAGAGUCGAGUGGCUCGGGUUGGUACUCUUCGUGAUCUCGUGCGGGGUCGCCUCCGUCGCCUGCCCCACCAUCAGGAUUUCCGCCACUGGAUCACUGCUAUCGCAUUCGGAUGCAGUCUCUACGGAGCCAGUCGACAAAUCGAACAGGCCGUAGAGAGAUUCGUCGGGCUCGAUUGCCGCAACUUGGGUGGUGGUCGUCUGGCGAGCCACCGCGUGUCUCACCCACCGCUGAAGCCUCGACCGACCCGAGCGCUUGCGCUGGCGGGAGACUGGGAGGGUGGUCGAUAGGGGAGUCGACCGAUAUGGGGUCGACGGUUGCCGCAGCAGAACGCCGCGGACACAUGCGCGAAAAUGCGUCGCACCGCGGACGGGGAGCGCAUCGACGUCGAGUGGAGCCUCCUGAAGCCAGGCGGAGUCGUCGGCGACGAAGGUGAGAGCACCGAGACGAAUCUCUCGACCCUCGACCAAAACUCCAGCAGCUACCAUGAUGAAAGUACUCGGAAGAAUCGCAACUUCUCCACAAAAUCGCUAAAACACCGGCCCCACGGUGGGCGCCAACUGUCGUGGAUCUAAAUCUGACAGUAGAGUGGGGGGUAGGUAUGGAGAGGCAAGGUCCUAGCUAUGGGGAGGUUGUAAACAAAAGAGAUGUACAAGUUCAGGCCCUUCUCGGAGGAAGUAAAAGCCCUACGUCUCGGAGUCCGGAGGCGGUCGAGUGGAUUAUGUGUAUAUGGAUUACAGGGUGCCGAACCCCUCUGCCUGUGGAGGGGGUGGCUUAUAUAGAGUGCGCCAGGACCCCAGCCAACCCACGUAAUGAAGGGUUUAAGGUACAUUAAGUCCGGGGCGUUACUGGUAACGCCCCACAUAAAGUGUCUUUACUAUCAUAAAGUCUACUUAAUUACAGACCGUUGCAGUGCAGAGUGCCUCUUGACCUUCUGGUGGCCGAAUGAGUCUUCGUGGUCGAGUCCUUCAAGUCAGUCGAGUGAGUCCCUCGUAGGUCGACUGGAAGGUGAUCUCUUCUAAGGGUGUCCUUGGGCAGGGUACUUAGAUCAGGUCUGUGACCCUACCCUAGGUACAUGACUCCAUCAGCAGCUUCCCGCCGGUGGUGAUGGGCCCCGAGGGGGGCUGUGGCUCGUCGGUGUCGACGACCUUGAGACGGCCUAUCGCCUCCUCGAUCGUCAUCGUGGAGAGGUCCAGCAACGACUCGAUCGAGCGAGCCAUCUGCUUGUACUUCUCGAGAAUGCACCGAAAAAGCUUCUCAACAGCUCUCUCCUCGGUGUAGGUGGCAUCGCCAAACUUCACCAUCUUCUGCAGCAGAGUGUUGAGACGGAGAGCAAAGUCAUCAACGUCCUCACCUGGCUUGAAGCCCAGGUUCUCCCACUCCUUACGAAGUGCCUGCAGGGUGGACUUGCGAGCAUGGUCGCUGCUGAUGCGUGCUACGGCGAUGGCGUCCCAAGCCUCCUUGGCAGUCCGCUUGUUGGAAAGCGAGAACUGCAUCUCGGGCGGGACUGCGGCGAUGAGGGCGUCUAGCGCCCGUCGAUCCUCUAGGUGGUCGAUGUUGCUGUCCUGGACUGCCUCCCACAUGCGCCGCACCUGGAGCCUGACCUUCAUGAUCCUGGCCCACUCGACGUAGUUGGUUUUAGUGAGGAUAGGCCACCCAACACUGGAACCAACAUCCCUGACCAUAGUCCGGACCUCGUAGAGGCCGCGGUCCUGGUCGUUGCAGCCGCCGUCGCGGUGCGCGCCUCCACCUGGAGCGCAGGCGUGCUCGGCUGCCCACUGCGCCGUCCGCUCCUGCGCCACUUUGGCGCGAUCUGCGUCGACGCCGUCGUCCGCAGGCGCGGAGCUGCUGGAGCUGCCGGGGCUGCCGCGGAGUGCCUUGGCAUCCGCCGUAGCCUCACGGGCUGCUUUUGCUGCUGCUACUGCUUCUACCUCCGCCCUGGCUGCUUCUACCUCCGCUCUGGCUGCUGCCAGCUCCGCUGCAGCCAGCCUCGACACCCUUGCCGCUGCAGCAGCUGCUGCUACAGCCGCUCGCUCACGCUCCUCUGCCACGGCGCACUCGGCCUCCUGCCGGCGCCGCAUGCUCGAGGUAGCCGUGUGCUGAGAGCGACCUGCAGACAUGGCUCGCUGCAGGGGGGCUGUUGCGUGAAGAGGAGGCUGAUGAAGACGAGCUGCUGCUCGACAGUCCGGGGGGAGGAAGGUAACCAGAGGCAGACGAAGCAGCUGCUGCUACCGACUUGGGCUGCUCACAGGAAAUGCUCAGGGUACAGGUUAGCGAGGCUCUGAUACCACUUGUUAGACCUUUCAACCUGAGCAUUGAUAGUUGUGGAUGACACUAGGAGAGUUGGGACAAUUUUCGUUGGUUUAUUUCUCACACAAUGCCAUGCCAACCUGAGGGGUUGGGGAUACAUAUUUAUAGGUUGCUAGCCAACCAAGCAUAUGCUAAGAUGCUGCUAAGAUGCCAGUCUAAGAUGCUAGUCUAAGAUGCUAGUCUAAGAUGCUAACUGACAGUCCUUGAUAGUCAAGAACAAAACUCUAUCCUAACAGCCAGUCCUUGAUGGUCAGAAACUCUAUCCUAACUGCCACAAGGACCAUGUGCUGCAGCCCCACAAAGACCCUAGUACACAGACUUAUCCAUCACUUUGGGCAGUGCACCAAUAAGGAGUAGCCCCUCCAAUGAUGUUCUUUCUUGCGAUAUGUUGCUUAGCCGACUCCUUUGGAAUGGAACGGGUCCAACCCAUCCUCGCCCUCAUUCUCGCGUUUGGUUGGGAGAACUGGAAUGCCUUGAUUCUUGGGAAGGGAAUAUUCUCCUGAUAUGCCGAACCAACAUGUUCCUCCAAAUCGGAGGAACCACGUGGAACCGCUCACAUCUCUCAUCUCCCUCACAGCUGCCAGUGCCCCCUCUCUUCCUAACGUCUCUCUUUCCCUAUCCUCGGCGUUUCUCUCCCUCUUCCUCUCCAUUAGCUCGUCUCUCUCUCCAAGGCGACUGGUUUAGCUACCAUCGACGGGGGCGUUGGGCUAGCUACCGGCAGCGAACUAGCUACGGAGAGGAUGUGCAGCACUAGGCUAGACGCGCUAGGGCCGGAGAACUCUUCGAUGGCGGAUGGGAUCAAUCCUAGGGGUUGUGGCGGCAUCAGAUCCAUCAUCAUGCCUAUAUAUAUGCUAGAGGGAACAUCAUCAUGUCUAUAUAGCAUCAGAUCCAUCCCAUUCUAUCUCCUCAACCAAACACCAAUAUGAAACCAUUCCAUUCAAUCCCAUGCCUCUACCAAACAUGGGAACGGAAUCGUUGGAACCAUGACAUUCCAUUCCACCUGGUUCGUCAACCAAACACACCCUUGGUGUCUGCAGCCGCCGUGAAUGAGAUCGCUCGCCUUCGGAAGUAGCUCACCGGCUCCAUCACCAUGGAGGUAGCGAAAGAGAGGAUGUAGGCAGAGCAGAAGGAGUUUGAGGACCAAUUCGACUCGCCAGCGAAGCCACUCAGGAAGCGGAGGCGCUCAAGAAGGUUGUUGAGACGCUGACAAAGAGCACUGAAUCCCAAAAGCCAACCAUCCAGGAGCUCCGGGGAACACCCGACUCCAUAAAGGUCUCCAUGACGACAUGAAGGUCAAGUUGGAUGGCCUCCACAACCAUUGCAUGACCUAAAGGAGCAGAAGUCAUACAAGGGAAUGGCUAAGAGAUUGCGGCAGGCCGUCCAGAGGACCCAGGAGAGAAAGCCCACGCUACAGGCCAAGAUCUAGGUGACCCAGCAGGCGAUGGAGGGUAUGUGUGCGACUCUUGUCGAAUCCUUCUAGUCUUUUCGCUUUGUCUGAUUUCUUUACAUAUACUCCCUCCGUUCCUAAAUAUUUGUCUUUCUAGAGAUUUCAACAAGUGACUACAUACGAAGCAAAGUGAGUGAAUCUACACUCUAAAAUAUGUCUACAUACAUCCAUAUGUUGUAACCAUUUCAAAUGUCUAGAAAGACAAAUAUUUGGGAACAGAGGGAGUAGAUUGACUGUAGAUGCAUUCCUAGGCCUGGCGAACAGGGUAAGGCAAGCCGUGCUCCACUUUCAGAAGUUCAACAACCCGAUGCUUGAAGCACCCAAUGCCUUCUUGUCGAUGUCGUCAAACAAGGGUGAGAUUGUGGCCCUUCCAGGUCACAUGCGCCAAGGUGUCGAGUUGCUGAAGAUGGCGAAGGGGUCGAUGCAGGAGGUGUGCGCCACCUCCGGCCGAACGAGCAACCAACCACCAGCAUCUUUGCCCUCUCAAACAAGCUGAAGCAGGCACCUUUCGAGUUCCCCGAUGGCAACAAUCUGUUGCCUACAAGGGGCCUUGGAUGGUUCUAGCAUUACUGGUGUUGCACCAUCCGGACGCCAACGUGCAGGUUGUCGUCUAGUCGACGCUGGCCGAUGAUGAGGGUGUGGUUGUGAAGGUACAAACGCUUUUUCCCAUCAUCCAGGCAUAUGCCUUCCAUGUUGUCAAGUACUGCCCUUGGGAGCACAUGUAGAGUAGAUUAAAGUGUAGCACGGAAGGCCAAAAUGCCGAGUAGAAAUUGUAAAAACUAUUGUUAAGUUAACACUUGAGUUUGCUAUCUUCUCCAUUUUGUUUUUGUGCUGAAAUCCUUUGAUGUGCAAGCUAUCAUUCAACUUUUGCUCUUGCCAAUCAGACAACCGAGUUGCGAUUGUAGUUGGAGACUUGGAUAACGUUCUAUUCAACAAGAAGUAAAAAAGGAUGGUGCCUCCACCUCCCUAACACCCCACCCCUAGCCUCUCCGGUGAUCUCCACCCCUAGCCACUACUUUCCAUACCCUCUCCGGUCAUCUUCUUCGGUGUUCUCUAGGCUUCUUGUGGACUACCAUCUUGGAUUGCUUCUCAUAUGGUAUAUACCUUGGAUCUGGAUUGUUAUCCUGGUGCGGCCUUUGCAGAAAAGGUGUACGACUGCUAUGGAUCUAUGAUCCAACCCUCAGAUGAGUCUGGGCAUUUAACCAUGGUGGUUUCAUUCAGCCGACACUCUUUUCGUCUUAAUGAAGGUGGCGGCUACUUGGAAGCAGCUAUUGGUGGUUAUGUGAUUGAUCUACUGGUCUCAUGCAUUAAGGAAAGGGUCUUCUCAUUCAAUGUUUCGUGCAAGUGGGUUGGUUUUAUCAUUCUUGAUCUUCGGUCUUACUCUUACCCGUAAUUCAUAUGUUUUUUUCCAUCUUUGGGGUCAGGGAGGACCCAAUUGGGUAUGUGAGUUUGCCAUUUGGAAGAAAGAGUGUGAUGUUGAAUGGACCAUUAUUAGUCCUUCUAAGCUUUCAUUUGCACAAUUUGAAGGGUAUACUGCUUGCAAAGGUUAUCGCUUUACGGCUACAACAACAAACAACAACAACAAAGCCUUUAGUCCCAAACAAGUUGGGGUAGGCUAGAGGUGAAACCCAUAAUCAUAUCCAACUGAGCAUGGCAUAAUGACGAGCAUGAAUAUCACAAGUUUAACACUACUCAUAGUAUACUUUGACCACUAGCAUCAACGAUAAAUUCCAUGCAAGAACACAUCAAUAACAUUACCGGGUAAAUACUUAACCAACUAACAGCAAUGAAACAUGCAAUCCAAUGGUAUUCGGUAACCGACGAUAGUAAUGCACCGAAGAGCAUGACCAACCCAACAUGUGGUCAAGAACAUAACGGGCUCGACGAGACGACGAUGUAGGAGUUGGAAUCACCUCGAUCGGAGUUACGAACAAAAAGUUAUAGCCAGAUGAAACUCAGGGACCAAUCUGUAAAUGAAACUCUACAAACAGGUCCCUAGCUGGUUUAAACAGAAAGCACCUUUCUCCCGAAUACGCCUUCCGCACGAGGAAAUGCACUUUCAGCAGCACUAAGAGGAAAGUACGCUUUCAUGUGGUGAAAAUGUAUUUUCGAAAACGCGCUUUCACUUAUCCAGCUAAACAGGGGGCUGGGCCGGCCUCUGGGUCGCUGACGGGUGGGGGCCUCUGGGCCCACCGGCCAGCUGGCAGGGCGACACCGUCGUCUUUGUCUUCUCCUUGCGUUCGCCCGCGGUGCAGAGGGAGUCCACCGGUGCCGCUGCUCGUCCGGGCGGCUCCGGCCACCGUUUGCCGCGCUCCGACCACUGGUGAGCUCGGGGCGACAGCCCGCAACCGAAGGCGACGAGGGGAGCACCCGAGGAGCACUGGGGCCAGCGGCGUCUUCGGGCGGCGAUGGAGCUUGCGGCCAGAGGCCAUUGGAGGGGGACGGCGAGCGCUGGGGUGGCUCUAGGGGAAGGUGGAGGUCUAUUGGAAGUGGUGGAGAGGAGGGAGGGGCUCGGCUUCGACCGAAUUUAGCCGGAGCACCGCGGCGGCCAUGGCGGCAUGGAGGGCAAUGGGAGCUCCUCAAGCUCAGGGAAGUGGCUAGGCGAGGCUCUAGGAGUCAGGCGAGGCUGCUGGUGAGGUCGAGCGGCCUUGGGGUGGCCUUAAAUAGGCGAGGCGACGAGGGAGGUCGAGCUCGGCCGCGUGACACGUCGCUGGAGCCGCGGACGCGUGGCCGGACGAGCUCGGUCGACGGAAGGCGACAGGAAGCAACAGGGGGCAGGCUCACGGGGCGGAAGAGAUCGAAGAGCACAGGAGGAAGCGGCCGAGGCGCGAACAAAGACGGUCGGCUACAGCGCUCCCAUGGGUGGUCACUGUUCGGCGACAUGGACGGGUCACCGGAGAGCAAACGAAGGGGGAGAUGGCUCCAAGGGAACGGCGACAACGCGAGGAACAUAGACAUGUCUGUGCUCACUGGAACAAAGAGCGGAGAGAGGGAGAAGAAGACAGGCGCCAAAGCGCGAGAAACGCGUGCCAAAACGGUGGUCACCGUGCAGACUGGCAUGAAGAGGACAAGAAGGGCUACCGUCAUAUGUCUGGUGAUGAGUCCAUGCAUCACUGAGGCUGUGGGAGGUGAUAGAUCAAGCAAAGCUGCUCUGGAGUGAAGUGUGGCAGCUGAGAAGAGCUUGUCCACAUUUCUGUGAUCAGCUGAGAAGAGCUAGGGGCCAAAUGAUAUGUCUGGGGUGAUAAGAUAAGGACGGACUAUAAUCCUGGGGGUUUUGAGGAUAAAUGGACCACAAAACAACAGGGUUGCUUUAUAACCUCAUACUUGGUCCACAAACUUGAGCAUGAUGAUGCACUCACAUGGAGUAUCAACUUGAGCUAAAAUUUGGAGCAGGGUUAUUUGGUCAUAUGAAGAUGCUGUAAAAUUUUCAUGCCAAUUGGCCAAACCAAAAUGGUACUUCCGUCACAAACAUCCCCACUGACCAGAAACUUGCAAUAGUUUUGGAGGGAAGAUGGCUUAAGGAAAUGGUCUCAAAUUUGGUGCAGAGAUGUUAUAUGGGUAGGAGCAUGUUCUGGUAAUUUAUCAGAACUAAUGAAGCAAUAUAAAUUAUACUUGCUUCAUAACCUGAAAAUAUUGCCAGAAAUAAAGAUUUGGUCAUGUGCUCACAUGGAUGAUUGGAUAGGGCUGAAAAUUGGAGGGCAAUGAUAUGAGCCCAUGGAGGAGUGUGCAAAAUUUCAACUCAUUUGGAUAACCCUAGCUAGCACUUCUUCACAAAGGCUUCCCUCAAACAGGAACUUUGAAAAAUCACUGACGAAGAUUGGCUAAGCAAAUGAAGUUGAAUUUUGGCACAGGACAAUUAUUUGAACAGGAAAAGAUGUCCAAAAAGUUUGGGAUCAAUUGGGCAAAGAUAAACAGCACUUGCUUCACAAUGUGCCAUUUAGGGCAGAAUAAGAAAUAAUUAUUUGAGGAUUAUUUUUUAACAUGACAAUGAAAAGUUUUGCCAUAUUUGAGGAAGAUAUGGCCCAAACAAUUUAUGAGAAUUAUUUGGGAAUUUUUGGAGUGAUGGAAAUAUAGGUUGCUUCACAACCUAGGGCAAAUAGGAUAAUUCCUUUAAUAGAAAAGGAAUAUUCCCAAUAAAAAGAAUAUUAGGAUUUGGGCUAGGAUGAAAAUUAAAAGGUCUAGGGAUGGAUUUGAGGAUGACAAGCCACUCUUGAAAGAAAGAAGAGGUCAUCUUCUUCAGUUUCCAAACCACAUAGCCAUGGAAAAAGAAAACUCAAGCAAAAACCUCAGAAAAUUAAAAGAAAAAGAAAGGGUCAAAAACCAAGGUGUGACAAAACGCUAACUGUCACAACACACAGAACCAGUCGACACGCCGGAAGCAUUGAGUAGUCAUCUAUGACUAUAGAACUUGACUUUAAGCAAGCCAUUAAAACUCGCAUGGGUCUUCGGUAUUCCCAAAGACCACGAUGAGAUGGCUUAGCCUCGCCAUCUGAAUCCUUCACCAGACCAGAUAAUGGUUGUCUAUGGACCCCUAACAUUCAUCUAGGGGCUAUAGCUCUAACCGUUCCUUGUCAGCCUACCCCAAAGUACCGCUACAUCGGCUAGGGACUGACGUCGGAAGCACUCCAAGUUGGUCAUUGUUCGUCAAGGAGGUCGAAGCCCAAAAUCGCUUAAUACAAGUAAUACACAAUCAGAUCGGAUUGAGAAUCUUCCUAAAGUCGGCUCCUCAGCCGCUAGAAAUACCUCUUUCUAGGCUUAAGUUGGUGUGAAAAGAGUAACUAUACCGGCCCCGAGGAGGAUCCUUGAGUGUCACGUCGGGAAGGUAAAACCGUUCUUCUUCCUAGUUCUUGUUCAUCUCCUCAGAUAACGACACUGUCGCAAUUUAACAAAGCAGCGUGCUUGUUCGCAGUUGGAUGCAGAAAUAUUUGUGCCAUAGACCAAAGUGUGGUAUGCAGCCAACAGAGUCCCUGCAAAGCAUAAUGUAACACGCUGUGUGGAGGAUGUAAUUCGGCGAUAGGUAAUGUAAUUGGAGGCAAUAAAAAUGGAGACCCCUUAGGAAGGGGUGAACUGGAAAGCCUAGACCACGAAUAAGAAAAGGAACAAAGCAUGCCUGCUCGUUCUCUUAAGGGUUGGGGCUGGAUUCCUGAGAAGUCAUAUGACCAAUGGCGAUGAACCCCAAACGAGCAUAUGCGACCUCUAGUCGCGGCAAGUAACCCACGUCGUAGAGCCAGUCCAGCUGGCCCUGCUAUGUUGCGCAUGAUUUUCACUCCCCCUUGGUUGCAGCCGAUGCUUGGGAGGACGAGGCGGCAGCACUACCCACGAUGAUAGAUUGUCUUUGCUCCCAACCGCCGGCCUUGUGGUGCGGCGAAAGCUAAAACUAGGGAAAAGCGAGGGAUGCAAGACAGAGGGCUUAGGGCACUAGAGCUCUAGGAGGAAGACGAAGGCAAGAGGCGGGACAGAGAUGUAAUAAUCUCCACAUUGCCUUGCCCCUUUUAUAGAGGGGAGUAGUAGCAUGCGAAGCGGUGACAGUAUAUCUGCCCCGCAUGGCAAUAAACCUCCCCGCUUCCCUUACUUUGGGUGUUAAUCACGCAUGGGAAUCAAGGAAUAGCUGUUAAUUACCACAUGUAUCGAUGCACAUGAUCCCUUUUUUUGAUGGACGUGACAACAAUGGGCCAUCGACCCACAUUCUCAUGUCAUGUUGACCAUCAAGUCAAGAGCGCCACAUGGCUAGGUUGGCCCAUCGAUAAGAUUGAUCUGUGUUGAUAAAGCCACACUAGAUCAUCGGUAGGUCCCAAGCACAGGAGUACUUCACAGCUAAGGAGUGAUUGGGCGGGAAUAUUUCCGACGUGUGGUUCAGUACAGAUACGCUCGUACGCUUGUCAAAGGUCGAGGUGGUCCUAAAACAAUAAAGGCAAGCAGGACGUGGGUCUUUUCUUUUUAGAGGGUCUGGACCUGGGUAAAACCUUCUGUUCUUGUUACCAUCACCUCUAGACACUUAGUACGGUUCCCCCUACCAAAGAUCUGCUGGAUUUAGCUCCGUCGGUAAGGACAUGAACAAGACAAUUGAGAGAUCUAAGAAAGGACAAGGUGGAACAAUCAGAAGACGUAUGAAUCCAGAAACCACGGUUAUGUACCUGACUGUGUAGGUGGUGGUCGCUCAAUGCUAGAAGCAUCAGCCAAAGAACCUAUAGUACCCGUCAAAGAACUUGAAGUCUCAUACUAUCCUAUCAAGACAAUGGUUGAGGGUGUCAAAGUAGAAGCACAUGUCCUAGAAGAUGUGCGCGCCUUUUUGCACUUGUGCUACUUCUUCAAGAAGCAAUCAGACUCGGAGUGACCAUCCUUGCUGCAGUAGCCACAACGAGUACAAGAGUGACCCUCUUCACCCCCACGAGAGAGCAAGAGUGGCGGAAAACUGGAGUGGGAAAGAGCUGGUGCAGCUCAAGCAACAACCACGGAGGGAACAUUAAGUAAACCAGCACCACGUAGGUGAGUCUCCUUCACACAAAUCUCACAAAGCGCCUCCAUAAGUGAAAUAUGGCCAUGAGAAAACAGUUAAGCGUGUCAUGGCUCAAACUCCUUACAGAGCCGAGACAAGAACUUGUAGAUGUGAUGAAACUCCAAAUAUGCCACACAACCGGACAACACUGGCAAGAACUACAACUAGCAGUGCGAAGAGAGUCAAACUAGUGCCAGAUAGCGGAACUAUGUGCGUAGAGAUCAUCAACAUUGCAGUCAUCUUGCUAAACAACAUGCCCUUAGCAGACCACGGACAAGUAUAAUGCAUCACCAAAGGGUUGAUAGCGCUGGCGAAGUCGGGUCCACAUCUCAAAGACGACAGUGAGGCCCAUAAACUCAUAGGCAAACUAAGGAAAAACACCGGAGUGAGAACAGUUGCAAAAUUAGCAUCAUUAUCAAACCACUGAGUGUAAGCAGGCAAAGUAUCAUAAUAAGUGUGAAGAGCCUCAUUGGCCAAGACCUGUUGGUCAUAAGCACGAACAACUGCAUCACCGACAACCUUAGCUGCACCCUUCUUAGCCUGAGAAGAAAACCCGUGGCAAGAGCUGGUGGCAUCUGCGGGGUAGGAGCCACACAAGGAACCGGGCCACGGUGGAAAGGGGGCCUUGCCAGAAAGAACGCUCUAGAGACGAAUGUCACACAUAUGAAUGCACAUGAAGGCAAUGAACUCGAUGUACUUAGUACCAUACAAAAUCACCGGGCAGCAAGGGAUAGCAACAUAGCCUGACGAAGAAAUUGUACCUAUUUUACCUAAACCUAAUCAGCUAAUCUACUAAAUCAACCAAGACGUCCAAACAGGCGCGACGGCGGCGGCUUGGGUCAACGCCCGAUCCCAAUCGAAUCAGGAGCACAAUCCGAUCCCGAUCGAAUCAAGAGCAGAAGAGGCUGCCUUGUGCGACACAUACCACAAGAGAAAAGCGGUCGACGGAGGCACAAUGAAUGGGUCGGCGUAGCCAGUGGUCAGAUGGAGCCGGCGGUCGGUCGGAAGGGGGCCGUCGGAUUAUCGGGAAGUGAGGUCGGCCAUCGACGGAUCGUGCAAGCAAGCGGACAUUGCAAGACUUAGCGGCGCGAACAAAUCGGCAGGUGGUGAGGUCAGCGACCGACGCGAUGUGCAGGUUGCAAAAGAGUUGGCGGACGAUGGACUAGUCGGCAAUGUGGGGGUAGUCAACGACAUGGUAGCAUUGACAGAAGAUGCACACGAAGGAGACAUGAUGGCCACAUAUUAAAAAAAUAUGGCGGCGCGAGAUUGGAUCAAAGCAGCACGAGUUGCGCAUGCUAAUUUUUUUUACCUAGGGCUCUAAUACCAUGUUAAGACUUGUAUUUCCAUGUGGCCUUCCGCCACACUUUUGGACCGAGGUUGUUUUCACUUCCACCUAUCUCAUCAAUAUUCAACUAUCUGCUGCUCUGCAUGGUAGCAUUCCUUUUGAGUGUCUAUUUGAUCGCUCUCCUGAUUAUUCGGUGCUUCGUUUGUUUGGAUGUGUUCCAAGCAGAAGACUGGAGAGACGCGGCUAAUUGGUCAUAGUGACAGUGACCUCGUUGGUGAUAAUGACACCAGGAAGAGCAAGAGUGGCAUGAUGUUCUUCCUUGGUGGUAGUUUGGUGAGCACAGUGAGUGGUGGCGCAGUCCUCUUGUGAGGCAGAGUAUAUGGCUACCACACCUGUCGCAACACAAGGACUUGGCUGGCUCGGCUGCUUGGUGAACUCGAUAUGAGAGAAGUUGAGGCAGUCGAGCUAUUGGUGGAUAGAAAGUCCACCUUGGCACUAGCAAAGAACCCGGUCUUCCACGAACGCAUCAAACACGUACCAUUUCAUCAGGUACUUCUUAGAGGAUGGGAGUGUCAACGCCAACUACAUCAACACCACAAACCAACUCGCUGACACUCUAACAAAAGCAUAGGGCGGGUGAAAUUCCAUGAGCCGCGUGCUAGAAUUAGGAUGGUCCAAAUCAAUUCAAGUCUGGUUUGCAAGGAUUAAGGGGAGAAUUAUUAGAGUAAUCCUUGCAGCAAUCAGUGAAUGAGUCAACUGUUCUCCUUAGGUAGUAAGCUAGUGAGUCAAGUAUGUGUCUUAGGCUAUUAGUUAUUCGGAUCAAGUCAAGAUGUCUUAGGCUGUAAGAAAGCCACUGAGGUGGUUCUGUAGUUGCUUUCAGCUAUAAAUAAGGGGUGAAACCUAGCCAGUAGCAUCUAUCGCAGCCCAGAAUAAAGAGUGCCAAAUUAGAGUUACCUAUGCUCUUGCUAGUUGCUAUAAACAGCAAUGUCAUCACCAAACCCCUGACAGUGUUGCUCCGCAAGAAGGGAUUUCUAUGGACCAAUGCAGCGACGUCGGCAUUCGAGAACAGAAGUAGGUGAUGACAACCAUCCUGGUGCUCACACUUCCCGACUUCACCCAAUCGUUUAGUGUUGAGACCAACACUUGUGACAUAGGUACCGGCGCGGUGCUCAUGCAACAUGAUCACCCAACCACCUUGCUCGGUCAUGCUCUGGGCGUCAACAACCGUCGACUUAGGUUAUACGAGAAGGAAGUCUUGGCCAUGAUGAUAGUCGUGGAUUGCUCGUGACCUUCCCUGCAACGGGGCAAAUUCACUAUCCUCACGGACCACAUGAGCCUUCAUACUCUAGGAGAACAACACCUCUGGUCCGACUUGUAGCGCAAGGCCGUGGCCAAGCUUGGUGGCCUCCAAUUCUGUUUGAGGUGCCAAUGGGGCAAACAAUACGGCGGUGAAUUCUCUGUCACACAUGGGUCAUCCGCUCACGAUGACCGUUGUGUCCAGUUGUCAGCACGCAUGGAUUCAAGAGGUACGCAAUUCCUACACCAUGGACGCAAAUGCCACUACUCUACUCCAGGCACUUGUCGUGAGUAGACUUGAAGAGGAAGGGUACAAACUCGACAUCGGCAGGAUCAAGUUCCACGGCGGACUAUGGAUUGGCGAUAAUGUCAUGUUGAAAACUAUGCGCAUCAGUGAGCUACACGCUUCGACCAUGGGCAUCCAUGCCACUUACAUCACCCUUAAGAAGAUGUUCUUGUCGAGCAAGGAAGUACAUGUCAAGAAAUUUGUCAAGCAGUGCACGGUGUGUCAAUGGGCCAAGCACGAACAUGCACACCCAGCGAUACUCUGCAUCCGCUGCCAAAGCCAACAUGCAUCUGGGGCAAGGUCACCAUGGACUUCAUCAAGGGGAUCUCACACUCAAAUGGUGCCGAUCGUCAUCUUCAUGGUCAUUGGCCGUCUGUCAAAGUACACGUACUUCAUUCCCCUGCAUCACCCUUUUACUGCUCCAUAGGUAGCGCACAUUCCUCGACACAGCGAUCAUGACAAAAUCUUCAUAUGCUCAUUCUGGCGCGAGUUGUUCGUGCUCAUGGGCACCAAACUUCUAUACACCAUGGCCAACAUAAUGCAAUCGGACAAUCGUUGUUCAAGGUGCGCUAUGAAGUCAAAUCAAAUUGUGGCAUGCAGAUUAAUCUCUUCAAUGCCAAGACAUCGAAGUUCCUCCAAGAGCACGCCUCGGAGCACCAACAGUUCACAUACAUGCUCAAAUCCCAUCAUCUAUGCGCCCAACAACACAUGAAGCAUAUCGACGACCAAGUUAUCCUGAAGUUGUGGCCGUAUGUGCAAUCCUCGGUCGUCAGCCGGGCAUCCUGAAGCUUGCAUACAAAUUCUUCGGCCCGUACAAGAUCCUUACUCGUGUUGAUUCCCUCGCUUACAAGCUCGACCUACCACCAGACAACAAGAUCCAUCUCGCAUUUCAUGUCUCGCGGGUCAAGCCCUUCACGACGGAUCAUGCUCUGGUAUUGACACAAUUGCCUACUCCAUAUCUCACGGUCGAUGAUUUGCAACCUCAGCAAUCCUCGAGCAUUGCCAUGUCAACAAAGAGAAUUAUUGUCAUUCCACGGGCGCUAAUGCACUGGGCUAGUUUGCCGCCAACCAGUGCCACCUAGGAAGACUACCACGUGCUCCGACAUCAUUUCCCCUAUGUGGACAUUGAUGGUGAGGCACCAUCUCAAUGAGGGGUGAAUGUCACGCACUCCCCAUCUGCAAUCUAGGAAAUGCCAGAAGUGGAGGCGAACAACAGAGAUAGAUGGCAGGAAGGAAUGCAUGGGGAAGAAGAGCGAGAUCCACAGCUAGCAGAGGAGACUUAGUCUUGGUUAGUUGUGUGUGUGAUAGUAGGGCCCAUGACCAACUAGGUGAUUGUCAAAUGUAGUGUGAAGCGUUGUGUAUUGUUCACGUGAUAUGAGAAUUCUAAUUUGCUCACCUCUCUUCUAUGUGUCCACCUACCUCUCAUUUCUCGCCUCUGAUCCCUCUCUCACCUGCUUUUUCCCCUCCUAUGCGAUCCUAGGCCGCAAUCGUUAUAUUUGGUGACAGACUUUCUGAACUCGUCGCUAAGAAUGACGAAUACAAAAAUGAGAAAAAGUAGGAAAUUCAUAACGAAAGAACAAUGUAUAAUGUUGGAGUUGUAUAUAUUUAGUCAUGUACCCCAUUGUAUUUUUCGCGUUCUAUAAGAGGUUUUCUGCAUAUUUACCACACCUCUACGUUUAUAUAUACUGGCCAACUGGAAAUAUAAGUUGCAUUUUUCCUAACAUGGCAUUACAGCCCUUGAUUAUUUUUUUUGCACGAGCCACCCGUGCUCUUUGGAUCAAAUCCCAUCUCACACCGUCGUUGCAAUUUUCCCCCACUCGCCUGCUUUUUGGCCGAUGCUCCUCCUCCCACCUCGUUGAUGGUCAUCUCGCGCCUAUGGUCAUCUCGCGCCUAUAGGUCGACGCCCCUACAUACCCCAAGCAGGUGGUCCGCAACAUGCCUGUUGUCGACCACGUGCCGCUUCUUCCAUCCUGCUAUCGCCCUGCUGCCGCGCCUGUAGGUCAACGCCCCUGAAUAUCCAAGUUGGUGGCCCACGACAUGCCUGAUGCCGACCACGUGUUGCUUCUUCCAUCCUGUUGUAGCCUCUGACUUGGUGAUAAAAGGAGGAAAAACAGGUACAAUGUUUUCGUCGGGUACACAUCUCCUUCGAUGCCUGCUGCCUUUUGAUGGUGUUCCCUAUAUUGAUCCUGUCUCGCACAUGCGCCGUCUUUCGGUGCUUGAUGCUCGUCCGUUUGUGACGUCGUCCUCUUCGGCGGCCUCCACACAUGGUGAUCGUCGCUCUACAUCGACUCCUAUCGCGACUUUCACCGGUGUAGUCGCUCUACAUCGACUACUCUUGUGACUUUCAUCCAGUGUUGGUGCAUCUGGCUACAUCAACUACGCCUCACACACACGCUUUCCCAUGGCACUUGGUGCUCGUCUGCAUGCGACCUCGUCUCAACCGAUCUCUGCACACAAUACUGGUCAUGGUACACUGCCUCCUCUCGCAGCUUCCACAGGUAGUGGUGGCCGCUCCCCUUUCAAUGUUGCUACAUCUACUUCUGAUGUGACCUUCACUGAGCAGGAGAUUGUGCGGCUUUGGUUCUUCCUUGUAGAGUGCAUCUACAUCGACCUCUUCAGUUGAGCCGCCCAUGACUUGGCAGGAGAUUACGCGACUUUGAUGCCUGCUAGCUACGUCCUCUGGUUCUCCACCGAUAGGUUCUGCUGGUUAUGUUAUGGACUAUUCUAGCAUUGUGAGACCACCUUCUAAUAGGCAGGUGCAUCUCCAUGGAUUCUUAGAUACUGGAGCAUCUUUUCAUAUGACUCAUGAUUCAUCCACUUUGCCUUCUAUUAGACCCCUCGAUUCACCUGUUCAUGUUCUUACUACUGAUGGAACCUCCCUCCAAGUUAAUGGCCGAGGCAUUCUUAGCACUUCGUCAUUUCAUGUUCCUGAUGUUGCUCAUAUUCCUCAACUUACCAUGUAGCUCAUUUUUGGUGGUCAGAUUGUUGACUCUGACUCUUGUUCUAUUCUGGUCUGUCACACUGAUCCUCUCCUUAGUGCUGGCCCCCAGCGCCGUGAGUCCCAAGGUCUCUGGGAGCUUGAAUAGCUUCACCUUUCCUCCAUUGCCACCACCACUAGCCUCUCGGCCUCUGUUCCCCUGUCUACCAGCUCUUUUCAGAAGUGGCAUCAUUGGCUUUGUCACUUAUGUGGCUCUCAUCUCCCAUCCUUAGUUUGACAUGUUCUUGGAUCCCUCUCCAACGAUGACUUUAGACUGUCAGGGUUGUCGGCUUGGUAAACUAGUCCAGUUACAUUAUCCUCAUAGGGAUACUAUGUUUCAACGUCCUUUUGACCUUGUUAACUCUGAUGACUAGGGUCCAGCUCCCUUUGACUUGAAAGGAGGUCAUCACUACUAUAUUACCUUUACAGAUGAUUUCUCUCAACACACCUGGAUAUAUUACAUGUCUUCUUUGUUUUCUGCAUAUUGUACCGCACCUCUACAUGUAUAUAUAUUGGCCUAUGGCCACCUAAAAAUAUAAGUUGCAUAUUUCCUAACAUAUACGAGAAAAAUGAAAGGACAAUGUGUUCUUCAAGAAAACUAGGAGGUUCUCAAGAUGACACGUACUCUAUGUAAAGAACCACGUAAUGAUUAACAUAGCAUGGUACAAAGUAGCACAUGUCCUACAAACCUCGCAAAAUCCAAUUACAGAGCAAACAGCCUAGCAGAGACAAGCGAACCACAUACAUGAUUCUAAAAAGUGAAGUACAGAUCUAUUCAUGAACACAAACAAAAUCACACUAUAAAGGAAUUGUAUACUCAAUAAACUAUAACUCCCUGACAACAGUCAUAAGUCUAAUAGGACAAAUGUACAUACAUGUUGUUUGCAUUUUGGGUAAUUUAAGUGCAGCGACAUAUUAGAAAACAUGAAAGCAUGUUCAAAGUCAAACUGGCUAAAUACUUACCUUCCAUCUGGUAUGGCUGAAACCCACUGAAUCAGCAUUAAGAAGAUCGUCAAGUUCAUCAAGCUCUUGCUUUACUUGCAGAACCAACUUACAGAUGGUUGCAUCAUUAGUGGCACUGAAAACACAUUUACAUCUCUCUGCAGCAACAAGGUCUGUCCAUUAAGCCCCACUUGUAUACACUGUAUGAGCAUUCCCAACAAUCCAAAGACAUUACGUGCAUGAAAAAGCAUCCACCUGAUAAUUUGAAGAAUCGGUCUGACAUACUUUGAGCAGCAAUAAAACAAGGGGUCCCGAAUAAAUUGAUGCACACCUUGCUCUAGUAAGAGCAACAUUUGCUCUUUGGUUAUCAGCAAGAAAUCCUACAACUCCUCUCUUAACAGUUGAUAGUAUUGAUGUAUCAUCUUCUCUUUGGAAAUCAUCAAUGGACUUCACCCGCACAUGAAAGCCAUCAUAUGUGUCAUAUUUUUUUGGCAGGUCGACUUUUAAUUGCAUCAACUUGAGCAAUAUAUGGAGAGACCGCGGACUAUGCUGAGCCCUUGGUCUGUCCUUAUCCAACCUGCAGAAAUAGCUUAUGUGGUAUGCUUAGUGAUCUUUAGGGAUCAAAGUUUGGACAAAGGCUACUGAAAGCAUUUUCUUCAGCAAAUUUAAGUCGAUUCUAUAUCACCAAAUCAUUGACAUAUCAUUGCUUUUUCACUAUAAAGUCCGGAAAUAAUAGAAGUUACUAAAGUGGGUUCAUAAAGUGGCCAACAACUGUAAUAGGGCAUAAUGUUUCACCUUUCAUGUCAUCUACCUAAUGUUCUCUUUUUUCUAACUACAAAUGUAACAUUUGUCUACGAAAGAGGGCAGUAGAAUUGAAAUUUCAUAAAGCUGGAUUGAUGCAAUACCAUAUCAUGAGAUACAAAUAGAAAUCUGGACUCUCAACGUACAGUAUUGUAGUGAACACAUUUCUACCAAUGAAGAUUAUGAAGUAUGCAGUACAAGAACAGCAGACCACAUAAACUUCUAAAGAUCCAAUGUUAUAUUAGCAAGGUAGCUUCAUAAAAGAAAAAAUAGAAAGGAUAUUAAGGUUAAAGGAAGGAUAGAGUUCAGCUUAAACAUACAUUUAAAGAUGGAAUGGAUUAGUUGCAAACAACAGCAACUUUAACCAUGUUUCUACGACUGCUUCAUGUGCCCUCUUUGUCUUGUUGCUUCUCUUCCAUCAGUGACAUUUAGAAACAUGUAGCUGACAAAAGGGAGGCAUGUGUAAUCCUUAUCACAACUAGGAGACAUGACAAUGGAACCAUCUAAAAUCUUCCUCUCAUAGCACUUGGAAAUAAGCUGACAGAAGGAUUCAUGUGAUACUGUAUAUUCAACAAAUGUUUAUCAAAUUUGAGCAUAACCAAUCUCUCAAAUAAACUUGUCACGAAUCCAGCUUCUUUGCAUACCUAGAGAUGAACUAUGAAAUGUAAGGAUUAAGAUCAUCAAAAACAGAUCAAUAACAAUCAAACAUAAAAAAAGAUAUGGCUGUUACAUUUUUUUCAAAAGUUUAUCUUGUUGAUAAAUGCACCAAUGACUAAGAAAUGAAAUCAAACAGUAUAAAGAGGGUGAGGCAAAACCAUCAUUUGCUUUUAACCAUUGCACUAAGCCGACAGUCUUCUCCUNNNNNNNNNNNNNNNNNNNNNNNNNNNNNNNNNNNNNNNNNNNNNNNNNNNNNNNNNNNNNNNNNNNNNNNNNNNNNNNNNNNNNNNNNNNNNNNNNNNNNNNNNNNNNNNNNNNNNNNNNNNNNNNNNNNNNNNNNNNNNNNNNNNNNNNNNNNNNNNNNNNNNNNNNNNNNNNNNNNNNNNNNNNNNNNNNNNNNNNNNNNNNNNNNNNNNNNNNNNNNNNNNNNNNNNNNNNNNNNNNNNNNNNNNNNNNNNNNNNNNNNNNNNNNNNNNNNNNNNNNNNNNNNNNNNNNNNNNNNNNNNNNNNNNNNNNNNNNNNNNNNNNNNNNNNNNNNNNNNNNNNNNNNNNNNNNNNNNNNNNNNNNNNNNNNNNNNNNNNNNNNNNNNNNNNNNNNNNNNNNNNNNNNNNNNNNNNNNNGGUAGAACAGAAAAGAACUGUUGAAUUACGUAUGCUCUGGACCCAGUUUCUGUUUACUCCAAUGGGUAAUUAAGCGAGUGUAGCAGAUCUUUAAGCAAUUUAAGGCAUGUAGACCUUGCUCCAUCCAGUUCCUACAAUAGUGUACAUUCAGCCUACAACACCGUCGACUGAAAACAAGUGCAAACUCCAACAACAGCAACAUUUCUGGGAGCACAAGUAAGAGUUCAGCUUAUUCGGAAAAAAAAUCUGCAUUUCAAACAUGCCAAAACCAACAGUAAAGUGCCAUCUUGGUUUUUCCAGUACCUGGUGGACCCAUAUACACUUCACACGCCCACAUCUUACAGCUGAGAUGACAGAUUCAAUAGCAUCCUCGCCCAAUAAUUUCUGGACGUCUCUGCGAAAGAAGCCAAACAGACUCCAUCCUGUUUAACACAGAUACCACAAACAUCCUCACCCUGCAACAGAGCCAACAAAGAGGAGCUCAAAAGGUCAGGUCACAUACUAAUUUAUAAUGGUAAUGAAAAUAGCAAGUAAAACUAAAACACGAAUAUUCAUGUCAUAUUACCAGAUUUGUGGGGGCUAAGAGGGACUUGAUUAGUGUGAAAUUGUCAUUCAUGUGUGUUUUGCAGGUAAGUGCUUUCCAUAUCCGUACGUUUAUUGUGAUAUUAUUGAGAAAUAUUGCAUGUUCGAGUUUGUUUAAGUCUUCGUCCAGACCAAUAUUCUUUGCAACUUUGACUCUGAAGCCGUUCUGGUAUUCACCAACCAUAGAAACCUCAGUGACUAUUGCCAAACAAUAAUAUGUCACACCAUGGCAGUUUAAGUCCUCUGCAGCUUCAGGUUUUAUGCUAGACAAAACAAAUAUGUCAUCAUUCCUCGCAGAAUAAGCCCAGUAGAAAAACAUCAUCAUUGCCCCAAAAAUCCACAUCCAUAAAGUAUGAUCCCGAUUUUCCUGUUACCUCCAUGGAAAGUAUUUUCAACAAGGGUGCUUCACUGAUGAGUUCAAGGCAUGAGCAAGGGUGCUUCACUGAUGAGUUCAAGGCAUGACCAUAGAUCUGACCAUGUCUUCAAUCAGAGGCACACGGUACAAAUACCUCAUAGAUGUUCCACUGUUAUUUUCAACAUUAUUUUCAGUUGAAUAUGCGACUCUUGACCUGUACAAACUCCAUCCUCACUGAGCUUUGAGUUGUUACCAGUGCUAGGCAUCUCAACAUCAUUAACAAGAACCUCAGUUGAUGGCAGUGACAAAACAAUCACUUGGAAUUCUUCAGGAAUGUCAACAGCAACCCACGUCUCUUGGUCAAGAACUGCCAUAGUUUUUGUCAUCGUCAAAGGAAUAUUAAAUGUUAGAGCACAAAAACUGUAUAAAUCGGGAUUCAGCUACAAAAUAAGAUUGAUAUCAAUCUAAAAUCAAUAUCAGAAUUCGAUUUAACAAAACCUAACAUAAAACUUUUUGAAGAUAAUUCAAGUAAUUAUGACGAUCCGAGAUUUCCUAACCCUUUAUAUCCUUAAUUCCACUAUCAUUUCAUCCUCAAGUUCUUUGAUUGAUGGUGGAUAGCACUACUGUCUGGGUAAUAUUGCUUGCAAAACAGAAGAAAGUAACUGCAUUGUAAUGAAGUUGGUGUACAUCCAUAAGGCUAUAUAAUUGAGGGAGAAGCCUGAGGGCUUUAUACUCCAGAAAUAGCAUCAUUACUCAUUCAUGUUUCUGGCAAAAUGAUGCUGCACUUAUUCUAUAAGCUGCUGCUUGUAAUAACAAAAUUUAAAACAAGCUUCUAACUUUGUUCCAUGAUCCGAUUGUAAGACUGUAGAUUAAGCUUUCAUAAACUUCAAUAAAACAAUAUAUAACCACCUGAACACUAUGCUGAUAGUCCACGAAUGUUGUAACCUAACCUGCCUCCAAUCUAUGAGGACAAGAGGUUAAGAUAAUAUCAUAACUUGCUUUUAUGAAACUAAUGUGUGUCUGUGCAUAUUAUUUAAACAGAAAAUUAAUAACCUUUUCUGUACCAGCUAUAGAUUCUUCUUUUAUACUACUUCCGUUCCUAAAUAUAAGGCGUUUUGACAGAUUAAAUGGAACCAGCGGGACAUCUUAUAUUUAGAAUCAGAGGGUGUAUUAUGGAUGAUCAGGAACUCCAGAAUCCUCUACUUGGGAUGUAGAGCAGCACGAACACCUAUCAGCUUAGCACAUCGUCCAUGUGCAGCAUCACACGCAGCAAAAACUGCUUCUGUGCUUUCUCUCAACAUAUCAGCUCUGCGGAAAAUGCAGAUGUUCAAGCAAAUCUGUUUUGGAUCAUUACACAUAAUUAACACAUGCAAAUAAUGAAAUACUGGAUUUGCUAGAACUGACCACAGCAUCACCAUGACGAAUCAACUUGGUUUUAUGGAAGAAAAAACAUGUUAGAACUUAAUGUACCGAGCAUUUUUUUUAUUAAAUUUGUACUGGACAUAUCAGUUGCUUUUCCUUGAAACAAUGGAAGCUUAGUAGUACUGCAUGUAACAGUAUUGGAGACCCGUGAAGUAACACCGUUGUCAUUCCCUUGGGAAAAGUCAACUGAUCCACCAUGUUGUAUGACAGGAUUUGUGUUAUCAGAACUCAUGUUCCCAUCAAGGUUUCUCAUGAUCCACUGAACUAUUUUUUUUAACUUCAGCUGCUUGCAGCAGAUGUACCUGAAUUUACAGGAAAGGAGAUGUACAUUAAGAUUAAAUUUGGUAGAAUUUUAUUGUCCAAAGGAAAACAAAAUAAUUGUCAUAUUGAGAAACCAAUUUACCAGAACUAUCCUAAAAAUAGCCGAUAACAGUUGAACAAACCCUUCAGAUGAUAGACUACGCAGCUUAUUUGGUAAAGAAUGCCCUCCAGCUGCACGAUUACAGUUCAAAACAAAUAGGAACUUAGUGUAGAAAGUAGCAAACUAUGAAGACAUUAAGAAAAAAAAGCGUAAGACCAUCAGAAUUGGCAGCUCUGUCCCCAGUUACUGAAUCAGAAUCUAGUCAUGUAACAGUGGAUUUGGUUGAAGCUUCUCUGUAAUCGUGAGGCUUCAUAACAUAAGACCAUUAUUACAUGCUACUCGUCAAAAUUUUCUGGAAAUUAAGACUGGAAGCAUCUACAUAACAGUGGAUUUGGUUGAAGCUUUCAUAACAGUAAUAAGGGUAUCAUGGUAUAUUCUUAGCACCACAGGAACUUUGUCCUACAAUAUAUAAAUAUGAACAGUAUCAUUCUGUAUCCCCGUAGAUUAAUAACUCAAUGAAUACCAAAUGUCCAGAAAUAAAUAAACAUGAUGCUUCAACCACUUAACUGUUUAAGCUCACAGGUAAUUGACCUUUUAAAAUAUACUGAACUUGAUUUUUGUAUGCAUGAAAUUUUAGAGGGUAUGUUAUUUAUAAGUGCUCUGUUUGUGAGGUAGUCUCUUAUAAGUUAAGACCCCAUAAGCCCAGCUUAUAUGAGUGACAAACUUCUUGAAUAAUCACAAAUAUUAUUGUGCUAAUUGUAUGGCUAAAUAGCUCAUACAAAUGUGAAUUAAGUGCUUCUCUAGAACUUAAAUCUAUAUGUCAUGUUACACUGAAGUCCCCAUUGCUAGCUCUAUAACAUUCAAUGUAAUGGAAACCCAGCCGCAGGACACCCUAUUUUCUGCAUACCCACUCUCCAUUUGAAUCUCCAAAUCAACUUAAUGGAAAUAUCUAACAGAGCUAACCGUUCUCAGCAGGCAAAUAGUGAGGGGGAGAAGACAGAGGAUGAAGCUUUCCCCCUCAUCUAUGUUUACCUGCAUUGAGAUAAUGAACACCAAUUAACAGAAGAAAAGGAGCUGAUAAUAUUUUACUAUAACCACGACAGUGUAGCUUAAAACAAAGCCAUAAUCUAAACAAAAGUAGCAAGAUGAAACACAUCAGACCAUUGUUAACAACAAAUUAGAAUUUCACCUUUUGGCAAAUUGGAGAAGAUCAAAAACUGAUUGGAAAUGACCAUAAUAGUCAUGGUAUAUAUGAUAAGUGGUGUAGUAACAAAGUUUACGAUCAAAAUCUGGUAAUUAUUUCAGAAUCACAUUUUUGUGACAUAAGAAUCCUAUGUUGACACUGGACAUACAUCAAACACAAAAUUCCGGUAACUUAUAGUUUACUCGUCAAGAAACUACGUUGCCUGGGUACAUUAUAUGGAUGUGACGAUACCACAAUACAUAAAAUUCCAAAAACAAUGAUACAAUGACAGAAAUAAUAUUGUAAUGUGAUGAAGCUACAAAGAAAUCAAAAUAGCAUGGCCCAUUCCUUCUUGGCAUUGAAUUAAUUUACGAAACCAAUGGGUGCAGGUACUACUAACUAAUCACUCCCUACCAGUUCUUAGCCUUUAGAUUUCUCAAUCUCACUUCAUUCCUCAUGUUCAAUCAAUUUUGGUUAACUACUGUUUUUCUUUAAGUUAGCAUGAAAAGUACAAAAAAAAACUUGGCGCGAAUGCAUUUUGUUACAACCAGGUAAAGAUAGGACAAUUGCAAGACAGUAAACUGCAAAAUUGGAAGUGCACGUAUCUCAUGUUCCGUCCCAUUGAGGGGAGUGUAAGUCCUUUUCACAGUUUAUGGAACCAUUGCAUCUACAGCUUUUCCAUCAGGAACAACAACCCGCACAAACUCUGCUGAAAGAAUGCUACAAAUAUGAAUAAUAAGUUAAACAAUGGGCCAAAAAAGGCUGCAAAUAGCGAACAAACAUAAAGAAAAGAAAAUUACACGAUUCUAAGGUUGGUAGCUUCAUGUAAUGACAUUAUUGACCUUCAUUUUCUGGAUGACGACAACAUACAUUUAACAGAAAUAAAUAUACAAGCUAAAUUGUAUGGGUAUAGCCGUAUAGGUGGAUCUAGAGUACAUUUUCAGCAAAGUCUCGUAACUGGACGUACUGAAUUAGGCCAAAAGUCAUUAAUAUCCUUCAAACAACUUACUUUACACUGGUUAAAGCAUAUUUGACAUUGGAGUAUCAUUGGAACAGAAUCGUUCCAUUUGACAAUGGCUUGCACAAUAAUUAAGGAGCAACAAACGUAUUUUCACAUCAAAGAACUGAUUGGAAUCCAUAUGCAUGCAUAUAUUGAAAAAGCAACAAAGUGCUUUGGCUCAAUGUAGUAAACAUGUGAAAAAGAAAAACAAUGACCCGAGCCUAUCCAACUGCCGAGCAUAUGGAUGAUUACCAAGGCAGUAUUAGGCACAAAGGAGAUCGCGGUCAAAUGACUUGAAGUUGCAGGGAAUAGUCCCAACCUAAACACAGAAUAGUUCAUUAAUGAAAUAUGAUUAUAGCUAGCAAAAGAUUCUCCAACAGAUUCUUGAGGACACAAAUGGCAUGUAAUUAAUGCUAUCAGAAAAGCUAUCUGGUCAAUUUCGUCUACUGCAAGGACAAGCUAGGAUCGAUACAGAGCUUAAGCUGCUCUCAUGCCACAAGGAGGUUUAGCAUACUCAAGCAUAAACAUGAUUUUUCACAGCAAAACAAUUUACAAUUUCUGCCACCAAAUUGUGGAACAUCGCGACAUGUAUCUUUCUCACGAGGAUACAUGACUUACACACCUAUCAUCUCCCAACAGCCGUUUAAAACUAGCACCACAUGUUAUCAUAAUUUUCUGGAAACAAUUCACAAAUGGUGACAUCACUUUCAACAGCAAUGGGCACCUCCAUCAGUAACAUAAGAAUCAUGUGUAACAUUCUCUAAAAGAAAAAAAGAAAAGGCGUGCAUAAAAUCUAGUUGGCCCGAAUCAGCCACAUAUGGCACCUACAGCAACAUGUAAUUUCCUGAAAUACAAUGUGUCACCGAGCGUGCAACUAUUAUGUUGUUAUCAGACAGUCCAGAAAUGGCAUUCACAUGCCAAUUGCACAUCCAUGACACGUGGACAGAUGGACCCUCUAAACCCUAGCACAAGGACCACACACAGACGGAGCAACAUCAUUUGGAGCAUCCAACUGACCCAACUUCGAUUGCACAUAAAAGGCAGCGAACAACAGCACGCUAUAUGCAAUUAAUCAAAAAAAAUCACCAGAUAUAAGCGCAACCAGAAGCCUAUCACGCAUAUGCAUGUAUAAGCUUUGCCGGUCCAGGGUCCAUUCAUGAACACAUACUCGAAAAAAAAGGCUCGAGAGUGCAAAAAAGACUUGAAGUUGCACGGAAGUCUCAACCUUAACACAAAAGGGGGCAUAAAUGAAAUAUGGUUAUAUAUAGCAAAAGAUUCUCCAACAAUUUCUUGGGCACACAGAUGGCAUGUAAUUAGUGCUAACAAACUAGCUAUCUGGUCAAUUUCAUCUACUGCAAGAACAAGCAAGGUUCAAUACGGGGCUUAAAUAACCACAGGCAUAAAAAAAUUAUAGUUUCUCCCACCAGACUGUACAGCGUCAUGAAAUGUCUCUCUCAUUAGGAUACAUAUAUGACUUACACACCUAUCAUCUCCCAAUAACCAUUUAAAACUUACACCAUGUAUUAUCUAAAAAAAUAGAAUGGGACGGACUAGAUGAUGCUACAGCCAACUAAAACACUUCACAACUAUUGGUACAUCAUGAGCAUAGCAAAUUAAUUUGUCAUCCUUUUCAACAGCAAUGUGCACCUCCAUCAGUAACAUAAAAAAUUAUACUACAUAACAUCUAGUUAGUCCUAAUCAUCCCAUAUUGCACCAACAGCAACAUGUAAUUUCCUGAAAUACCAACAGAAAAACCCUCUAAACCCUAGCGCACGGAUCACACAAAGACAGAGUACCAUCAUUUGGAGCAUCCAACUGACCCAACUUAGAUUGCACCUAAAAGGCAGCAGACAACAGCACACUAAAUGUGAUUAAUAAAAAAAUCACCAGAUUUAAGCACGACCAGAAACCUAGCGCACAUAUUUGCACAUAUUCGUAAGCACAGAUUCGCGAAUAAAAUGGCUCAAGCUUGGAAAAAAAGAUUUGAAGUUGCAGAGAAUAGUCUCAAUCUGAACGCAGACGAGGUCAUAAAUGAAAUAUGAUUAAGAUUCACCAAGAGUUCCUUAAGCACAUAAUGGCAUGUAAUUAAUGCUAAGAGAAGAGCUAUCUGGUCAAUUUCGAACAAGCAAGGAUCAAUACAGGGCUUAAGCUGCUCAUAUCACAAGGAGGUCACCAUACUUAACCAUAGACAUAAUUUGUCAUAGCAAAACAAUUUACAAUUUCUCUGCCACCAAAUUGUACAACAUCGCGACAUAAUCUGCCGCGCCCGCACAAAUCAUCAUCCGGAGCAGAGGGAGGGAGGGAUGGAUGGCGCACGUACGUACCUUGCCCCUGUAGGAGUCGUCGUCGGCGACCUCCUGGACCGACCAGGAGAGCACCGCGGCCUUCAAAUCCAUCUCUCCAUGUCGGCCCCGCGCGGCCCGGCCGCCGCGCUCGCCUCGCGCCCUAGCCGCCCACGCGCGAGCGCCCGAGCAAGCAGGCCGUGCGGCCGGGGUCACCGCGCUCCCUAGCCGCCCACACGCGGGCACCCGAGGAAGCAGGCCGGGGCGGCCGCGCUCCCUCGCUCACGCGCGGGCACCCGAGGAAGCAGGCCGGAGCAGGCGGCGAGAGGGAGGACGGGGGUUGGUUCGUGGCCUUGGCGGUGUGGAGGAAAGGAGGAGGCGGCGGUGGUGGACUGGUAGCGUUGCGCUGCGUGGAGAAAAGCAGAGCAAUCAAUGGCCCUGUUUGGAUCCUAGAGUUAGUGUUAAGUUUGAGUUGUUUUGGGCUCAAAUAGCUCAAAAGGAUUCAAACAGAUGGGGUUAGUUUCAGCUAGUUGCCUCCAUGGAAGGGGAGGGGAGCGGGGAACAGCAGUACUACUAGUCCGCAAAAAUCUUUUGCUUGUGGCCUUGUGGGAGAGGGUGGUGCGUUGGGAUUCGGGACCUUUUUGGUUCACGGGGCAGGUGAGGGAGGGAGCGCCGCGGUGAAUGAAUGAGUGGACUUCACUUGUGCUGCGCAGCAGCGCCGGUUGCUACAGUGAAAUUGGUGAACGUGCUUUCUCUCUCGGUCUCGAUUGGUCGUGGACGGUCGCUGUUUUCUGUCGCCACAACGACCCGGUAACGGCGCAAGGGCCAGGGGUUGACGGCACGUUGCGUGGAGGAGCGCCACGGGAUCUUCUUCUUUUUUUUUUGAUAGUACGCAAAUUCAGUGGCGGAGCCAGGAAAUUAAGAUUAGGGGGGCCAAAUGACUCAAUUUUUUUAUUACAGGGGUCAAUCUACACUGAUGCAUGUAUUUUCUCUUAAUUUUUGCACUGUUCAUCUUCAAACUACUAGCAAAGCAGGGAUGUCAGGGGGGCCAGGGCCCCUGCUGGUCCCCCCUGUCUCCGCCACUGCGCAAAUUGCGCCACGGGAUCUUCAACCACGAUGGCAUUGGCAGGGACGUUUUCUCCUCCGUACAAAUUCCGCCUUUCCGGUGUAUGUGUAGACAAAUGUUCAACCAGGUCAUUCCGAAUCCGCUCAUGAAUGGCUCGAUGUCGAACUUGUUGAUGCAUUUUUUGAAACAAAUAAUGCAUUUGAAUAAAAUUCUCAAACGUCACCGGAUUCUGCCUUGGAAGUUUGAAAGGAUCACCCAUGCGCUCAAAUUCAAACUCCAUCACUCUCAUCAAACACAAUCAUGUUGUACAUGACCACACAAGUUGUCAACACUUCUCACAACGUCUUUGUAUCCCAUAUGUUUACAGUUUUUCGAACAAUUGCAAAAUGGGCUUGGAGCACACCAAAUGCCCUAUCCACAUCGUUUCUAAUUUUAUUUUUUAUUUUUUUGUCUUAGAGCAAAGUAAGCUAUUUUCUCAACCCUUGGUCAGAGAUGAUCUUGGCGAAGAUCGCUCACGAAGAAUAAAUACCAUCACAAAAAAAUGGCCCGCACACAACCUUGCAAACAAUGGAAACCGUUGCGGCACGUUGAUGUCAUUGUGAGAACCGGGCAUCCCAAAGAUAGAGUGUAAAAUACAGAGGUCUUGAGAUGCAAUUGUUUCAAGAAUGACGGCAGGCUUUUUGCAAUGACGUUGACAUUGCCCAUGUGGGCAAUUCUUCCAUCGUUAGUGCAUGCAAUCCAGGGAUUCGAGCAUACCUGGUCACCCCUCUUGCCUUCGACAGUGUCACUACUCGUGCGGUGUCUUCGGCAGUUGGUUCUCUCAAGUACUUCGGACCAAACACAUUGACCACCGCAGUAGAAAAAUUGACCAUGGCUUUGACAUGUGUGCUUUCGGACAUGCAGAUGUCUUCUUGAGGUAAAAUGCGGCACAAAGUCAAUCAUUCGGGUAUAAAUUGAGGAUUUUCUCCAAAUUGGGUAAAUAUAUGUCAAAAGGGUAAAUCAUGGGGGAAUUGAAUUUCCUCUCUUUUUUAGGAACGGAAAGGGAAGCACUUGAACAGGCUGAAAGGGUUUCCCUUGCUUACUCAGUGCUCACUGUCAUGCCCACUUGCCACUUGGCAAUCCUUGCCCCUCCCAAGUGGCUCUUGCACAAGAUUAACCAGGUCAUCCAUGGUUUGGUAUGGCAGAAAUAUAAUGACCAGGAGCAGUUGUCGGGCGGUCACUCGUUGUUUAACUGGAAGACGAUGUGUCGGCCUAAGCACUUGGGUGGCCUCGGUAUUGGUGACAUCGAUAAGUUUGGGUGCGCUCUGCAGUAACGCCGGCCCUCGCUUCAAUGGACUGGGUCCAAAAAGGCCUUGGGUGGGAUCCCAACUGCUAUGUGACCAGGCUGACAUGGCCCGUCCCUUGGUCUCCACCAUCAUUACCAUCAGGAAUGGCCAUAAGCCUCUCUUCUAACAUGACAAUUGGAGCGACAAGGGGCCCCUCAAGCUGCUAGCGCCUUAUCUCUUCAAGACCGCCCCACGCAAGCAUAGAACGGUGCACCAUGAGCCGAGCAGGGAAAACCGGAGAUCCAAUCCGUCUCGUAGCAGGGAGAAUUUGUGUCCCUAUGGGAGUUGGAUCAGUCUAAUCCAACUAUCACGGACCAAGAAUACUCCAUCACAUGAACAUUACCGCCAAUGGGGAAUACUCUUUGUCCUUAGCCUACGCGCCCGAGUUCAACGUCUCGCAUCCUAGGUUUAAGGACUCAAAUAUCUGGACUGCCCAUGCUCCUCAUGACCCCAGAUGCCUAAAUGCAAGUUCUUCGGGUGGCUUGUGCCCCAAGGCAGAAUUCUCACGGUCAAUCUGCUUGUUGUGCGAGGUUGGCCUCAUGACCCCAGAUGCCAUCUUUGUCUCCAGGCGCCUGAAAACCGCUACCCACCUUUGUAAGGAUUGCCCUUUCUUUUGUCGCCGUCUGGAACCAUGUGAUCUCCUGGACGAACGAGAACUUGUCGGUUUCCAAUUUUCUGCCCGACCGGGUAGUGUCUCAAAUUGGUGGGGCGAGAUGAUUGAUGAGAAGUCUAAGGAGGUCCGCACGAGGCGCAUCAGUUGACUCGCAUGCACACUAUGAAACAUUUGGAAGGAGAGCAACAUGCAUUUUUUUUCAUCCGCCCGUUUGACUCGUUACGAGGUGGCAAUGUUAGCUUUCAAGGACAUCAAGCAACGUGAGAUGGCUUUUCGCUCCGGUUGUGCCCACCGUGGGGGAUCGGCUGAUUUGGUCGCAUUGUUUUUAGGCUUUCGGGGUUUCUACCUUUUUUCUUCAAUAUGAAAAAAUAGGCAGUGCUCCUGCCGGGUCCUCAAAACAAAAAAGUAUGUUUUGAAGAUGGAAGCAAAUACUACUACGUUUCCUUGAUUUUCUAGGGAAAAAACACCACGACACGGAUGCUCAUCAAACUGUCAUCAACAUUUCUAGUAUUUGAUCUUUUUUUUCUUUGAGGGGGCGUUUCUAGUAGUAUUUCAUCUUGGAUGGUGGUGUUUAAUGCAAAUGCAGCCGUGAGAGAAUGAAAAAAGGGGCGCUCGCUUUGAAGCGGCAAGUGGAGGGACGUAGAGCGGGAACCCAAACGCGGGCUUUGAAUCUGUUGUGUCCCCGCUUGCUGUACGUCCAACAUACAGCGCCGCGCGGUGCUGCACCUCCUCGGCAGUUCGCCUCGGUGGUAGCACGGGUUGCACCUGGCUGCGACCUCCUCGACUCGAUCGUGUCCGCGGCUGCACGCCGUGGAACGCACAUGGAUGGAUGGAUGCCCCUCGGGUUGCCCCGUGCAACGCAGCCGUCUGCCACAGGCGCAGUUUCACUUGAUAGCUUGCGUGGAUGUGUACUCCAAAUCACACGCAUUGAAGAUGAGACAGCUUUGGUCUUCGUUUUCUAGAUGCAGGGGGGCAUGGAGGCCGUGUUUGUUGCUUUGGUCUUGGUUAGCGUCGCUUGUUUCACUAGCGUACCGUAGAUAGAUCUGGUGUUGUUUUGCUCGGUGGAAGUAGAGGCCAUCGAUUCAAGUCUCCCCGUCUCAAAUCCGAGUGCAUGCGCCUGCGUCCGUGUUUGGAUCUAGCUUUGGAGUGCAUCAUCGGGCCGAUCUAGCUUUCGGUUUGCCUUCCUGCGUGCAUGUGUGUGGUGUGCGUGUGUGUGUGCCAUUCGGUGUGCGUGUUCAUUGAUGGGGCGAAUUUGAAGUGUAUCGCACAUCUGGCAGAGUGUUUUUGUUUCCUGAUAAAGUCGUUCUGUUUACGGUUUAUUACGAUGAUGAUUGGCCACGCAGUGAACGUAUCUACCAGAUUUGUUUUAAUUGAGGUGAAGCGCUAGUUCAAUUACUUUUUUCACCCUGCCUAACGGAGAAAGAAUCUUUCUGUUUCUGGUGGCAGCGAGAGAGUGGGGCCUAGCUCGCCUCGUCCCACGCUUCUUCUAACAUGAAAUGGAUCUAGUUUACAUGGUUGGUUUCUUGCUGUCAACACAGGACACCUUUUUUUAGAGAAAAGGCCAAAGCCCGACUUUAUAAAUAAAGCCACAUGGCAGCGUCACGAAUAUCCAAGGUUCACACAGUCUCAGAAACACAAAGAGAAGUUAAAUAGGCCCAAAUUCCUAACGAAACAGGCAGCUGCCAAACACGGCACGCAGGCCGGGGAGAGAAGGAGACCUAAUCCCGCAAACUACAGCACCAGGCUUAGACGCCAUGAUUCGUCCCGGAGAUCUGAGAGGCUGAAGCCCGAAUUUUGGCGAUGAGCAGGUCCAGGGCGUCCCGAUCUGGCUCCUUAGUCAAUAAUCUCCACUGCUGCAAGAAUAUACAUGAUUUGAAAAGAACGUCAGCAGGCUUAGAUGGGAAGGUAAGUUCAAUAGUAAAUUUGUUUCUAAUGGUCCAAAGAGCCCAACAUAAGGCUCCCAAGCCAACCCAGAAUACCCUCUUGGUGACCCCUACCAGAAAUUUGGCUAGGGUUCUAGUGUCUGCGAAAGAGGAGGGAUCCCAGGAGACCCGAAGCCAUGAUCUUACGCAAGACCAAACUAAUUUGGCAAGAACGCAGUUGAAAAAGAUGUGAUUAGAGUUUUCCAAAGCCCCACACAAGUUACAGAAUUCCGAGCCCGACCCAUUGCGUUUUUUGAUCUGAUCAGCAGAAGGAAGGCGACCUCGGAAGGCUUGCCAGAGGAAAAUCUUAAUCUUAGGAGGGACCUUAGAUUUCCAAAUACAAGAGAAGCGAGCCGAAGUAGUACCACCAAUGAGUCUAGAAUACAACGAUUUGACCGAGAAUAGCCCAGAGGCCGUAAGUGGCCAAACCACAGAGUCAGCCUCCUCACAGAGCACAGGGAAGAGGGCAGAAAGACUUUGCCAUUCUUCCAACUCUUCAGGAGACAGGGCCCGACGAAAAGCCAAGUCCCAAUUAUUAGCAGCCACCUCCGCGAUGGAGAUUUGCGGAUUGGGGCAAUAAGAGAACAGAACCGGAAAGCUAACAGCCAGGGGAGCAUCCCCGGACCACCAAUCUAACCAAAAACGAACAGCAGACCCAUUACCCACACAAAACUUAACGUGCUCCAAAAAAAUCGGCCGAACUUUAACAAGGGCUUUCCAAAACCGCGAACCACGCCGCGCAGAGGCAAACAUAGGGUUGGAGUUAGGAAAAUAUUUAGCCUUAAGAAUCGAAAACCACAGCACAUCGGCCCCAACCGUCAUAAUUUUCCACCACCACUUAAUGAGGAGACAAAUAUUCAUCACCCGAGUAUUAAUAAUGCCUAACCCCCCAAGGUUUUUAGGCUUGCACAUAAGCUGCCACUUAACCAACCUAUACUUUCUUUUGUUAUCUGCAGAAUUCCAAUAAAAGCCACCCCUAUGUUUGUCGAAGCCAGCAUGCACACCAUCCGUGAGACGGUAAAAGCCCAUAAGGAACAACGGGAGAGAGGAUAAGCAAGAAUUGAUUAGAGCCACUUUGCCAGCAUUGGUAUUAUACCUACCCCUCCAAGGAAGCACCCUAUUCCCCACUUUAGCAACCACCGGAGCGAAGUCUUUCGCGUGAAGCAGACCAGGAGAGAUAGGAAGCAACACAGGACACCUGACCGGCGGCGAGUCAUGGACGGCUUUACCUUGUUGACAGGGCUCUGAUACGUCACGGCUCUCGUGGCUCCGGCGCUCAACCUGUAAGCAUGCUGUGUACCGCCUAUGGCAUUCGAGCAUCACACGCGCCGGGACGGUGCUGGAUUCAUAUUUUUUGCUUGCUUGCUGUGACGAUGUGGUUGACUGUUAUGGCUGCAUGUACUACGGACAUGCAGGCCGGUGACGAUCCGAUCAUGGAAGACCGGGAUACUGGGGCAAGGCGGGCGUGGCGGGCGUCCCCUGGAUUCCAUCGUCGCCGCGCUCCUCGGCAACGCCGUCUGGUUCGCCUACGGGUGGAUCACGGGCAGCCACGAGCCGAUGUGGAUCAACGCCUGGGGCUGCCUCUGUCAGGUCAUCUACCUCGGCACCUUCUUUGCGUUGUCCAGUGCGAAUGAGCGACGCGGUGCUCUCAAGCGCCUGGCCAUUGCCGCACUCUACCUGGCGCUCACCGUGCGCGUCGGCCUCAAGCGCUUCGAGGAUGCCGCGGAUGAGCAGCACCGGCAGGAGCUGCACAAGUUACUUUGCACCUGUGCUAGCUUGGUGGCCGGGUUGAUGCCGUCCUAUGUCGCCCAUUUCAUGGUUUGUGCUCUUGUCCCAUGCAUGCAUCCCCUGAAUGAUUCUCAACUUAUGUUGCCAUGCCAUGUCCCCUCACCUUCUCUCUGACGUAUGUUGUUUGUACCAAUGACUGCUUGUAGACCGAAACCAAGACUGUGGACAUGCUCCCGGUCUGGCCAAUCUCUGCUUUUGGAGCCAUGAACGGCGUGAUGUGGGCGAUAAGAGCAAUCCUUAUGUGGAACAUAUACCUGGCGGUAUGACUAAACAAUUCUCUCGCCUGCUUCCGGAUGCAUGCAUUAGUACCUAUUCGUUCAUUCAGUGACUCAUUGGUGCAUUUUCGUGCUCGAUCCAAUUUACUAGAUCAUGAACGUGGUUGCUGCUCUUUCCUCGUCCAUGCUGGUUGCACUUGUGGCCAAGUGGCACAAGCCCGAGCCAGUUUCGGGGCACACCAGCGAUGAGAGAAGAACCCCACUCCUGAGUGCCGGUAACACGCCCAGCUCCAGCACCGGCAACACCAGAGUCUCCUCAGGUGACACGGGCAAUGGGAGCAACGACAAGUCCCACAAGAAGAAGAUCGAGCCAUCAGCGCACAAAGGCAAGGAGCCGGUGAUCCACGGGAGCCACCGCCUGGACCUGGAGGCUGGUGGCAGCGGCACGAGCCAGGCGACAGACGGUGCGCUGAACAACACCUCUCCCGCGCCAGCAGCGGCCACAGUGCCUUCUCCAUCGGAGGAGGACUGAGGCCGAGGACGACAUCACCGGCAUCAGCGCAUGGAGUGGCUGGACGAGGGCCGCGCUUUCAACUUGUUGCUGUAAUGCUACAAAAUCGCCAAGUUAGCUGCUGUAAUGCUACAUGCUCUUGCAUUCUGUCCUAAAUCGCCAACUGGACUGCUGUAAUACUGCUCGAAUGAUUGCACAAGCUUGAUUCUGCACUAAUACCUAUAUUUGCAUUUCUAGAGUUUCACCAUGGCCAACAAAAUUGGUUAAUCAUUUUGGGAUAAAUAAGUACGUAGUAUACUACAACUCUCACAUGGCUAAACAAUACAAUUCCUUGGAAUUUUUUUCUUCAAAAAUGGAGGAUAACCCUGACCUCUGCAUCUAUUGAUACACACAACCAUAUAUUAAUAAUUAUUCAUAAUUGUCUCACACGAAGCCAAGCAUUGAUGAUGAACAAAUUGAUUUACAAAUAAAUAAAUAACCUUAGACAUCCAUUGGAUAUGCUUCAUAGAGGUAUCUCUGCACUCCUACCACGUACGUAUCACCAUGGACCAUAACCCAUCGAACGAGCGGCAUGUACACCACACAGCAAAAAGUAUGCUACUCCUAGAUAAAGGCAUCAAGAAGGGAUCUCUGCAUGUAGGGCGUUGUUGAUGGGUCCAUCCAAAGGUUGAAUCUAAGGCCAACUCCAGCGCACGACCCCAUCCCUAUCGGGUGUGUCCGUUUGAGGUAAAACUGACAUACCAGACGGCCCAGCGCGCGGGCGCAAACGGACUUUUGUCCGUUUUAUGUCCGCUUUCGACCCAUCCCCGGCCCAAGUUUGGGCCGCUUUUGGGAUGAAACGGACAGCGCGCGGAUGGGCGGGCUGUGUGCGCGUGUCCUUCCUGGCCUGCCCGUCGGUGCCACAGGGACCCCUUUUUUCUAUCCGCUCCUCCCCUCCAGCCGCACCCCUCCACUCUUCUCCAUUCUUGCCCCUCGUCGUCGCUGCCAUUGCAGCUGUGCAACUCGGACGCGCGCUCGCCCAACCCCCUCCCCCUCGACGCCCCCGAGCUACCCACGGCCACCUGAUUUGCGUACCCUGCGACCGGAUUUGGAGCGGAUCCGGUCGGGCUCAAGCUCCUCGGCUGUGGGAGGCCGCGUUGCGCCAUGGACUGGUCGGGCACCGGACCGGAAGGCCGCGGCAAGGCCGCAUGCAGGUACUGACUCCUACUCUAGCCGCUCGGCUACACCGUCGAGGGUCCGCCGGUAGAUACAUGAAUGGCGGUCGGCCGGGCUUGGUGCUGGCCCAAAAGCUCGUCGGUGCACCGUUGCCACUCAUCAAGUGCGACGACUGCCCAAAGACGGUUUUGCGCCGCCUAUCUACAACGCCGGAACAUCCCGGAUGGGUGUUCAUCAAGUGCUCAACCGAUGGGGUAUGUGUUCAUGAAGCUUCCGUAGUGCUCUCGGAUUUGACUAGUUAUGCUAACUUAUAUUCUCAUUGUGUAGAAUGGAUGCAAGUUUUGGUAUUGGGAAGAAGAGUACAUCGAUAUAUUGAUAGAGCGCAAUUUAGUAGAUGUUCGUGCACUUCUAGCUAGUAUAGAGGCUAGAGAUGAGACUAGUGCACUUGUUGCUAGAAUAGAGACUAGACAUGAGAUUAGAUGCGAGGAAGCAACAUCUACUUCUUUACACUCGGAGAAGAAAGAAGCACGCAAGAUCGAGCCUCUGUAGAUCAACAAUGAAUGCAUCAAAAAGGCACUAAUCCAACUUACAGGAGCAGUUAUGAAAGUUGGAUAUCUUCUAAAAUGUAUUCUUGUGGUUCUUGUUUUCUAUGGUCUUGCUUUUCUAGUCAAAAUUUGGUGAUGUAAAAUCAAUGAUGAAAAAAAAUAUGUGCUUGCAAAGAAAAAAGUACGCGGACGGGAUGCUUCCGCGCGUUGGGCGCAUGAUCACCGCAUCCGAUAAAUGGCCCGGACACAAUCCAUUGUCCUACCCAAACAGACAGAAUCCGGACAAAACGGACGUCCAUUUGGGGUCGUGCGUUGGAGUUGCAUCUGAAGGAAAUAUGCCCUAGAGGCAAUAAUAAAGUUAUUAUUUAUUUCCUCAUAUCAUGAUAAAUGUUUAUUAUUCAUGCUAGAAUUGUAUUAACCGGAAACAUAAUACAUGUGUGAAUACAUAGACCAACAUAACGUCACUAGUAUGCCUCUACUUGACUAGCUCAUUAAUCAAAGAUGGUUAUGUUUCCUAACCGUAGACAUGUGUUGUCAUUUGAUUAAUGGGAUCACAUCCUUAGGAGAAUGAUGUGAUUGACAUGACCCAUUUCGUUAGCCUAGCACUUGAUCGUUUAGUAUAUUGCUAUUGCUUUCUUCAUGACUUAUACAUGUUCCUGUAACUAUGAGAUUAUGCAACUCCCGUUUACCGGAGGAACACUUUGGGUGCUACCAAACGUCACAACGUAACUGGGUGAUUAUAAAGGAGUACUAUAGGUGUCUCCGAAGGUACAUGUUGGGUUGGCGUAUUUCGAGAUUAGGUUUUGUCACUCCGAUUGUCGGAGAGGUAUCUCUGGGCCCUCUCGGUAAUGCACAUCACUAUAAGCCUUGCAAGCAAUGUAGCUAAUGAGUUAGUUACGGAUUGAUGCAUCACGUAACGAGUAAAGAGACUUGCCAGUAACGAGAUUGAACUAGGUAUUGAAUACCGACGAUCGAAUCUCGGGCAAGUAACAUACCGAUGACAAAGGGAACAACGUAUGUUGUUAUGCGGUUUGACCGAUAAAGAUCUUCGUAGAAUAUGUAGGAGCCAAUAUGAGCAUCCAGGUUCCGCUAUUGGUUAUUGACCUAGAAUAGUUCUAGGUCAUGUCUACAUAGUUCUCGAACCCGUAGGGUCCGCACGCUUAACGUUACGAUGACAGUUUUAUUAUGAGUUUAUAAGUUUUGAUGUACCGAAGUUUGUUCGGAGUCCCGAAUGUGAUCACGGACAUGACGAGGAGUAUCGAAAUGGUCGAGACAUAAAGAUUGAUAUAUUGGACGACUAUAUUCGGACACCGGAAGUGUUCCGGGUGUUUUCGGAGAAAACUGGAGUGCCGGAGGGUUACCGGACCCCCCCGGGAGAAGUAAUGGGCCUUAUGGGCCUUAGUGAAGAGAGAGAGGGGCAGCCAGCAUGGGCCGCGUGCCCCCUCCCCCUCUGGUCCGAAUUGGACUAGGAGAGGGGGGGCGGCGCCCCCCUCUUUCCACUAGUGCAGAACCGGGCAAUAGCACCGGUUCGUAAGGCCCUUUAGUGCCGGUUCCAUAACCGGCACUAAAGUGUGGGCACUAAAGGCCCCCCCCCCUUUAGUAGCGGUUCAUCACGAACCGGUGCUAAAGGGAAACCACGUGGCACGAGCCAGCUCCAGGGGCCUGGAGCCCUUUAGUACCGGUUGGUAAGACCAACCGGUACUAUAAGGUUUGGUUUUUUUUAGUUUUAUGAUUUCUUUUUCAUUUAAUUUUGUGUUUCCAUUUUAAUUCUUUUUCGUUUGCUGGUAUUUUACGAUACUACACAUUGUACACGUUAUGCAUAUAUAUAUCAUCAAUGUCUCACAAACCAUCAUAUUAAUUAAUUCACACAUACACACAUGUAUAUCUAUAUACAAUUUCUCCUACAUAUGCAUGCUGCCUUCGGAGCCAGUGGCAUUAGCCUAAUUGGUGCCUUCGGAGCACGAUGACAAUUGGAAGUGGUUUUCAUGGGGGCGGUAGCGGGUAAUAGUAUUCUCCCUUCGGAUUUAUGACCUGGUCGAGCAAAAAUCCCGCUAUUUCCUCUUGAAGUGCUUCUACGCGCUCCAUUUCUAGGAGCUUCGCCUGCACCUCUCUGAACUAUUAAGAAGCAGAUCGAUAUGCAUGUGUAUUAGUUGUGUGACUAGAUAUCGAUAAUGGUGUAAAAAUUGUGAAUAGUGUUUUGACAAGCGUACCCAUUCCUGUCUUUGAGAUCUGCUCCUUUCGGACGCCAUCAUGCGAAUGUUCUCACAAACGCAGGAUGCACACAGAUCAGUCCCCUGUGCCUGCUUCAGGGCCUUUACGAGAAUGGAAUUUGAUCAGAUAAUAAUUAAUCAAGCAUGAUAAUUAAAGAGAUGGCAGCUAGCUAGCUAGCUAGUACUACUUAAUUACUUACCUUGGGUCUUCCCCAUUUAAGCUUUUCUUUCCAUUCGCCUUCCGUGACGCUGAUGAACCUUGCCCAAGCCCUGCCCGCCGACAAAGAAAAUGAAUAAAGGGGUUAUUAAAUAGUUCAUAUCAUGAAAUGACGAACUAAAUAGGCCGAGAUAUAUAGUUAAUAAUGAUUGA